Molecule: long non-coding RNA, 172401 nt
Filed under: Prunus persica (peach)
Lineage: Eukaryota; Viridiplantae; Streptophyta; Magnoliopsida; Rosales; Rosaceae
Description: long non-coding RNA (PPER_LNC001970)
Source: RNAcentral
AAACUACAAAAUAUGGAUGAUACUAUCGCUACCCAUCAAACUUUUCAUCUUGCAGUUUCAAUUGUUCCAAAUCCCAUUUCGUGCCUUGUGCAGGAUUAUCAAAAUUCCUGCAGUUGAGUUGCAACAACUUCACAUGAUUUAGACAUGCUAGGAUUCUUGUACCUUGCCAAUACCAGCAACAUUAGUAGUAUUCUUGUACCUUGCCAAUACCAGCAAGAUCACUAGUAUAAUGAGACAUAAUCUUUCAAAAUGAGACAUAAUCUUUCAACAGAAAUAUGUUGGACAUAUUUGGAUGCCUAUUUACAAUUAAUGUCUGAUUUUCAAUAAACCUUGAUUGGAAAUUAUGAAAUAGAUAAAUCUGUUACAUUUUGUCCCCAACAUACAUCAAUUCCAAUGAAUGGGAUAGAAGAAUCAUAGACAAAAUAUAUGUGUGGAAUGAAAGCAUUAGAUAAAUCCAGCUUUGUUCAUUCGCGGAUAAAUGCUGGAUGCAUCAAUUGAGAAGAAAGGUAUUGCCUCAUGCAACUUAAAAUGGAAUCUCCGAAACUUAAAAUGGAUUUACAUACUUUGGCUCCGCAUUAAGAUCAAUGUGAUCAAUGUGCCUCCUCAUUCAGCCAUUCAGCUUCAUGAUCACCAAUGUCGACGACGUGCCAUGUAAUCUGAUAGGCGAGGCCUCUUGCCCGCAGUCUUGGUGUUGAUCGUCAUAAAUAUCAUCAUCCACUGCCAUCGCAUCAGGUAACAACUGCGUUGGCCCAUGAUCAACAACAUCAGUCUCACUGACAUCAGCAACACGGUGGCCUAAUAGGUGGACCCCGCAGGGAAUUUUAACGGGUGCGGGCACUUUGCCACGCAAGUCAAAUAUAACUUGACACGUAUUAACCUGCUUCGUCGGUGGUUCUUCAAACACGUACCUCGCGUGCCUAUUUGAUUGACGAGUUUCCAAUAAUGGAAUAGACGUGAGGUACACAUGACUUUCCAAUAAUUCAACACAUUCGUCAUACAGAUGAACUGCGUCUAAUUCAAAAUGUGCCACAUUGACGAGUUUUCCAUUGAGAAGAAUCUUGGCAGAACCAAUAUUACCAGCACAUAGAACCAAUCUUAACGUCUCCCAUUUUAAAUUUGGAGGAAUUUCAAAACUAACUUCACAUCCAGCAUCGUAUCUGCAACUCAAAUAUUGUCUAACUGUUGUUGCAUCUUUACAACAGCUGAACCACUUUGGAACUUCAUCGCCUGGAAGAAUAAUUUCGAAAAGAGAAUGCGGGGAAGAAACAGAAACCUGAUUCAGAAAAAUAUGUUCUGUGAUGUCGUAGCCGCAUAGUCUAACGCAAUUGGUCAAACUCAGAUACAUAUGGUCAUCCUUCCGCGGGAGUUCUGGAAUUUUCUCCAAUGAUGUGCAGUUAUCCAGCAAUACCCAAGCCAGUUUUGGAAUUUUUUCCAAUGAUGUGCAGUUAUCCAGCUCUACGAAUUCUAUUCUUCGUGGAAGCACUUGUUCUGGAAUUUCCAGAAGACUCUGGCAAUUAAUCAAAUAAAGAUUCCGCAAGUUGACAAAUUUGCUAAAGGAUAUUGGAAGAUUGACAAAAUUGCUUUGCGACAGAAAAAGUUCUGUUACUGUGGACCAGCAAAGGAGCCGGAGGAAACUAAUUUUUGAUAGAUUGCAUCCCAUGAGACUAAAUUCAUACAGGUUGGGAAGCAAUUCGGAGUUCCCCGUAACUGUGAAGUUCUCACAAUAAUCAGCUUGUAAUAUUUCAAGACCAGUAAAAUAUGCAAUUGAUGAAGGCAAUUCUCUUACGCCACUUCCUGAUAUACUCAAAAACCAUAGUGAUUCCAUCUCGACUUCUAUUUCCGGGAAAUUCUCAAGGCUUUUGCAAUCACUAAGAUCAAGUUCUUCAAGAGAUUUCAAUCUAAGUGUUGCAAACCUUGUAAGAUUGAAGCAUCCACGAAGAUCCAAUAAUCGAAGCCCAGUAAGAUAUGCAAUUGAUGGAGGCAAUCCUCUUAUGCCACUUCCUGAUAGUCUCAAAACCCGUAGUGAUUCCAUCUCGACUUCUAUUUCCGGGAAACUCUCAAGGCUUUUGCAAUUACUAAGAUCAAGUUCUUCAAGAGAUUUCAGUCUAAGUGUUGCAAACCUUGUAAGAUUGAAGCAUCCACGAAGAUCCAAUAAUCGAAGCCCAGUAAGAUAUGCAAUUGAUGGAGGCAAUCCUCUUAUGCCACUUCCUGAUAGUCUCAAAAACCGUAGUGAUUCCAUCUCGACUUCUAUUUCCGGGAAACUCUCAAGGCUUUUGCAAUCACUAAGAUCAAGGUUUUUAAGAGAUUUCAUUCUAAGUGUUGCAAACCUUGUAAGAUUGAAGCAUCCACGAAGAUCCAAUAAUCGAAGCCCAGUAAGAUAUGCAAUUGAUGGAGGCAAUUCUCUUACGCCACUUCCUGAUAUGUUCAAACCCCAUAGUGAUUCCAUCUCGACUUCUAUUUCCGGGAAACUCUCAAGGCUUUUGCAAUUACUAAGAUCAAGGUUUUCAAGAGAUUUCAGUCUAAGUGUUGCAAACCUUGUAAGAUUGAAGCAUCCACGAAGAUCCAAUAAUCGAAGCCCAGUAAGAUAUGCAAUUGAUGGAGGCAAUCCUCUUAUGCCACUUCCUGAUAGUCUCAAAACCCGUAGUGAUUCCAUCUCGACUUCUAUUUCCGGGAAACUCUCAAGGCUUUUGCAAUUACUAAGAUCAAGGUUUUCAAGAGAUUUCAGUCUAAGUGUUGCAAACCUUGUAAGAUUGAAGCAUCCACGAAGAUCCAAUAAUCGAAGCCCAGUAAGAUAUGCAAUUGAUGGAGGCAAUCCUCUUAUGCCACUUCCUGAUAGUCUCAAAACCCGUAGUGAUUCCAUCUCGACUUCUAUUUCCGGGAAACUCUCAAGGCUUUUGCAAUUACUAAGAUCAAGGUUUUCAAGAGAUUUCAGUCUAAGUGUUGCAAACCUUGUAAGAUUGAAGAAUCCACUAAGAUUCAAUAAUCGAAGCCCAGUAAGAUAUGCAAUUGAUGGAGGCAAUCCUCUUAUGCCACUUCCUGAUAGUCUCAAAACCCGUAGUGAUUCCAUCUCGACUUCUAUUUCCGGGAAACUCUCAAGGCUUUUGCAAUUACUAAGAUCAAGUUCUUCAAGAGAUUUCAGUCUAAGUGUUGCAAACCUUGUAAGAUUGAAGCAUCCACGAAGAUCCAAUAAUCGAAGCCCAGUAAGAUAUGCAAUUGAUGGAGGCAAUCCUCUUAUGCCACUUUCUGAUAUUCUCAAAAACCGUAAUGAUUCAAUCUCGACUUCUAUUUCCGGGAAACUCUCAAGGCUUUUGCAAUUUCUAAGAUCAAGGUUUUCAAGAGAUUUCAGUCUAAGUGUUGCAAACCUUGUAAGAUUGAAGCAUCCACGAAGAUCCAAUAAUCGAAGCCCAGUAAGAUAUGCAAUUGAUGGAGGCAAUUCUCUUACGCCACUUCCUGAUAUGUCCAAACACCAUAGUGAUUCCAUCUCGACUUCUAUUUCUGGGAAACUCUCAAGCGUUUCACAUCCAACUAGACAAAGUUCUUCUAAGGAUUUCAAUCUAAGUGUUGUUCCAAACCUCAUAAGCUUAACGCAUCCAGAAAGAUCCAAUUCAACAAGUUUAUCAAGGAAUCCAACAGAACCAUGGACCUCAACCAAACGUGUGCAAUUUGUUAGAUCCAAGUACUUUAUGUUUGGGAUUCCAGAUAAGUCAGGGAUUUUUUCUAAGAAUUGACAACCCAUCAAAUUCAUAGUUGUCAACUUUGACAAAUGCUGUGAGACAAGAACACAAAAACAGGAAAUAAUUAAUCACACGCUUCAAAAGACAAAAGCUUAGAAAACUAUUUUUCAUUUUUUUUCCUUCUGAAAUUAACAACUCUAUUUAAAAUUAUAUAUAAUGGAUGAAAAUAAUUACAAAUGCAUACCUUAAAGUUAAAUCCAUCCAAUUGUCUGAUAUGACUACAAGGCAUAUUGAACUCAACAAGAUGAUUUCCUUGAAAAUUGGGUGGCAAAGAUUGUAACUGACAUCCGUUAGGCAUAUUGAACUCAACAAGACGAUUUCCUUGAAAAUUGGGUGGCAAAGAUUGUAACUGACAUCUAUCCCAAUGAAUCAAUCUUAACGUGUUGGGCAGAUAGUUAAUGUGCCCACAUAGAGAUGCAUUACAGUUUAUGAAAAUUUCAAGAUUUACCAUAUUACGGAAGCAUUCUGGAUUCAAGGUUAUCUUAGCUGGGUUUGGAAGAUUCACCAUGAUGCCUUGAAUAUUUCUUGUUCCCUAAGAUAGAAAAGCAUUAACAUUAAAAAAUGAAGUCAUUUUACAAACCAAAAUGCAAGCACAUUUUGUUAAGAAAAUUAUAUAGGUUACAUAAGGUAUUCUUUAUUCUCAAAUUGAAUAUAAUAACAUAUGUGAUACUUACUGUACUUUCCGUUAGAACUUGUUCAACAUCCUCGUAAAACCACAAUCUACUACGCUUGCCGGGAUCAUUGGGGCAUUCUUCGUGAACUAUAUCUUUGCCCAGUUUUUCUAGUAAGUCAUGCAUCUGAAUCCUACCAUUGUCAAUAGUUAUCAUUGCCUUCUCAAUGAGUACUUCAAUACAAUCUCGGGAGACCUUGUUCUUAGAAUUGCUUACUAUUUGUAGCACAUAGUCCUUAGCUUCACCUUUGAAAAAACAUGCAAUGUCUAGAAAAACUUGUUGCACGGAAUUUUCCAAGGCAUCAUAACUUUUUUGAAGUAUUUUUUGAAUACCUGUAUAUGGUUCUCCUUCAUAACUAUCUAAUAUAUCUUGCCAACGAUCUUUGUCUUUAUUACGAAGAUGAGAACCUAAAAGUGUUAGAGCUAGUGGAAUGCCUUGAGCAUACUCUAGUCCACGCUGUGCGAGUUCCAAAUAAUCCUUUGGAGGUUUGUUGGUUCCGAAGGCACUGAAACUAAAAAGCUCAAGAUCUUGGUUGCCAUUUAACUUUUGGACCUCGUAUAUCAAAUCAAUUCCAUGACAUCCGCUAUCUUGUGUAGUUGUAAUGACUCUACUUCCCUCACCAAACCAACCAACACCAGCCAAAUUGUCUAAUUGCUUCAAUUGAUUCACAUCAUCAAGAAUUAAGAGAAUUUUUUUAUGGCUCAACCGUUCUUUUAUGACACAAAUUCCUUCAUCAACACUAUGAAUUUUCCAUUCCCCGCCAAGAAUUUUAUGAAGAAGAGUCUCCUGUAUCCUGUAGCUUGAUUAAGCAUUGAAUUUUCCCUAACAUUUUCCAAGAAACAUCUUCCUUCAAAUUUAUGUGCAAUGGCAUUCCAUAUAGCUUUUGCAAUUGUUGUCUUGCCUAUUCCAGAUGUUCCCCAUAUCCCAACCAUGCGACGACCAUUCCCACCAACAUCUAAAAGCUUUUUCACAUCUUGGACACGAGAAUGAAUUCCAACUGGGUGCUUGGCCACAUUCCAAUAUGUGCGGCUCAGUACUUGGCUUAAGAUUCCAUCAACGAUGUUGUUGAUAAAUGUAGUUUCAUAUCUGCCAGUUGAACCAAAUUAGAUUUAAACAAAUCCAACCACGCAAAAGAACACAACAUACUCAAGUACGUAAUAGUUGUUCUGACCAAAAAAGAAAAAAAGAUGUAAUAGUUGUUUAACCACAAACCUAUGUUAUGUAUCAUUUAUACUUGUAUGCCUUUUGAAGAGAUUAAUAUAUGGAUUUUGAACUUUCUACUUACAGCUAUCAAAAAUACAAAAGUACCCAAGAAAAUAAAUCUUCUCACUACAGUUGUAUAUUUUUAUAACAGAAUACUUCUCACUGCGUAAUGGUUGCUCAACUUGCCGCUAUUCGGUUUCACGUUUUUUUGUCAAGACGAAAUUAUCAUAUAAUACUUAGCAAGCAACAUAAGAUCCUACAAAGCAAUCUAAAGCAAACAUUAAAAAGUAGAUAUUAUCGGUUUUCAAAGUCGAUAUGCAAAAUGAUUUCUUACAGAGAAAUUAUUUGUUAGCUAGCUAAGUUGACUUUGGCUUACCUUGUUCUACUUCAAAUGAUAAAGUUUUAUGAUGACUCGUUUGGGAGUGAUUCUGGAUAGGUCAAUAAUCACUUUUAUGGAGAAGUACAUGGGAAGUGUUUCUCUCAAUAAUCACUUAAAAUUAUUUAAAAUGAUUAUAUAAAGAAGUACGUAGAAGGUGUACCAAAUAAGUGACAGAAUAACUCCCAAACGAAUUCGAUAGAUUUUCGUCACCAUUGGCCUAAGAGUUGGAUUAACAAAAUCGUAUAACACGGUGCAAACAUAUCCUCGCUAGAUCAAGUUCCAAUGAUCAAUUGCAAUUGUGUCUAUAAUUUUAGCUGGAAAAAUUAAAAGGAAAUUCCAAUGCAAAAGUACUCGUAAUUUUGUAUUUAUUCAAUUUCCAAUAUUAUGAAUUACAUAAUUACAUUACUCUAUUGAGAAAAGUGGAGGGCAUCUUCAUCAAAACAUUUUUUAAUAUUCUGAAAAUUGAUAAAUUUUGUAAUAUUUCUGGAAAUGUUACUUUAGCUAAUCAUGUGGUGACUCAUACAAUAUUCUCUAUUUCCAAUAAUUCUGCAGCAGCUGUGGCAAUCCUGUACCCACCCACGUGUGGCAGCACACAAGACUUGAUGUCAUUUUACUUUUUCUAUUUUUUUUUAAAUUAUAUAUUAUUAGUGCGUAACAAUUAAAUGUGACAUGGAAAUUUUUUAUAAAAAAAAUUAUUAAAAUAUAUAAGUUUUGCCUUAAAAUAUGACAUCGAAAUUAUUUAUAAAAAAAAAAAUUAAAAUAUAGAUCUUCUCCCUACAAAUUAAUAAUGAGUAACAAUUAAAUGUGUGACAAAUGGUAAUGAGAAAGAAGAGAGAAAAAAUUAAAUAUGAAAAUGAUAAAGAUAGAAAUAUACGUACUCUCCAUCCUUGAAAGUAUGUCCGGACAAAUUUGCUGCUUCUGUAAGAGCUUCCCUCCAUAUGAGCACUUUUUCCUUGUCAUUCUUGAAUUUCCUUUUAAUAAGUUCUUCAAAUGCGUCACCAAAUUUACUUUUUUGGUUUCGCACAUCCGUCGGAUCCACCUUGUAAAAAAUGGGCAAAACUACUUGUUGCUUUGAUUGUUUACAUUGAAGGAUCUUGACAAGUUCAUCCAAGCACCACCUCGAAGAUGCAUACUUUUCAGAGAAUACAAUGAGAGAAAUUCUUGAUUCUUCAAUUGCUUUGACAAGGGCUGGCGAUAUUUCUUCUCCUCUUACAAGCUCUCGAUCAAUGAAGGUGUAGAUGCCCUUACGGACUAAAGCCUCGUGCAAAUGAUCUGUAAAAUUGGUGCGUGUAUCCUCACCUCUAAAACUCAAAAACACAUCAUAUGUCCAUGAUGAAUCAUGAGUGAAAGAAGAAGAAGAAGAAGAAGAAGAAGAGACUGGUUGAGUGGUCAUAGGGGGCAGAUCUGAAGGAAGUUGAGGUUGAGUAGCCCAACUCCCUAUACACCUGAAUAAGGAUUUGAAGAACAUCGAAGAAUUGAAGAAGAAGCAGAGAGAAUCUUAUCUGAUUUUGUAUUGAUUUUCUUUCUUAAUAAAACGAUACAGUAAAAAUUGGGUAUGGCAGUGGCGCUCUGGUUAGAUUUAUGAGGGCUUGACGAGGCAGUUUCCUACCACCUUCCAUGUGGGGGAGCUUUCGUUUCAACUUCAAGUCAUCAAAGGCUAGAUUUUCUUUUUCAUACUGAUGCGGUCUUUAAUUUGGUGAAGCAUCUAUAGGUGAGAGAGGCACUACCUUUCUUUACCUUUUCUUUACCUUUUCUUUGCUGAAUAAAUUGCUUUAAGGGAGUGAACAUGGCCAGUAUUGCUAAAUAGCAGAUAUGGGCCUACAUUGCUUUAAGAUAUGGGUCAAACGGUGAUAUUAUUAUUUCUUUUUCUUUUUUCUUUGAUGCGCUUUCUUUCAAAUGAUGAUCUUUCUAUCCAAAGAUUUUGUUUUUAGGUCUGAAAAUAAAAAAUUGAAAGAAUACUGAAACUGUUGUAAAAUAUAAAGUAGUGGAGCCCACUUACUAUUUGUUUGUAGACUUUGGUGCAUGAGUUUAUUCACGGGUGAAUAGUGAAUAGUGAAGAUGAAUCACGGGUGCCAUUUAUCUGCCUAUAAAUAGGCAACCUGCAAAGAAGAGGAAAAUAAGAAGACAAAGAAGAAAAAGGGAGAAACGGAAAGAAAACAAAGAAGAGGAAAGAGAGAAGAGAGAAGAGGAAAGAGAAGAGGAAAGAGAGAAGAGGAAAAAGAAAAGAGGAAAGAGAAAAGAAAGAGAGUCAGGCAGAGAAGAGGAAGAGAAGGAAGAAAGAGGGUGAGUGAGCAGAGAGAAAAUUCAGUGAGCCACACAUAUUGAAAACACUAAAGUUGUAGCCCUAUUAUUUUACAUAGUGAAAAAGUUACUACUGCUGCUCUCCGGGGACGUAGGCAUAGCCGAACCUCGUUAAAUACUGUGUCUCAUCUACUUUACGUGCAGCUCAAUAUUCGCACAUAUUCCAGGUCAUUUUAUAACACGUUAUCAGCACGAGAAGCUCUCAAGUAUAAUUUUUGUGCUGCACUAUUAUUUAUACUACUAACCAUUAUGUUGAUGUAAAGAAGAAAAGCCAACGCAUCUAGCUUUCCACUAAUAUAUCAGUAUAAUAUAUAUAUAUAUAUAUUAUAUAUAUGAAAAGUUGAUGGUAAUAUAAUAUACUAUAUUUAUCUGCUUUUCUAUUACUAACCAUUAACAAAAAUGGACCCUUGGUAAUACUAAACAUAUUAUCAGUGGGAGACCGUUACUAAUACUAACACUUUCCUUAUCUUGUUCAGUGGUGGUUUUUAUUCCCACAUUUAUUUUAUUUACUGUAUGGUGUAGGUUUAUUACCCAUACAACAGUAUUUAUUUAAAAGGGUGGUGCGGGUUUAUCUCCCACGCCUUUGCAUUUAUUUAAAUGUAUGGAGCAGAAUUAGUGCCCAUACAAGCACGUUUACUUUAUCGCAAAUUGACUUUUACUUAAAGUAUUAUUUAUGGUAUGAUGUAGGUUUAUUACCCAUACGGCAAUAUUUAUUUAAAGGGUGGUGCAGGUUUAUCGUCCACGCCUUUGCUUUUAUUUAAAUGUAUGGAGCAGAAUUAGUGCCCAUACAAGCACGUUUACUUUACCGCACAUUUAAUUUUAUUUAAGGUAUGGUGCGGGAUUAACGUCCAUACAGCAAGCUAUUUAAUUUAUUUAAGGUAUGGUGCGGGAUUAACGUCCAUACAGCAAGCAAUUUAAUUUAUGAAUUUAAUUUACUGCACAUUUAUAUUUAUUUAAAGGGUGGUGCGGGUUUAUCGUCCACGCCUUUACUUUUAUUUAAAUGUAUGGUGCGGGUUUAUCGUCCAUACCAGUAAUUUAUUUACCAGUAAUUUAUUUUAUGGAUUAAUUGUGCUGUAUGAUGAGUUUUUACAGUAUGCAGAUCAGGACCAGAAGUUCCUUGAUCCUCAUCAUACAAUUACAUCAGGACUUGAAGAUCCUUGAUGAUGAUAUUAAUAUGAGAGCUGGCAGUCUCUCCGGUACUGUAUUUGUAAACAUGUGAUCGAAAUUAAGGGUCCUUGAUCCCUGACAUGUAAAUAAGGACCUAGAGUUCCUUAAUGAUGUAACAGUACCGUAUUGGUUCAUAGUGCCGUACACAUUGAUGAUAACUGUACUGGCAGAUGAAUAGAUACGUAUUCAUGACUUGAUGAAUAGUACUAUUCACAUGAAUAGUGACGUAUGCAUAAAUAUGAACCAUUUUGGGUAAACCGUCACUAUAUACAAAAGGGAACCUGCAGUUUCAUGGUACCGUACACAUUGAUGAUAACUGUACUGGCAGAUGAAUAGAUACGUAUUCAUGACUUGAUGAAUAGUACUAUUCACAUGAAUAGUGACGUAUGCAUAAAUAUGAACCAUUUUGGGUAGACCGUCACUAUAUACAAAAGGGAACCUGCAGUUCCUUAAACUCAUGGAUGAACAAUUAAAUGAGAUGCCAGAAGUUCUUCAAAAUAUGGACAAUUAUGUAAGAGCUUGAAGUCCCGAAAUAUGUACAGAAAAUUGUAAAAAUGUUCAUAUCAUGAGAAUAUGUGGGUUUGGCCUGAAGUUCAAAAUUUAACAGUGUUUAGAACCUGAAGUUCCAACAAUUAAAUGGACAACCCUUGAGGUAUUAUUGCAAAUUGUGGUAUGCCACAUAUUUCUUUGGCAUAAGAAGAUGAUGAAUUUAAAGUUCGAUUUUGUUAUAAUCGACACCUCAAGGAAGAAAUAUAUUUUGUGAAUUCCGGUUGUUAAGAAUAUACCGCGAAAUGGAUAAUAUCAAUAUAAACCUCAAAUAAUGAAUUGAGGCUCCCCACAUAUUUUGUUAUAUCUGGGCCGGAAGCCCAUGGAUCCAAAUAUAUGAGAGAUCCUGAACUUGAAGUUGUGGGUAUAUAGUAGUUAAUGCUCUUCACUACUAUAUUGCGAUAUUAUCAUGGCUUUUACUCAAUUCACAUUUCAUGUCCAUUUGAAAAGGGCAAAUAAAUUCUGAGUUUGUGCCAAGGCCAAAAGUUUCGGGCUCCCAUACGUUGAAAUAUGAAAUUUGGGAAAGUCGAUGUGGUUAUUUGAACCUAUAAGGCACAAGGUUCCAAACCGUCAUUUUGAAAAGACGUAAAAAACCACAGGUGCAAAUUUUAAGAAUGUGCGCAAUUAUUAUAACAGGAAAGGAGCAAGAUGAAACGCAGUUGCUCCAAUCAAGUUUUGCAAAGGCCAUAUCUAUAGGAGGAAAUAUGGCUACAGUUUCCAGGAUCCCAAAAUUAUCUCAGAUCCCCAUAUUAUCUUUUUCUUUCCCAGAGUCCAAAACUUCACGUGGCCUCUGAUAAUGCCUGUCGGCACUUUCGGCGUUUUCAAGUAUUAUUUUCAAAGCCGAUCUUGCUUUACGGAUUUCACGGAGCUACUUUUUCAAAGAGUAUCCCGAGAAUCUCGCAAUUUUCCUAUGGUUAAUUUGAAAUUCACCGGUUCUACCUAUUCAUUGUAUUUGUGUAUAAAUGUGUUACUAACAAAAUUUUCUUUGCAGAAGACAUCCAGUUUUCUCCAUACCUAGUGAUGCGAUAUCUACUUGUUUUUCUUAUCAGUGAGCACUCAAUAUGCCUAAGAAGCAAGACUAUCUCUGAUCAUCCAUUCAGGAAGCGAGACUAUCCCUGAUCACGUUUCGACCACAUCAGGGAACUGUGAAGGCAACCUUAUGCUCUAAUCUCCGGAAGUUCUUCUAAAUUAGAAGAAAUGAGAGCUUGUCGUUUGCUCCCACCAGCUUCCUUCCUUGAUUGCUGAGCAUGUUGUCUGCUCCCACCAGCUUCCUUCCCUAAUUGCUUGCUCCCACCAGCUUCCUUCCCUAAUUGCUUACCUUACCUUGCAAUCAAUAUCACAAUUUUUGCAUUUUUUCUCUUUUUGUAACUCUCUGUUCAUAAGAGAUUUUAUUUCUUUAGAAUGAACAUCUGAAGAAAGAAUCCAUGAAGUGAUCCUAACUCUGAGAGUUAUUUGUUUUUGACAGAGAAAAGAAUUGUGAUUUUUGCUCUUGCAGGAUAUAACAAGAUCAUCAAGCGAUACUUUAUAUUUACUGGGCCGAUACGAGCUUGAAUGAUACUUGAGAAAAGUUUCUCCCACCUAAGGAUGUAAGCAAUACUUGUGUUAUUUUAUGCUUAUAUACCUAUUUGAUAUUUUAUCUUGAAAGGUAACCAAAUGGGAAGAUAAGUCAGUUCCAAAAGAAUGGCUUGUAUGUAUCCAUGAAUUAUUAAUGCAAAUUUUACAGAUUGCAAGUUGGAUACAUUGAUAAUACACUGCACAGAUUAAAGUCCCAUAAGAACAGAAUAUGGGUAUAGCAGUGAUCAAUAUGAUGCACGCCUGUUGCGUAGCAAAUGAUGUGGAUUGAAGUCCCGAAAGGACAAUCCUUUGACAUGUCAAUAUUGAUAUUAUGCACGCCUAAUGCGUAGCAAAUUAUAAGGGUCAAAGUCCCAUAAUAUGGGUUAAAGUCCCAUAAAUUAAUUGACAUGUAUGUAUUAAUCUGUGGAUACAUUGAUAAUACACUACACAGAUUAAAGUCCCAUAAGAACAAAAUAUGGGUAUAGCAGUAAUCAAUAUGAUGCACGCCUGUUGCGUAGCAAAUGAUGCGGAUUGAAGUCCCGAAAGGACAAUCCUUUGACAUGUCAAUAUUGAUAUUAUGCACGCCUAAUGCGUAGCAAAUUAUAUGGGUUAAAGUCCCAUAAAUUAAUUGACAUGUAUGUAUUAAUCUGUGGCAUGUCUGCAGCAUGACAGAUAUAUGGGUUCUAAAUGUUCCAACUCCCUAAAUGGAGAUUAUCCACGCCCUACUAUAAAAUAACGCUCCGUUGGAGGUUAUAAUCCACAUUCUCACAUAAUAAAAGCCCUCUGAAGUGGCUUGGGUACCCAAAAGCAAAGAAAUGCUUAUAAUUGAUGCAUGCGCAUGCAAAUGAGAAUGGUGGGAUCAUGAAUUGAUGAAUGACAAUUUUUAGUUUUGGAGUAGCUACUCAAAUCAUCAAUGGGCUGUGUUGAUUGGAACCACGUUCAAUUAUUAAAUGUCGACAAUAUCAUUGGCCAAAAUGGAACGAGGUAAUUCCAUUAUAGAUGAGAAUGAACGUGAAAGAACAAACCCACAGUACGAACCCCAAAAUUUGUUAAUACUGAAAGUUAUACUUGGGUGUUCGGAAUAAAAGGGAAUAUACCUACUUUGUAUGACACACUGUUUCUGGCAGAAACAAGGAAUGUUGGGUUUUCUCCAUAUUUACAGAUUCAAUUGUGCCCCCCUUAUUACACAAUUACGGAGACCAACAUAUUAUCUUUAAGGGUUAUUAAAUGCACGGAGCAUAUCGCCAGAAGCGAUUCCCUAAAGAUGUAUAAAUAGCUGGGUUAAAGCUAUAUAAUGUGUCAUAAAGUUUAAUUCCUUUAAACAAAAUCCUUGAAAGGAUUGAAAUUGCAUGAAGCAAGUCCCUGAAUGACAUGUGCCUGAAGCACAAAAUUUGUACUCAAUAUUAAUAUGCAUAAAUUACCUCAGUGAGUACAUUGAUUAUAAUGUGAUUGCAACACAUUAAAACUUCUGCAGAAUUCACGAAAUAUUUGUCUCGACUUAAAGAUCGAGCAUUGUGCCAACGAGAUUCUUGCUUAUACUAAGAAAGUAUUGAAACAUUUUUAUGAGGAUUAUCCGUUGGGCACUUUAAGGAUUUUCCGGAAGUGUAUUGGACCGGACAUCAUAUUUUCCAGAUAAGGCUCAACUCCAUCACCAUCAUUUUGGGAUGAUGUGAGGUAUAUUUGAUGCUAUCUCCGCAUAACACCAUGUAUGGGCAUAUUCUUUCAUAUGAUCUUACAAAUAGCCCAGGUUUUGUUGGAAACGCGGACUCUGAAAAUUUCUAUGAUUUACAUAGAGAUAGCUCACUGGAAAUAUAUUUACUAUAUGAAUUGUUGGUGGCUACAUCAUUCACUCACUCCGAAAGAUUCUCACUCCAAAAGAUAGUUAUGAAGACAUCAGGGGGAGAUAUUAAUCAGGGGGAGCAUCCAGAAGUAUGCUAUACAGAUUGUUGUACUAUUCUUUCUUCCUUCCAUCAGUUCUCUACCUUACUAGGUUUUUCUCCAAGCAAAGUCUGAUGAAGCAACUGACAUAUUAUUUGUGGUCUCCAAGGGGGAGUGUUGUAAAAUAUAAAGUAGUGGAGCCCACUUACUAUUUGUUUGUAGACUUUGGUGCAUGAGUUUAUUCACGGGUGAAUAGUGAAUAGUGAAGAUGAAUCACGGGUGCCAUUUAUCUGCCUAUAAAUAGGCAACCUGCAAAGAAGAGGAAAAUAAGAAGACAAAGAAGAAAAAGGGAGAAACGGAAAGAAAACAAAGAAGAGGAAAGAGAGAAGAGAGAAGAGGAAAGAGAAGAGGAAAGAGAGAAGAGGAAAAAGAAAAGAGGAAAGAGAAAAGAAAGAGAGUCAGGCAGAGAAGAGGAAGAGAAGGAAGAAAGAGGGUGAGUGAGCAGAGAGAAAAUUCAGUGAGCCACACAUAUUGUAAACACUAAAGUUGUAGCCCUAUUAUUUUACAUAGUGGAAAAGUUACUACUGCUGCUCUCCGGGGACGUAGGCAUAGCCGAACCUCGUUAAAUACUGUGUCUCAUCUACUUUACGUGCAGCUCAAUAUUCGCACAUAUUCCAGGUCAUUUUAUAACAGAAACAAGUUUUAUGGUUUGUUUUUUCUUAAACUGGUCUAAUAGCAGCAAUAUUGACGACUAUCUCUAUGGUAUUUAGUUAUAGUCAGUUGAAGCAAUUACUUUGUAAUGCGAAGGUACCUACAAUUUGUUGAAGUAAAUGGUAAGGAACCUUCAAGGAAACUUCUCUUGGACGGUGAUACCUUCUUUUACCUACAAAACAGGCCAAGUACAAACUAGACUGCACCUUUGCCGCACCAUGUUUGUCUAAAACAUCUUCACACGGUAGAUCACCCUGUGAAGUAUAUGAUAUAAACUAGUUAUAAAAUGUUAAAAUAAAUUUGAUCACAGCUUGGAGUAAUUUCAUACAAUCAAAACCGAAAGGACCAUAAGUACCAAUACCAUACCAAAUCAAGUAGAAAUUUUAGUGCCUUUGCUACAAUAUACAAUUGCUAGAACAAGAAACACAUUCAAAGCAAAGGCAUAUCAAUGUCUUUAAGCAGUGGCUAAUUACUGUGUAACAUGAUUGAACAGCCACAAAAAUAAAAGAAGAGGCACACUCCCAGUCUUUUGAUGAAAGUCUUCUAAGUGCAAGUGAGAGCCAUAAUAGUAAAGGGUAAGGAAAAGAACCUUCAACGUUGUCUUUGAUAGUGAUACUUCCUUUCUAACGCGCAACAGCUUUCUUUCAUCGGUUCAUGAUGAUGCUUUUUUCUUUUUGACUAACAUCUCUUCACAAUUGUUUAGCCUUCGUUGACUGGAUUCACCUCAUCAAGAGAAAUUUCAUUUGCACCUUCAAGCGUGAGGAGUCCAUAACUUCUUGUCUUUGAUGGUGACACACUUUUUGCUAUAUGAUAAAUAGGUACCUUAUGAAAAAGUAGGUACUCAAAAAAUAUAUAUAUAUAUAUGGAGGUUUCUUCGUCCCAUCAAGCAGAGUUCCAACGUAGUGCACUAAAUUCAAAUUUCCACACUCUAUGCUCCGUUUGGAUGAAGGAAUUGCAAAUUACAUAGAAUUCUAAAAUGACGGAAUUUAGAUUUCCGUCAUUUCAAUUUCUGGCAAUUGAAGAUUUUAGUGUUUGGAUUUAUGUAUGUCGAAUUUUGUAAAUGACAUAAAUUGAAAAUUCCAAUGUUUGAAUAGCUCAUGUAAAUUGAAAAUGACAGAUAUUAAAUAUUUUGAAAGAACAAAAAAAUGAUAACCGACAUAGAAGGUAUUCCUUGAAAUAUAAAAUAACAUAUCGUUUUAUGAACUAAAUAACUCAAUUUAAACAAACAGAGCAUAUUAGCAAACCAAAUCACUCCCCACGUGCAAUUAAUAUCAACAACAUACUCUCUUUUUUCUCAAUUGGGAGUGCCUUCAGCAUCUAAAAUUAUUCGUCAUUUUCUAUCAGCCAAACACAUGCUUUGAGUUGUUCAUUUUCACUAAGACCUAGUACUGCUUGUACUUAAGCAUAUACCUCUGCUGGAUCAAGGUUCAUAGUAUCAGAAUGGAUAAACUCUUCAAAUGAUAAAGUCAUUCUAGCAAUCGAAUCAGCAAUAACAUCUUUGAUAGCACCUCUUUUCUUUGUAGGAAGAAUAUCAUAAGAAUUUGAUGCAUGAUUUCUUCUCUUUUGACCAUUUGUUGAGGUUGGUGAAAUAUCAUCAAUAACAUGAAUAUCUUCUAAAUCUUGUGUAUCACCAUCCAAAUCAACACGAUCAACUUCAUUAGUAUGAGUCAUAACCUCAAUUGCAUCUGCAACUGUUUCAGCACCCUUUCCAGUGGCUCUAUCUUUGCCACACAAAUCUACUAUAUCAUCCCAAUUUUCUAUAACUUUAAAUCGAAAACCUCUAGCAUCAUCAUGAGACUACCAAACAAAUAAUCAAAGUCAAAUAAGAAAGAGAGAAGACCAAAAUCGAUUUUCAGCAGCAUAUAACAAUCAAUAAAGCUUUUCGUUUCCUUACAGAGUAUAUAAAAAGCUUUUCAGCAGCAUAGGCUUUUUCUUCAGAGUAAGGAAACGAAGGGUAAAACUUGAACAAAGCGAUAACACAAAGCGAUAAAGCUAGCAAACAAUUACAGAGCUGUACCAUAAACACAAAUCACACACUAAUUUUCAUGGGCAUAUAGUAUUUUGUUAAAACUUCCCAAAAUCUAGUCAUAGUGCCGCAAAGAUCACAAAAAUCAUUCAUAAAUUUACUCAGAAAUACCCAAUUUUGAUAGCCAUUCAAAAACCAUAGUAACCCUAAAAUAGAAAAACAUAAAUUGAAGGAGAGAAAGGCUUGAAGACUAACCUUCAAAUUUGAUCCAGGAGAAGUGUACUUUUUUUUAAAAAGAGAAGUGUACUCUUUUUUUUAAUGAAAAGUUCGGCCCUUUUUUUUUAAUGUAAGUUUUGGUACACUAGAAAAAAUGAAUUCAUGCACUAUAAAAAUUGUGAAAUGACGCAUAUUUUGGUGGAAAUUAAACUCGGAAAUUUGAUGUCUCAAUUUCCAUGAUUUUUUCCGCGCGUCAUUCUUAAGUUGCCAAACAAGGGAAUUGUCAAUUUCUCCUCUUAAAUUCUCAAUUUUUAGCUAAAUUCCGAGUUAUUUUCCCUCAUCUAAACGGAGGGUCAAUGUAUCUAAAAUUAUAAAGUUUUAAUAGGAGAGAAAAAGAGAGAGAAAAAGAAAGAAAGAGUAUUUUGGCAUAUUUAGAAUUUUCAUUAAAGGGAGCCAAGUGCUUCCCGUGUUUUUGUCUUGUAGCGCUUUUAAGAAGAAGCACCUCUCAAGUGCUUCUUCCAAAACCACUCCAAGUGCUUUUGGAUCUCACCCAAAGCGCUAUUGCAAUUUUUGCUAAACACCAUUUUUAAAAGACAAAAGCGCUUUAAUCCAGUUUUCGCUGCUCCAAAAGCACUCCCAAACGAGCCCUAAUUCUCUCAAUUCCUCCAUUUUCCUUCCUUCUGCAAGUAUUCAACAAGAAAUAACAUUAAAAUAAAAACUAGUUUUUUUAUACAUAAGUAAUAAAAACUAGUCUUUUUUAUACGGAAGUAAUAAAAACUAGUUGGUGUACAUUUUAUAUGUGUUGAAAGCUUUAAAUUUAGCCAUUUGAGUGUAACUCAGUUGGUUGAGCUCUUCCACUUUCACUCAUGCAUGCAGAAAUUCGAACUAUAAUUAUAUAUUAUUGUAUUAAACAAACACAAAUUCAUAAUAAAUCAGACAACUUUAGUUAUUGAGGUAAUAAAUUUAUCAAUUAGCUCCCCAAGUCACUAGAAAGUAGGGGUGGGCACGGUUCGGUUUGGACCGGUUUUUGCCUCAAAUUAGAACCGAUCCGGUACUAUUCAACCAGUUUGGUUCGGUUCGAUUUUAAUAAAAAAAAUUUCAAAAACUGUCCGGUUCGGUUUGAAUCGAUUUCGGUCCGGUUCCGGUUCCGGUUCAGUUUUGAACCGGAUUAUAAAAAUUGUUUUUUUAAAUUGUUUUUUAAUACAAUUCUUAACUGAAAUAUUAUUUUUUUACUUGAAAAUUAACAAAUUAUUCAAUUUCAUAUAAAAAAUAAAUAUUAAAGUGAGAAAAGAGAGAUAUUUUGACAUUGAACUUGGAUAAAUAUUAUGUUUUUUUUAGUGAAAUUAAAAAUAUAGCAUUAAAUAUAAAUAUAUAUUGAAAUUAUAUAUUUUUUUAGUUUCACCGGUUCGGUUCGGCCCGGUUCGGUUUUUGAAGACAUGGAACCGGAUCCGAAACCGGUCCAAACCGGUCCGGUUCGGUUUUUGACCGGUUUUUGACUUUUUGGUCAACUCGGUUUUUUUUCAGUUUGGUUCGGUGCGGUUCGACUCGGAUUUCCGGUUCGCCGGUUUGAGUGCCCACCCCUACUAGAAAGAGGUGAAAGACCCACGACUUCUAUAUUCAUGGCCUACAUCAAAUUGCUACAAAUAUAGUCAAUAAACUUCGUAUUUUUGUUAUCCUACAUAAAAUUGCUCACCUGGGGUUAAUUACUUAUUAUCACUCAUGCUCAUAUAAGAAAGAAAUAAUAUAUAUAUAAAAAAACUAGAGAAACUAGUUUUAGUUCCAUUUCACGACAAACCUCUCUUUUCUCUCUCAAGCACUUUCUCCUUUCUCCUUUUACCCAUCCUACCUACAGAGCAAUCAAUCUUAAACAAACGCUAAAAAAGAUAAAAACUAUUUUCUCUCUCUUUUUUUGGGAAAAAAAUAAUGGAUAAAGCAUAAAACUCAUAUGAAUAAUUGAAAUUGUGAUUUCAUUUCUUCUGUGAAAAAAAAGUACUUAGCAUCUCAGGUAGGUGUGAAAGUUGGAUUGGAAAUUCUAAUUUCGACCAAUUUUUAUUCGAAAUUUUUUAACUUUUAGUGAGUUCAAAUCAAUUCCAACAUCCAAAAGUUUCGAAAAUUCUAGAAUUUUUUUUUUUUUUUUAAAGGAUUAGAAUUAGAAUGUAACUCAAGAUUACAAAAAUUCUUAAUUAUAUCGGAGUUUCAAGGUUAGACUACAUAUAAUGAGUAAUAUCUAUGGCCACCAGAUGCACUUUGCAUAAGCGAAAAUAAUGAAACUAAUGUUAUAGCCACAAUAUCAUAAUAUAAUUAUGUUAAAUUUUAAACAUGGAAACUUUAAAUAGAAAACUUGAUCAAUCAUGAGGAUACCAUGGCAUCUAAUUUCUUCGUUAUGAAGAAACAUGUGAUUUCUUUUGAUUCUAAAACAUGCAAACUAUGAUCUGACACCACAUGUAAACUGUAUUGACUGCACAUAACAUAAGUAGAACACAUGUAUUUUAGUAUUCCAUUAGAGUUGUCGGAAAUCAAGAACAUACAAGAUCUCUUCUCCUCAAUCCGACCCCUCACACACUCAUUAUAGAUGGGGUGAAUACUUUAGUGUAGGUUACAUUGAUCGGGUAAGUCGUGGCACCUGUAUUUAUAUGCAUCUGCCUAAGAGUCUUGCCCAUCAAGAAACUCUCUAGGAAAAGAAAACCCUUGUCCAUAUUAAGAUAGAGUCAAAAAAAAAAAAAGGGGGCAAAUUUUCUGAUAUAUAUUCUUCUCCAAUAUGGAGGUAUUUAUAAGAAGGGUACAAAGAUUAGUUAACCCUCAAUACAAUAGGAAAUAAAUCUAAAUUACAAUAUGAAAUAAAUAUCAAUUACAAUAGUACAAAAUAAAUAGGUAAGUAAUAACCAAAAAACCUAACAUAGUAAGGAACCAAAAUCAUAAGUAAAUAAGGACUUGCUAACACUCCCCCUCAAAUUGCCACAAAGAUGUUUCGCAUGCCCAACUUGACAAGCGGGUCAUAGAACACUAUACUUGACAUUAACCAAAUCGAACCACUAUAGAAAUGGCCAAAAAUUUGAUUUGUUCCAAGAAAUACAAUGUUUGUUGUAAUAAAACAGGCCCAAUUAAAGGACCUUUCAAGCCACAUGGGCUUUGAGUCGUUCAUAAUUAGAAAAGUAAAUGUCCAAAGAUCAAAGCCCAAGCACGGGUUUCUCCAAAAGGUUUGACUUUCCCAGAAAACCAUUGCGAAGCAGCUUUUACUCGGCUAAUAGCGUGAACACCUAAAUUUGAACUCAAAGUUGAUUUCGACAAUUAAGAAAAAGUCAAACAGCAAAGAGAGGGUUGGACAGCCGCAUUAACUGUGAUUUGAAUCAUGAGACUCAUCAACAUCAACUUGUUAAAAUACAACUAAUCACAUGGAUCAAAAUGAAAACAAAGUCCAUUAGUUUUAUUUGCAAAGAAGAAACUUGUACAAGGUGGAUGCAUCUCUUUACCAAACAUCCAAUUUCGAGAACCAAUGAGUCUAUAAAUGGAAGUAGAAAUUAUGGUCCAAAGAACAACCAAUCUCUAGAACAAACAACCAAUUUGAAUAAUAUUUAAAUACUCUAGAGUCAACACCUUUUUGAAAACUUUGGAAGAAUUGUAGAGAGAAUUCAUAGAAACUGAUUUUCUUAUUUCUCUUGUUAACUUGUAAUUACAUCAUUACAGUGCUUAUAAAUCUGCACCUACAGCAUAACCACUUCUUAUCAGCCUAACCACAUUCUAACAGACUAAAAAAUUAGAGUGGCACGUGGAUAUACUCUAUCAGACCCCCGCAAGCUCAUGGGAGAGAGGCUUGAGCAUGAGAUUGGAGUAGUGAUAAUUGAAUUGAGGUGAGCACAAGCCUUUCGUUAGGAUGUUAGCAACUUGCUGAGAAGAGGAAACAUGUUGAAGCUGGAUUUCACCGCGUGUGACCUUCUCACGAAUAAAGUGACAGCCAACUUCUAUAUGCUUAGCACGAGAAUGCAUAAUAGGAUUAGUAGAGAGGGCCAUAGCAGACAGAUUGUCACAGUAAAGAAGAGGAGAUUUGGCAAGAGGAAAGGAGAGAUCUGUCAACAACUGCUGUAACCACACAAUUUUAGCAGCAGUGGCAGCUAUGACACGAUAUUCUGCCACGGUGGAAGAUCUAGAAACAAAUUGCUGUUUCUUAGAACUCCAAGAAAUGGGAUUGGAGCCUAAGAAAAUAACAUAACCAGUUGUAGAGCGCCUAUCAUUGGGAUCACUAGCCCAAUCAGCAUCGGUGAAAGCAUGAAGAUCCAAAGAACCCUUGUGAAAUGUCAAUCCAUGAUGCAUGGUACCCUUAAGAUACCUAAGAAUUCGUUUCACAGCAAGGUAAUGAGUCUCAAGAGGAGAGUGCAUAAAUUGGCAAACCUGAUUUACGGAAUAAGCAAUGUCAGGCCUCGUGAAAGUCAAAUAUUGCAAAGCACCAACUAGACUUCGUAAUGAGCAGGAUCAGAAAAGAGGAGAUUGUCAUCUCCAAGAAGCUUGUGAUUAGGAUGAGAAGGAGUGACACAAGGCUUGAAUUCAAAAAGGUUGGCUUUAAACAAAACAUCCUUGAUGUAUUUAGACUGAGUCACAGAAAUACCAGCAUAUGUAUACUGAAUGUGCAGGCCAAGGAAAUAAUGAAGAUGUCCAAGAUCAGUCUUAUCAAACUCCUUGGAUAAUAAAGUGAUCACAUAAGCAAUUGCAGCAGGGGAAGAACCAGUCAAGAUAAUAUCAUCGACAUACAAAAGCAAUAAAACCAAAGAGGUGGCAUCUUGCUUAACAAAGAGAGAGGGAUCAGCUUGAGAGGUACGAAAUCCAAUACAAGGAAGAUAAUUGGUAAACCUUUCAUUCCAAGCUCGAGGAGCUUGCUUGAGACCAUAUAAAGAUUUAUCCAAUCAGCAAACAUGAUGAGGAUAGAGAGGAUCAACAAAACCUUGUGGUUGAGACAUGUAGACUUCCUCUUUGAGAAUGCCAUGAAGAAAGGUAUUUUUGACAUCUAAUUGGUGAAGUUUCCAGCCAAAAGUUGCAGCUAAGGCUAAUACCAAACGGACAGUGGUAUGUUUCACCACAGGACUAAAAGUCUCUGCGUAAUCCAAGCCAGCCUCUUAAGAAAAACCUUUGGCAACAAGUCUGGCCUUAUAUCUAGCCAUUGAACCAUCUGGAUUUCGCUUUUAGCCUAUAAACCCACUUGCAACCUACCAGAUUUCUAUUAGUAGGCAAAGGUACCAAAUGCCAACUGCGUUGCUUUUGUAAAGCAUCAAAUUAAUCUUGCAUAGCCUGCUGCCACUUAGACUUUUUUACUCCAGAAGCAUAAGUGGAAGGUUCUGUAACAGAGAGAUCUGAAGAGGCUUGAACAGCUGAUAGGAACACCUUUUCCUUGACAAUGCCAGAUUUUCUCCUAGUCUGCAUAGAUGAACAUUGGGAGGUGUUGAUGAUUGGCUCAAAAAUAGUCAAAAGCAAAACUGCUUUCGGCUGGCAGAUAUCUUGCGGUGCUUUCGGCUAGCAGACAAAUUGGAGACAAUUAAUGGCUAGCAUUGAUGGCUUACUUUUACUUUUUUGACUUGUGUGUUUUGCUUUUGCCGUUGGGUGGUUGAAGAGCAAAUGUUUGGCUUAUAAAAGGGAACAUGCAUUUGGGAAAAAUGUAGAGCGGAAAGCACCGAGAGUUGAUGAGAGAAGAGAGAAGUUGGGAGAGAGAAAAAUAAUAGUUUGGGCAACUAAGCUUUUGUUGCUAUUGUUGAUUAUUUUUCCCUCUCUAAAUUGUACUCAAUUUGUAUCCCCUUUAUAUUCUUGAGUGUGUGAGCUUGGGUAUAUUUGGGGCUUGGGUUUUCUGAGUGGUUAAACACUAUUGUAUUCUCUCAUUGAUUAUAGUGGAAUACUCCGUCGUCUCCAAACUGGAUGUAGGCAAUUGCCGAACCAGUAUAAAUCUUGGUGUUGUUCUUGUUGAUUUUUUUUGUUCAAUUUUUCUCCUGCCUGUCGUUAUUUAUUUUUCACUCGCAGUUGGUUGACGCUUCCGCACAACAAGUGGUAUCAGAGCUCCAGUUUUUCGACUGGGGUUUCGUGGGAGUGAAAAAUCUGUUGGUGCUACAGUGACGAGUGAAUAGUGCACGUGAAUAGUGUCGGUGCUACAGUGCCCCCCGUGAAUAGUGCUGUGCUACAGUAGCAGUGAAUAGUGCCAGGCAGAUUUGAUGGCUGGAGAAAAAGUUGAAAUUUUGAAGGAAAAGGAAUCGACAUCGUCUUCGUCGGCACCUACAUCCAAUAGACAUCCAAUUGCCAGUACAAGGUUAGAGGUUGAUAAAUUUAAUGGCUCCAAUAAUUUUGGUAUGUGGCAAUGUGAAGUUAUGGAUGUGUUGUAUCAACAAGAGUUGGAUAUGGUUCUGGAGGAUAAACCAGAAGAUAUUGAUGACAAGCAGUGGACUCGAAUUAAUCUCCAUACUUGUGCCACUAUUCGAUCAUUCCUUGAUAAGGAGUUGAAAUACCCGUAUAAGAAGGAAACUUCUGCUAAGAAGUUAUGGAUGAAAUUGGAGGAGAAGUAUAUGACCAAGAGCGCAGAAAAUCGGCUCUUCUUGAAGAAACGACUCUUCCGAUUUCAAUAUCGUUCAGGUAUUUCUAUGCAUGAACACCUCAAUGAUUAUAAUAAAAUACUGGCUGAUUUAGCAAAUCUUGAUGUGAUAAUUCCUGACGAGGAUAAGGCACUAUGUUUGUUAAAUUCAUUGCCUGAUGAUUAUGAUCAUUUGACAACUACUUUGUUGUAUGGAAAAUCCGAGGUGAAACUGGAUGAGGUGUCUGCGGCAUUGGUGAAUCAUGAGUGUCGAAAGAAGGAACAGAAGACUCAAAAUUCACAAACCGAGGCACUUGUUGCAAGGGGUCGAACAGAGGAAAGAAAAUCUGGGAAGCGGGGAAAAUCUCGUUCAAAGUCACGAGGGGAAGUUUCCUGCUAAAGAUGAAUGUGCCUUUUGUCGCCAAAAGGGUCAUUGGAAGAAAGACUGCCCCCAAAUUGAAGAACAAAGAGAAGGAGAAAGCCGGUUCUGAAGCAAAUGUUGCAAAAUCUGGAGAUGUUGAUUUCGAGUUUGCUUUGGCUAGUUCAUCUGCUGAUGGUCACUCAACUGAGUGGAUUUUGGAUUCAGGUUGCACCUAUCAUAUGUGUCCCAUUCGGGAAUGGUUUUCUAGCUUCGAGGAGCUGGAUGAUGGAGUUGUUUUGAUGGGCAAUAAUAAUGCCUGCAAAACACAAGGGAUAGGCAAAAUCCGUUUGAAGAUGCAUGAUGGAACAGUCAGAGAAUUAAGUGAUGUUCGGUAUGUACCGGAUAUGAAGAAGAAUCUCAUCUCAUUGGGCGCUUUGGAAUCCAAGGGUCUCAAGAUCACCAUGGAGGGUGGAGUUCUUAAAGCUGUGUACGGGGCACUGGUGGUGAUGAAAGGUACAAGACGAAAUAACUUGUAUUUCUUGCAGGGUAGUACAGUUAUUGGUGGAGCAGCUGUCACCGAAGCUGCUGACGCAGAUAGCACAGACACCACAAGGUUAUGGCAUAUGCGUCUUGGGCAUGCUGGUGAAAAAGCGUUGCAAGGAUUGGUGAAGCAAGGCUUAUUGAAAGGUGCAAAGGCAUGCAAAUUGGAAUUCUGUGAACAUUGUGUGCUGGGUAAGCAAACUAGAGUGAAAUUUGGCACUGCUAUUCACCACACUAAGGGCAUUCUAGAUUAUGUUCACACUGAUGUUUGGGGACCUUCCAAGAAUGCAUCUUGGGGAGGUAGCCAUUAUUUUGUCUCCUUUGUUGAUGACUUCUCUAGAAGAAUAUGGGUGUACACCAUGAAGCGUAAAGAUGAAGUCUUGAAGAUAUUCCUGAAGUGGAAAAAGAUGAUUGAAACGCAAAGCGGUCGAAAGAUCAAGACUCUCAGAUCAGACAAUGGUGGUGAAUAUAAGUCUGAUCCUUUCUUGAAAGUUUGUCAAGAUGAGGGUAUUGUGAGGCACUUCACGGUUAGGGAGACACCGCAACAGAAUGGGGUGGCAGAGCGCAUGAACCGUACUUUGCUUGAGAAAGUUCGGUGUAUGUUGUCUAAUGCUGGUUUAGGCAAGGCGUUUUGGGCUGAGGCGAUUACUUAUGCAAGCCAUCUCAUUAAUCGGUUGCCUGCUGUUGCGAAUGAGGGCAAAACGCCCAUGGAGGUAUGGUCUGGUAAACCUUGUACUGAUUACAAGUAUUUACACAUAUUUGGUUGUCCUGCUUACUAUCAUGUCAGGGAAAGCAAGUUAGAUCCAAGAGCAAAGAAAGCUCUAUUUAUGGGAUUUAGCACUGGCGUGAAGGGAUACCGACUUUGGUGUCCAGAUGAGAAGAAAUUUGUUGUAAGCAGAGAUGUGACUUUUGAUGAGGCUGCUAUGGUAAAUCAGAACAAGCAUGAAGGUGAAAUUGAAGCGACUAAGACCAUGAGUAGUUCAAAGCAGGUGGAGUUACUGAAGACUCCAGUUGUUCCAGUAAGGUCUUAUACUACAGACACUAGUCCUACAGUUGAUUCUGAUGAAGAGGACGAGGAUGAUGAAGAGGAGGCACCUACCCAAGAGCCUCCACAGCAACAAGAUUCUAUUGCAAUCAGAAGAUCGAGAAGGGAGAUUCGAAAGCCUGUUCGAUUUACUGAUAUUGUGGCAUAUGCACUUCCCGUUAUUGAAGAUGAUAUUCCAUCCGCCUACAAAGAAGCUGUCAGAAGUUCAGAGAGCGUGGAGUGGAAGAAAUCUAUGGAUGAGGAGAUGAAGUCUCUUCAUAAAAAUGAGACUUGGGAGCUGGUUCAGUUACCAAAGGGGAAGAAAGCAAUUGGUUGCAAAUGGGUUUAUGCCAAGAAGAUGGAAUCUUUGGGAAAAGACAAUGUGAGAUUCAAAGCCAGAUUAGUAGCUAAAGGAUAUGCUCAGAAGGAAGGCAUUGACUACAAUGAGGUAUUUUCUCCUGUAGUAAAACAUUCCUCUAUUCGUAUUUUGUUGGCUUUGGUUGCGCAGUUUGACCUUGAGUUGGCUCAACUUGAUGUCAAGACUGCAUUCUUACAUGGUGAUUUGGAGGAAGAAAUUUAUAUGUCUCAGCCAGAAGGUUUUAAGGUUGCUGGAAAAGAAAAUUGGGUUUGCAAAUUGCAAAAAUCAUUGUACGGCUUGAAGCAGUCUCCAAGACAAUGGUAUAAGCGAUUUGAUCGGUUUAUGAUCGGGCAGAAGUACACAAGAAGUCAUUAUGACCAUUGUGUAUACUUUCGCAAGCUACAAGAUGGAACCUUCAUCUAUCUGCUUUUAUAUGUUGAUGAUAUGCUUAUAGCAUGUAAAAGCAAAGUGGAGAUUGAAAGGUUGAAGACUCAACUGAGUAAUGAAUUUGAGAUGAAGGACUUAGGAGAAGCUCGGAAGAUACUGGGUAUGGAAAUUGAAAGAGAUAGAGCGAAGGGCAAGAUUAGUCUGUGUCAAAAGCAGUAUUUGAAGAAGGUACUACAGCGUUUCGGGAUGAAUGAAAAUUCAAAACCGGUUAGUACACCUCUUGCCCCUCAUUUCAAACUUAGUGCUUCUAUGUCUCCUAAAACUGGUGAAGAGAGUCAUUACAUGGCUCAAAUUCCAUAUGCAAGUGCUGUUGGUAGUUUGAUGUAUGCUAUGGUGUGUACGAGGCCUGAUAUUUCACAAGCUGUUAGUAUUGUCAGUAGAUAUAUGCAUAAUCCAGGAAAAGGGCAUUGGCAAGCUGUGAAAUGGAUUCUACGGUAUAUUCUGGGUACUGUGGAUGUUGGUUUAUUGUUUCAGCAUGAUAAAGUUACUGGUCAAUGUGUUGUUGGAUAUGUGGAUUCUGAUUACGCAGGUGAUUUGGACAAGCGUAGGUCCACUACAGGUUUUGUAUUCACUAUUGCUGGAGGUCCAGUGAGUUGGAGGUCGAUUCUACAAUCUACAGUUGCUCUGUCGACUACGGAGGCUGAAUACAUGGCGGUAACAGAAGCUAUAAAGGAAGCCAUCUGGCUUCAAGGAUUGCUUGAUGACUUGGGGAUUGAACAGGACCAUGUGGAUGUUCAUUGUGACAGUCAGAGUGCUAUUUAUUUAGCAAAGAAUCAAGUUCAUCAUGCACGUACAAAACACAUUGACGUGAGGUUCCAUUUUGUUCGUGAGAUUAUUGACGAGGGAAAUAUUCUUCUUCAGAAGAUUGGGACCGCUGAGAAUCCUGCGGAUAUGUUGACAAAGCCAGUUUCGUUGCUCAAGUUUAAGCAUUGCUUAGACUUAAUUGGCAUUUGUAAAGUUUGUUGAUUGCCCCAUGGGGGAUUGGGAGACGACCAUUCAGAGUGUUGCUUCGAGGUUUUGAGCCAAGGUGGAGAUUGUUGAUGAUUGGCUCAAAUGCAAUCUUUUGGCCUAGGAAGGCAGUAUGUACAGAAGAAGGAAGAGGCAUAGGAUAGAGACCAUUAUGACUGAGGCCCAAGAAAAGAAUUUGCCCUGUCCGCUUGUCCUGUAUGGUUAAACGAAACUCAUCAAAAAUACAUUGGCAUUUGUUAUCAGCACACAAUUGAUGAACAGAUAAUAAACUCUAUGAUAACGGGGGGCAUAUGUAGAACAUUGGUAAGUUGGAGAGAACUUGUAGGAGUAGGAAUUGAAGAAUAACUAAUAUGAGCAAUAGCUAAACCUGGUCCAUUUGCAGCAGUAAUGGUCUCAGAACCAAUAUAUGAAGUAGGAGCAGACAAAUUCCCAAAUUCAGUCGUCAUAUGGUUGGUUGCACCAGUAUCAGCAAUCCAAACCUCAGUGGAGGGUGAAGAGGAACAAGCCUGAGCAGCCAUGGCAGUCAUUGGAGUAGAGUGUGAGGAACUAAAAGGAACACUUCUCAAUAGAAACAUGUCAUGGCAGUAUGAUUUGUUUUCAAACAAAUUUGACAUGGUUCAGCCUCAGAGUGAGAUGGAAUUGUAGAUCGAAAACGACAAGUAGCAGCGAUAUGACCCUUUUUCUGACAAAUUCGACAAAUAAGCACAGGAGGACCAUAACUGUUUCAAAAAGGUUGAUGAGGCUUACCAAGAAUACAUUGAGCACCAUUACCAAACUGAGGAGGAGAAUUGGAGAAUUGCUGAGGAGGAUUAGAAUAAGACUGAUUCUUGGGAUAAAAGCGUGAACUAUUAGGGUAGCCAUGUUGAUUAUAGAACAUCUUGCCUUUGCCUUCAUCUUGAAAUCCAUAGGAAGAAUUAUGAGACCCGUAAGGCAUAGGGGAAUAAGGAACAGAAUUCAUACCAGACCCAUGAGGAAUUCUGAGUCGCGACAGCCAUAGCAGACAUGAUUGGAACAUUGUGAGUAGAUUCCUCAAUUGUGGCCUCCUCGGCCUUCAAUUGAGAUCGAAGAUCUUUCAAAGAAAUACCAUGAUCACGACCUCGAAUCACAACCUUGACCGUAUUAUAUUCAGAAGGUAAGCCUUUGAGAACCAAAAUGGCAGUAUCAUCAUCUGGAAUUUCAAAGCCAACAGCAGAAAGCUGAUCACAAACAUCCUUGAUUUUCUGAACAUAUUGAUCAAUAGUUUCCAAGCCUUUCUUGAUAUUCUGAAGAUCAGGCUAUAAUUGGAAAAUGCUUGCUCUAGUAACACUUGCAAAUCGUUCACGAAGAUUGACCCACAUGGCGUUAGAGGUUGAGCAACCUAUAACACACGAAAUAGCCGAGGGCAACAACGUCGCAGUAAUCAAAGUCAUGAGUGAUGUGUCCUGAAUCGUCCAAAUCGUGAAUGCGUCGAAAAGAACAGAGCCAUCCUCCGUGACCAAGAAUUGAGGCGAGCAUUUGAAUGAACCAUUGAUGAACCCUAGAAUUCUAUUUCCACGCAGCAAGAGCUCCAUUUGAAAAUUCCAAGUGACAUAAUUUGUAUCAUCUAGUUUAACAGAAAUAGUGUUACCAACACUAGAAAUCAAGGAAGAAAUUGGGGAUUGAGUUAGGGCUAACUGACCUAUUGUUACCAAAUAAAAAUGGAUAGAAUAAAUAAGAUAGCAGAGUAAAUUCAACCAAAAACAAAUACCAUAAAAUAUGUAAAAAGAAGAUGCACAAAAGGAUGGAGGUGGGGUGAGAGUGGGCCUGGAGCCUAACAGAGGGUGCCGGCACGUGGAACCCAAGCACAGACAAACGGAGCGCCAUCUGCUGCUCUGAUAAGCCAGCAUUCUUUGUUGCACACAAAGACGUCUACUUCGUUGUCAGCGACGGAAGACCUCUACCUAAUUACAGGCAAAGCGGCAUUUUGCAAAGCCACCUCUCCCACUCUCCAUUCUGCGACAGGAGUUGGAAGCCCACAAUCUCGCCCCACAACCCCAAAGCAUCUCUGGCCAAAUUUGCGCCUCGCAUAUGACGUCUGACACCGAUUUCAUGCGGACGACCAUAAAAUAUGUAAAAAGAAGAUGCACAAAAGGAUGGAGGUGGGGUGAGAGUGGGCCUGGAGCCUAACAGAGGGUGCCGGCACGUGGAACCCAAGCACAGACAAACGGAGCGCCAUCUGCUGCUCUGAUAAGCCAGCAUUCUUUGUUGCACACAAAGACGUCUACUUCGUUGUCAGCGACGGAAGACCUCUACCUAAUUACAGGCAAAGCGGCAUUUUGCAAAGCCACCUCUCCCACUCUCCAUUCUGCGACAGGAGUUGGAAGCCCACAAUCUCGCCCCACAACCCCAAAGCAUCUCUGGCCAAAUUUGCGCCUCGCAUAUGACGUCUGACACCGAUUUCAUGCGGACGACGUUACACACUCUUCCCUUCCAUGCCAUCCUUAUUGCCCCCACUUUGGGUCACAAGUCAGCGUGACUUGACUCGGCAAUGGAGUCUCGUAGAACUGAUCAUAUAAAUAGCACCACCGAAGUAUAAUUUGUCGAUGUGGGACAAAAUUGCGCGGCCUGGCGAGUUUCUUUGUAUUUUUUUUUUCCCACUUGAAAAAGAGUAAGUGGGUUUGUUGUCGGGGCGGAGCUAGGAUUUUAUAUUUGAGGGGGCCAAAAUGUUAAACACAAAAAGUUUAGUUGUGUUGUAAAUGUGGAGCCCAAAUGCCUAUAAAUAGGGCUUCUCCAUUUGUAACAAAACACACAAUAAGAAGAGAAAAACUUCUCUCUCUCUCCAUCAAAAAAAAAAUAAAAAUGGAACGAGGUAAUUCCAUUAUAAAUGGGAAUGAACGUGAAAGAACAAACCCACAAUACGAACCCCAAAAUUUGUUAAUACUGAAUUUAUACUUGGGUGUUCGGAAUAAAAGGGAAUAUACCUACUUUGUAUGACACACUGUUUUCUAGCAGAAACAAGAAAUAUGUGGCAUACCACAAUUUGCAAUAAUACCUCAAGGGUUGUCUAUUUAAUUGUUGGAACUUCAGGUUCUCAACACUGUUAAAUUUUGAACUUCAGGCCAAAGCCACAUAUUCUCAUGGUAUGGACAUUUUUACAAUUUUCUGUACAUAUUUCGGGACUUCAAGCCCUUACAUAAUUGUCCAUAUUUUGAGGAACUUCUGGCAUCUCAUUUAAUUGCUCAUCCAUGAGUUUAAGGAACUGCAGGUUCCCUUUUGUAUAUAGUGACGGUUUACCCAAAAUGGUUCAUAUUUAUGCAUACGUCACUAUUCAUGUGAAUAGUACUAUAUCGUGGCCGUCACCAUGGGUCUAUCAGAGUUUAGACUUAUGCUCAGGCUUCCAACUGGGACCGCGACAGGAUGGAGAUCCCAAAUUUUCUCUAUCGAAGUCUGGCCUGUUUUGCAUCUCAGGUAGGUCUGGAAAGUUGCAAUUCCCAUAAGUGACAGUCUUCCAUCCUCAAAACUGCGUAAGUUCCAUUAGCAAGUUCAAUCAAAGCGGACACCGCCGCUCAUCGCCGGGCAACCACCUCUGCCUCUGCCUCUGGAAUCCACAGAUCUCAAAAACCUCAUGAAUUCCAACUUCGACUUCGAUCUGGGUCUCGGAUCGAGUCGACCUAAAUCGCUCAACGACCAGAAGAAGAAAACCUCUUCCUUUUCCUCCACCGCGACGGGGCAAUCCAGACCCCCCUGGCAACCCCGUACUGAUCACGUUCUUUGUAAGCCACGGAGAGCAGGUUGCGCUCCUCCACUGUCAGCUCACCGGCGGGGGUUGCGCCAGAGGAGGCGGACGGAAUCGAAAGCUCGGCCGAAAGGUAGCUCAUCUUCCUGCCCAGUUUGGAUAAAUCAGGGGGCGGAUCGAAAUCGGAAGAGGGUGUGGAUUUCUUGCCUCAUUCCUUCCAAGUAUCGUCCUCUUCGUCGUCUACGACAUCGUCCAGGUCGUCAGUGAUCUACAUGAACAGCAAGCAUAGCCCAUCUGCAGUGAAUGAGCUCAGACUCCUUGGACCUCUCUAAGUUUUCUGGCACUUCUCCUAGCCGAAGUGGGUGAGCAUAGGAAUUGGGGUGUGGUUGAGGCCAAAGAAACUAGAAAGAAGCUUGAGGGAGCAAGGCCUUACGGGCAAUUCCUACAAGCUUUUGUUUGGAGACACCAAAGAGAGCUCAAUGAUGCUGGAUUGAGUUUUGGGGUUGAAUUGGUGCAGUGACUCAGAGAUGACUUUGUGAGAGAAAAUAUUGAAGCAGAUGGAAUUCAUCCGAACACUCCCCCUUGGAGACCACAAGCGAAUUCGUGCUGAUAACGUGUUAUAAAUCAAGAGGAAUUGGAGAGGGAAUUGAGAGAGAAUUUAGAUGGAGAGAGAGAGAAGUUUUUCUCUUCUUAUUGUGUGUUUUGUUACAAAUGGAGAAGCCCUAUUUAUAGGCAUUUGGGCUCCACAUUUACAACACUCCCCCUUGGAGACCACAAAUGAUACAGAAUAUGUCUCGUUAAAAACCUUGCCAGUAAAAACCCAGUGGGACAAAAACUGGUCAAAGGGAAAAAGAGUACAUAAUCAUGUGUAAUAUAAAAUUCUAUGUAUAUUGACGCGCGUGCGACACUGCCUCGUUAAAACCUUGCCAGGAAAAAUCCAGUGGGAUAAAAACCUGGACGAAGGAAAAAGAGUACAGUGUUUGAAGAUCUUUAUUGAUAGCGCGCUCCCCCUGAUGCUUGGCAAAAUAUCUUUAAGUCAUACUGUUGUUCACCUUUCUGAAUAUCGUAGUUGACACUGCUUCUGUGAGUCAAUCUUGAGUGACACUGCCUCGUUAAAACCUUACCAGGAAAAACCCAGUGGGAUAAAAACCUGGAUGAAGGAAAAAAAGUACAGUGUAUGAAGGUCUUUAUUAAAACCAUGCUCCCCCUGAUGAAUAUCUCCCCCUGAAAAAUUUAGGACUAGCUUUUGUCCAGUAAGCGACUAUAGAAAUUUUCAUAGUAUACCCUAAACCCUUGAGCUACACUGCCUCGUUAAAACCUUACCAGGAAAAACCCAAUGGGAUAAAAACCUGGAUGAAGGAAAAAGAGUACAGUGUGGAGCUGAGCUCUAUCUGGUCUAGUAUACUUCCGGAAAAAUAUUUAAGGACCAACGGAUAAGACUCAUAAAAAUACUUCAAUACUUUGUUAGUAUAAGCAAGAAUCUCGUUGGCAUAAUGCUCAGUCGAGACAAAUAUUUCGUGAAUUCUGCAGAAGCUUUAAUGUGUUGCAAUCACAUUAUAAUCAAUGUACUCACUGAGGUAAUUUAUGCAUAUUAAUCUUGAGUACAAAUUUUGUGCUUCAAGCACAUGUCCUUUAGGGACUUGCUUUAUGCAAUGUCAAUCCUCUCAACGGAUUUUGUUUAAAAAGGGGAUUAAACUUUAUGACACAUUAUAUAGCUUUAACCCAGCUAUUUAUACAUCUUUAGGGAAUCUCUUCUGGCGAUAUGCUCCGUGCAUUUAAUAACCCUUAAAGAUAAUAUGUUGGUCUCCGUAAUUGUGUAAUAAGGGGGGGCACAAUUGAAUCUGUAAAUAUGGAGAAAACCCAACAUUCCUUGUUUCUGCUAGAAAACAGUGUGUCAUACAAAGUAGGUAUAUUCCCUUUUAUUCCGAACACCCAAGUAUAAAUUCAGUAUUAACAAAUUUUGGGGUUAGUAUUGUGGGUUUGUUCUUUCACGUUCAUUCCCAUUUAUAAUGGAAUUACCUCGUUCCAUUUUGGCCAAUGAUAUUGUCGACAUUUAAUAAUUGAACGUGGUUCCAAUCAACACAGCCCAUUGAUGAUUUGAGUAGCUACUCCAAAACCAAAAAUUGUCAUUCAUCAAUUCAUGAUCCCAUCAUUCUCAUUUGCAUGCGCGUGCAUCAAUUAUAAGCAUUUCUUUGCUUUUGGGUACCCAAGCCACUGCAGGGGGCUUUUAUUAUGUGAGAAUGUGGAUUAUAACCUCCAAUGGAGCGUUAUUUUAUAGUAGGGCGUGGAUAAUCUCCAUUUAGGGAGUUGGAACAUUUAGAACCCAUAUAUCUGUCAUGCUGCAGGCAUGCCACAGAUUAAUACAUACAUGUCAAUUAAUUUAUGGGACUUUAACCCAUAUAAUUUGCUACGCAUUAGGCGUGCAUAAUAUCAAUAUUGACAUGUCAAAGGAUUGUCCUUUCGGGACUUCAAUCCAUAUCAUUUGCUACGCAACAGGCGUGCACCCAUAUAUCUGUCAUGCUGCAGGCAUGCCACAGAUUAAUACAUACAUGUCAAUUAAUUUCUGGGACUUUAACCCAUAUUAUGGGACUUUAACCCAUAUAAUUUGCUACGCAUUAGGCGUGCAUAAUAUCAAUAUUGACAUGUCAAAGGAUUGUCCUUUCGGGACUUCAAUCCAUAUCAUUUGCUACGCAACAGGCGUGCAUCAUAUUGAUCACUGCUAUACCCAUAUUCUGUUCUUAUGGUACAUUAAUCUGUGCAGUGUAUUAUCAAUGUAUCCAACUUGCAAUCUGUAAAAUUUGCAUUAAUAAUUCAUGGAUACAUACAAGCCAUUCUUUUGGAACGGACUUAUCUUCCCAUUCGGUUACCUUUCAAGAUAAAAUAUCAAAUAGGUAUAUAAGCAUAAAAUAACACAAGUAUUGCUUACAUCCUUAGGUGGGAGAAACUUUUCUCAAGUAUCAUUCAAGCUCGUAUCGGCCCAGUAAAUAUAAAGUAUCGCUUGAUGAUCUUGUUAUAAACGGAAAAAGAAGAGGAAAGAAACAAAGAAGAGGAGAGGAAAGAGAGAAGAGAGAAGAGGAAAGAGAAGAGGAAAGAAAGAAGGGGAAAGAGAAAAGAGGAAAGAGAGAAAAGGAAAGAGACAAGAGGAAGAGAAGGAAGAAAGAGGAAAGAGAGAGCAGAGAGAAAUUCUCCUAGAGAGAAACUUCAGUGAGCCACACAUAUUGUAAACACUAAAGUUGUAGCCCUAUUAUUUUACAUAGUGAAAAAGUUACUACUGCUGCUCUCCGGGGACGUAGGCAUAGCCGAACCUCGUUAAAUACUGUGUCUCAUCUACUUUACGUGCAGCUCAAUAUUCGCACAUAUUCCAGGUCAUUUUAUAACACGUUAUCAGCACGAGAAGCUCUCAGGUAUAAUUUUUGUGCUGCACUAUUAUUUAUACUACUAACCAUUAUGUUGAUGUAAAGAAGAAAAGCCAACGCAUCUAGCUUUCCACUAAUAUAUCAGUAUAAUAUAUAUAUAUUAUAUAUAUGAAAAGUUGAUGGUAAUAUAAUAUACUAUAUUUAUCUGCUUUUCUAUUACUAACCACUAACAAAAAUGGACCCUUGAUAAUACUAAACAUAUUAUCAGUGGGAGACCGUUACUAAUACUAACAUUUUUCUUAUUUUAUUCGGUGGUGGUUUUAACCCCAUAUUUAUUUUAUUUACUGUAUGGUGUAGGUUUAUUACCCAUACAACAGUAUUUAUUUAAAAGGGUGGUGCGGGUUUAUCGUCCACGCCUUUGCUUUUAUUUAAAUCUAUGGAGCAGAAUUAGUGCCCAUACAAGCACGUUUACUUUAUCGCAAAUUUACUUUUACUUAAAGUAUUAUUUAUGGUAUGGUGUAGGUUUAUUACCCAUACGGCAAUAUUUAUUUAAAGGGUGGUGCAGGUUUAUCAUCCACGCCUUUGCUUUUAUUUAAAUGUAUGGAGCAGAAUUAGUGCCCAUACAAGCACGUUUACUUUACCGCACAUUUAAUUUUAUUUAAGGUAUGGUGCGGGAUUAACGUCCAUACAGCAAGCUAUUUAAUUUGUUUAAGGUAUGGUGUGGGAUUAACGUCCAUACAGCAAGCUAUUUAAUUUAUUUAAAGUGUGGUGCGGGUUUAUCGUCCAUACAACAGUAUUUAUUUAAAAGGGUGGUGCGGGUUUAUGGUCCACGCCUUUACUUUUAUUUAAAUGUAUGGAGCAGAAUUAAUGCCCAUACAAGCACCUUAACUUUAUGAAUUUAAUUUACCGCACAUUUACAUUUAUUUAAAGUGUGGUGCGGGUUUAUCGUCCAUACCAGUAAUUUAUUUAUCAGCAAUUUAUUUUAUGGAUUAAUUCUGCUGUAUGAUGAGUUUUUACAGUAUGCAGAUCAGGACCAGAAGUUCCUUGAUCCUCAUCAUACAAUUACAUCAGGACUUGAAGAUCCUUGAUGAUGAUAUUAAUAUGAGAGCUGGCAGUCUCUCCGGUACUGUAUUUGUAAACAUGUGAUCGGACUUAAGGGUCCUUGAUCCCUGACAUGUAAAUAAAGCUUCUCAAGAGUUCCUUAAUGAUGUAACAGUACCGUAUUGGUUCAUAGUGCCAUACACAUUGAUGAUAACUGUACUGGCAGAUGAAUAGAUACGUAUUCAUGACUUGAUGAAUAGUACUAUUCACAUGAAUAGUGACGUAUGCAUAAAUAUGAACCAUUUUGGGUAAACCGUCACUAUAUACAAAAGGAAACCUGCAGUUUCAUGGUGCCGUACACAUUGAUGAUAACUGUACUGGCAGAUGAAUAGAUACGUAUUCAUGACUUGAUGAAUAGUAUUAUUCACAUGAAUAGUGACGUAUGCAUAAAUAUGAACCAUUUUGGGUAAACCGUCACUAUAUACAAAAGGGAACCUGCAGUUCCUUAAACUCAUGGAUGAGCAAUUAAAUGAGAUGCCAGAAGUUCCUCAAAAUAUGGACAAUUAUGUAAGGGCUUGAAGUCCCGAAAUAUGUACAGAAAAUUAUAAAAAUGUUCAUACCAUGAGAAUAUGUGGCUUUGGCCUGAAGUUCAAAAUUUAACAGUGUUGAGAACCUGAAGUUCCAACAAUUAAAUGGACAACCCUUGAGGUAUUAUUGCAAAUUUUGGUAUGCCACAUAUUUCUUUGGCAUAAGAAGAUGAUGAAUUUAAAGUUCGAUUUUGUUAUAAUCGACACCUCAAGGAAGAAAUAUAUUUUGUGAAUUCCGGUUGUUAAGAAUACACCGCGAAAUGGAUAAUAUCAAUAUAAACCUCAAAUAAUGAAUUGAGGCUCCCCACAUAUUUUGUUAUAUCUGGGCUGGAAGCCCAUGGAUCCAAAUAUAUGAGAGAUCCUGAACUUGAAGUUGUGGGUAUAUGGUAGUUAAUGCUCUUCACUACUAUAUUGCGAUAUUAUCAUGGCUUUUACUCAAUUCACAUUUCAUGUCCAUUUGAAAAGGGCAAAUAAAUUAUGAGUUUGUGCCCAGGCCAAAAGUUCCGGGCUACCAUGCAAUUUGGGAGAGACAAUGUGGUUAUUUGAACCUAUAAGGCACAAGGUUCCAAACCGUCAUUUUGAAAAGACGUAAAAACCACAGGUGCAAGUUUAAGAAUGUGCGCAAUUAUUAUUACAGGAACAUACAACAGAUAAAUUUUUUCCACCUGCAAUGAAGGUGCAGGCCCUGUAAAAUCUAUAAAAUUACAUUAUGUUCUGGAAGCCUCUGAAGGAAGAGUACGGCGCCUCUUAAGCUUGGCCAUGAGCUUCUCGUGGUCUCCCAAAAUUCUUUCAUUGGAUACCUGCAGCAUGUCUGGCCUUCUCAGUGUAUCAACGGAGUACGAACUCACCAGUUUCAGGAAGGAAUUAUUCUCCCCUUUAAGUUUCUCAACCUCCUGUUGAGACUCAUGAAGCAUUCUUUGAAGAGACGAAUUUUCAGUUGUCAGCUUCUCAACCUCGUUUGCUCUAGCACGCAAACGAUCAGCCAUGUUAGAAACAGAAGCAGCACUCUGAAUGCUAAAAGCCAUUGAGUCAUCAAUAGCCUCUUCCUCAGACCUCCCUGUUAACAGCAUUUCAUCCAUUGGAGUAAUGAAAUUCCUAGCUACUAUGACAGCAGUAGCAUCAUUCAUCAUCACAGAAUCAUUAACUCUGAGAUGACGAUUUUGGGAUACAAAGGAUGGACGCCAAACUUGGGCAUCAUUGGUAGUUGUGGGAGCAUCAUUUAAAUUGAAAUAAUUUGGGCAGGAAGAAGAGGAAGCCAUUUUUAAGAAGGUUUCGAAGAAAGUCUUAGGAAAACUAAAGUUUCAGAAAAUGAAGAAAUUUGAGUUGAAACGCAGUUGCUCCAAUCAAGUUUUACAAAGGCAAUAUCUAUAGACGAAAAUGUGGCAACAUUUCCAGGAUCCCAAUAUCUUCUCGAAUCCCCAUAUUAUCUUUUUCUUUCCCAGAGUCCAAAACUUCACGUGGCCUCUAAUAAUGCCUGUCGGCACUUUCGGCGUUUUCAAGUAUUAUUUUCGUCAAAGCUGAUCUUGCUUUACGGAUUUCACGGAGCUACUUUUUUAAAAGUAUCCUGAGAAUCUCACAAUUUUCCUAUGGUUAAUUUGAAAUUCACAGGUUCUACCUAUUCAUUGUAUUUGUGUAUAAAUGUGUUACUAACGAAAUUUUCUUUGCAGAAGACAUCCAGCUUACUCCAUACCUAGUGAUGCGAUAUCUACUUAUUUUUCUUAUCAGUGAGCACUUAAUAUGCCCGAGAAGCAAGACUAUCUCUGAUCAUCCAUUCAGGAAGCGAGACUAUCCCUGAUCACGUUUCCGCCACAUCAGGGAACUGUGAAGGCAACCUUAUGCUCUAAUCUCCGGAAGUUCUUCUAAACUAGAAGAAAUGAGAGCUUGUCGUUUGCUCCUACCAGCUUCCUUCCUUGAUUGCUUACCUUACCUUGCAAUCAAUAUCACAAUCUUAUAUACCUAUUUGAUAUUUUAUCUUGAAAGGUAACCAAAUGGGGAGAUAAGUCCGUUCCAAAAGAAUGGCUUGUAUGUAUCCAUGAAUUAUUAACGCAAAUUUUACAGAUUGCAAGUUGGAUACAUUGAUAAUACACUGCACAGAUUAAAGUACCAUAAGAACAGAAUAUGGGUAUAGCAGUGAUCAAUAUGGGUGCACGCCUGUUGCGUAGCAAAUGAUAUGGAUUGAAGUCCCGAAAGGACAAUCCUUUGACAUGUCAAAAUUGAUAUUAUGCACGCCUAAUGCGUAGCAAAUUAUAUGGGUUAAAAUCCCAUAAUAUGGGUUACAAUCCCAGAAAUUAAUUGACAUGUAUGUAUUAAUCUGUGGCAUGCCUGCAGCAUGACAGAUAUAUGGGUUCUAAAUGUUCCAACUCCCUAAAUGGAGAUUUUCCACGCCCUAUGUAAAAUAACGCCCCAUUGGAGGUUAUAAUCCACAUUUUCACAUAAUAAAAGCCCCCUGAAGUGGCUUGGGUACCCAAAAGCAAAGAAAUGCUUAUAAUUGAUGCACGCGCAUGCAAAUGAGAAUGAUGGGAUCAUGAAUUGAUGAAAGACAAUUUUUAGUUUUGGAGUAGCUACUCAAAUCAUCAAUGGGCUGUGUUGAUUGGAACCACGUUCAAUUAUUAAAUGUCGACAAUAUCAUUGGCCAAAAUGGAACGAGGUAAUUCCAUUAUAAAUGAGAAUGAACGUGAAUGAACAAACCCACAAUACGAACCCCAAAAUUUGUUAAUACUGAAAUUUAUACUUGGGUGUUCGGAAUAAAAGGGAAUAUACCUACUUUGUAUGACACAAUGUUUCUGGCAGAAACAAGGAAUGUUGGGUUUUCUCCAUAUUUACAGAUUCAAUUGUGCCCCCCCUUAUUACACAAUUACGGAGACCAACAUAUUAUCUUUAAUGGUUAUUAAAUGCAAGGAGCAUAUCGCCAGAAGCGAUUUCCUAAAGAUAUAUAAAUAGCUGGGUAAAAGCUAUAUAAUGUGUCAUAAAGUUUAAUCCCCUUUUUAAACAAAAUCCGUUGAGAGGAUUGACAUUGCAUAAAGCAAGUCCCUAAAGGACAUGUGCUUGAAGCACAAAAUUUGUACUCAAGAUUAAUAUGCAUAAAUUACCACAGUGAGUACAUUGAUUAUAAUGUGAUUGCAACACAUUAAAGCUUCUGCAGAAUUCAUGAAAUAUUUGUCUCGAUCGAGCAUUAUACCAACGAGAUUCUUGCUUGUACUAAGAAAGUAUUGAAGCAUUUUUAUGAGGAUUAUCCGUUGGACACUUUAAGGAUUUUCCGGAAGUAUACUAGACCAGAUAGAGCUCAGCUCCACACUGUACUCUUUUUCCUUCAUCCAGGUUUUUAUCCCACUGGGUUUUUCCUGGUAAGGUUUUAACGAGGCAGUGUCGCUCAAGGGUUUAGGGUAUACUAUGAAAAUUUUUAUGGUCGCUUACUGGACAAAAGCUAGUCCUAAAUUUUUCAGUUAUAAAAUGACCUGGAAUAUGUGCGAAUAUUGAGCUGCACGUAAAGUAGAUGAGACACAAUAUUUAACGAGGUUCGGCUAUGCCUACGUCCCCGGAGAGCAGCAGUAGUAACUUUUCCACUAUGUAAAAUAAUAGGGCUACAACUUUAGCGUUUACAAUAUGUGUGGCUCACUGAAUUUUCUCUCUAGGAGAAUUUCUCUCUGCUUUCUCUUUCCUCUUUCUUCCUUCUCUUCCUCUUGUCUCUUUCCUUUUCUCUCUUUCCUCUUUUCUCUUUCCCCUUCUUUCUUUCCUCUUCUCUCUUCUCUCUUUCUUUCCUCUUCUUUGUUUCUUUCCUCUUCUUUUUCCGUUUCUCCCUUUCUCUUCUUUUUUUCUCAUUCUUUUCACUUUGCAGGUUGCCUAUUUAUAGGCAUUGAUAAAUGGCACCCGUGAUUCAUCUUCACUAUUCACUAUUCGCCCGUGAAUAAACUCAUGCACCAAAGUCUACAAACAAAUAGUAAGUGGGCUCCACUACUUUAUAUUUUACAACACUCCCCCUUGGAGACCACAAAUAAUAUGUCAGUUGCUUCAUCAGACUUUGCUUGAAGAAAACCUAGUAAGGUAGAGAACUGAUGGAAGGAAGAAAGAAGAGUACAACAAUCUGUAUAGCAUACUUCUGGAUGCUCCCCCUGAUUAAUAUCUCCCCCUGAUGUCUUCAUAACUAUCUUUUGGAGUGAGAAUCUUUCGGAGUGAGUGAAUGAUGUAGCCACCAACAAUUCAUAUAGUAAAUAUAUUUCCAGUGAGCUAUCUCUAUGUAAAUCAAAGAAAUUUUUAGAGUCCGCGUUUCCAACAAAACCUGGGCUAUUUGUAAGAUCAUAUGAAAGAAUAUGCCCAUACAUGGUGUUAUGCGGAGAUAGCAUCAAAUAUACCUCACAUCAUCCCAAAAUGAUGGUGAUGGAGUUGAGCCUUAUCCGGAAAAUAUGAUGUCCGGUCCAAUACACUUCCGGAAAAUCCUUAAAGUGCCCAACGGAUAAUCCUCAUAAAAAUGCUUCAAUACUUUCUUAGUAUAAGCAAGAAUCUCGUUGGCAUAAUGCUCGAUCUUUAAGUCGAGACAAAUAUUUCGUGAAUUCUGCAGAAGUUUUAAUGUGUUGCAAUCACAUUAUAAUCAAUGUACUCACUGAGGUAAUUUAUGCAUAUUAAUCUUGAGUACAAAUUUUGUGCUUCAAGCACAUGUCCUUUAGGGACUUGCUUUAUGCAAUGUCAAUCCUCUCAACGGAUUUUGUUUAAAAAGGGGAAUAAACUUUAUGACACAUUAUAUAGCUUUUACCCAGCUAUUUAUAUAUCUUUAGGAAAUCGCUUCUGGCGAUAUGCUCCUUGCAUUUAAUAACCCUUAAAGAUAAUAUGUUGGUCUCCGUAAUUGUGUAAUAAGGGGGGGCACAAUUGAAUCUGUAAAUAUGGAGAAAACCCAACAUUCCUUGUUUCUGCCAGAAACAUUGUGUCAUACAAAGUAGGUAUAUUCCCUUUUAUUCCGAACACCCAAGUAUAAAUUUCAGUAUUAACAAAUUUUGGGGUUCGUAUUGUGGGUUUGUUCUUUCACGUUCAUUCUCAUUUAUAAUGGAAUUACCUCGUUCCAUUUUGGCCAAUAAUAUUAUCGAAAUUUAAUAAUUGAACGUGGUUCCAAUCAACACAGCCCAUUGAUGAUUUGAGUAGCUACUCCAAAACCAAAAAUUGUCAUUCAUCAAUUCAUGAUCCCAUCAUUCUCAUUUGCAUGCGCGUGCAUCAAUUAUAAGCAUUUCUUUGCUUUUGGGUACCCAAGCCACUGCAGGGGGCUUUUAUUAUGUGAGAAUGUGGAUUAUAACCUCCAAUGGAGCGUUAUUUUAUAGUAGGGCGUGGAUAAUCUCCAUUUAGGGAGUUGGAACAUUUAGAACCCAUAUACCUGUCAUGCUGCAGGCAUGCCACAGAUUAAUACAUACAUGUCAAUUAAUUUCUGGGACUUUAACCCAUAUAAUUUGCUACGCAUUAGGCGUGCAUAAUAUCAAUAUUGACAUGUCAAAGGAUUGUCCUUUCGGGACUUCAAUCCACAUCAUUUGCUACGCAACAGGCGUGCAUCAUAUUGAUCACUGCUAUACUCAUAUUCUGUUCUUAUGGGACUUUAAUCUGUGCAGUGUAUUAUCAAUGUAUCCAACUUGCAAUCCGUAAAAUUUGCGUUAAUAAUUCAUGGAUACAUACAAGCCAUUCUUUUGGAACGGACUUAUCUCCCCAUUUGGUUACCUUUCAAGAUAAAAUUUCAAAUAGGUAUAUAAGCAUAAAAUAACACAAGUAUUGCUUACAUCCUUAGGUGGGAGAAACUUUUCUCAAGUAUCAUUCCAGCUCGUAUCGGCCCAGUAAAUAUAAAGUAUCGCUUGAUGAUCUUGUUAUAUCCUGCAAGAGCAAAAAUCACAAUUCUUUUCUCUGUCAAAAACAAAUAACUCUCAGAGUUAGGAUCACUGCAUGGAUUCAUUCUUCAGAUGUUCAUUCUAAAGAAAUAAAAUCUCUUAUGAACAGAGAGUUAUAAAAAGAGAAAAAAUGCAAAAAUAAUGUGAUAUUGAUUUCAAGGUAAGGUAACCAAUCAAGGAAGGAAGCUGGUGGGAGCAAACAACAAGCUCUCAUUUCUCCUAGUCUAGAAAGACCUCAGGAGAUUGGAGCAUAAGGUCGCCUUCACAGUUUCCUGAUGUAGCGGAAACAUGAUCAGGGAUAGUCUUGCUUCCUGAAUGGAUGAUCAGAGAUAGUCUUGCUUCUCGGGCAUAUUGAGUGCUUACUGAUAAGAAAAACAAGUAGAUAUCGCAUCACUAGGUAUGGAGUAAACUGGAUGUCCUCUGCCAAGAAAAUUUCGUUAGUAACACAUUUAUACACAAAUACAAUGAAUAGGUAGAACCGGUGAAUUUCAAAUUAACCAUAGGAAAAUUGCGAGAUUCUCGGGAUGCUUUUGAAAAAGUAGCUCCGUGAAAUCCGUAAAGCAAGAUUGGCUUUGAAAAUAAUACUUGAAAACGCCGAAAGUGCCGACAGGCAUUAUUAGAGGCCACGUGAAGUUUUGGACUCUGGGAAAGAAAAAGAUAAUAUGGGGAUUCGAGUUCCCUUUUGUAUAUAGUGACGGUUUACCCAAAAUGGUUCAUAUUUAUGCAUACGUCACUAUUCAUGUGAAUAGUACUAUUCAUCAAGUCAUGAAUACGUAUCUAUUCAUCUGCCAGUACAGUUAUCAUCAAUGUGUACGGCACUAUGAACCAAUACGGUACUGUUACAUCAUUAAGGAACUCUAGGUUCUUAUUUACAUGUCAGGGAUCAAGGACCCUUAAGUCCGAUCACAUGUUUACAAAUACAGUACCGGAGAGACUGCCAGCUCUCAUAUUAAUAUCAUCAUCAAGGAUCUUCAAGUCCUGAUGUAAUAUGAUGAGGAUCAAGGAACUUCUGGUCCUGCGACACUGCCUCGUUAAAACCUUGCCAGGAAAAACCCAAUGGGAUAAAAACCUGGACGAAGGAAAAAGAGUACAGUGUUUGAAGAUCUUGAUUGAUAGUGCGCUCCCCCUGAUGCUUGGCAAAAUAUCUUUAAGUCAUACUGUUGAUCAGCUUUCUGAAUAUCGUAGUUGACACUGCUGCUGUGAGUCAAUCUUGAGUGACACUGCCUCGUUAAAACCUUACCAGGAAAAACUCAGUGGGAUAAAAACCUGGAUGAAGGAAAAAGAGUACAGUGUAUGGAGGUCUUUAUUAAAACCAUGCUUCCCCUGAUGAAUAUCUCCCCCUGAAAAAUUUAGGACUAGCUUUUGUCCAGUAAGAGACCAUAAAAACACAAGUAUUUCUUACAUCCUUAGGUGGGAGAAACUUUUCUCAAGUAUCAUUCAAGCUCGUAUCGGCCCAGUAACGCUUGAUGAUCUAGUUAUAUCCUGCAAGAGCAAAAAAUCACAAUUCUUUUUCUGUCAAAAACAAAUAACUCUCAGAGUUAGGAUCACUGCAUGGAUUCAUUCUUCAGAUGUUCACUCUAAAGAAAUAAAAUCCCUUAUGAACAGAGAGUUAUAAAAAGAGAAAUAAUGCAAAAAUAAUGUGAUAUUGAUUGCAAGAGAAGGUAAGCAAUCAAGGAAGGAAGCUGGUGGGAGCAAACAACAAGCUCUCAGUUCUCCUAGUCUAGAAGGACCUCAGGAGAUUAGAGCAUAAGAUCGCCUUCACAGUUUCCUGAUGUAGCGGAAACGUGAUCAGGGAUAGUCUUGCUUCCUGAAUGGAUGAUCAGAGAUAGUCUUGCUUCUCGGGCAUUUUAAAUGCUCACUGAUAAGAAAAACAAGUAGAUAUCGCAUCACUAGGUAUGGAGAAAACUGGAUGUCUUCUGCAAAGAAAAUUUCGUUAGUAACACAUUUAUACACAAAUAAGAUGAAUAGGUAGAACUGGUGAAUUUCAAAUUAACCAUAGAAAAAUUGCGAGAUUCUCGAGGUACUUUUGAAAAGUAGCUCCGUGAAAUCCGUAAAGCAAGAUCGGCUUUUGAUGAAAAUAAAACUUUGAAAACGCCGAAAGUGCCGACAAACAUUUAAUGGAGGCCACGUGAAGUUUUGGAAUCUGGGAAAGAAAAAGAUAAUAUGGGGAUCUGAGAUAAUAUUGGGAUCCUGGAAACUGUAGCCAUAUUUCCUCCUAUAGAUAUGGCCUUUGCAAAACUUGAUUGGAGCAACUGCGUUUCAACUUGCUCUUUUCCUGUUAUAAUAAUUGCGCACAUUCUUAAAAUUUGCACCUGUGGUUUUUUACGUCUUUUCAAAAUGACGGUUUGGAACCUUGUGCCUUAUAGGUUCAAAUAACCACAUUGUCUCUCCCAAAUUGCAUGGUAGCCCGGAACUUUUGGCCUGGGCACAAACUCAGAAUUUAUUUGCCCUUUUCAAAUGGACAUGAAAUGUGAAUUGAGUAAAAGCCAUGAUAAUAUCGCAAUAUAGUAGUGAAGAGCAUUAACUACUAUAUACCCACAACUUCAAGUUCAGGAUCUCUCAUAUAUUUGGAUCCAUGGGCUUCCGGCCCAGAUAUAACAAAAUAUGUGGGGAGCCUCAAUUCAUUAUUUGAGGUUUAUAUUGAUAUUAUCCAUUUCGCGGUGUAUUCUUAACAACCGGAAUUCACAAAAUAUAUUUCUUCCUUGAGGUGUCGAUUAUAACAAAAUCGAACUUUAAAUUCAUCAUCUUCUUAUGCCAAAGAAAUAUGUGGCAUACCACAAUUUGCAAUAAUACCUGAAGGGUUGUCCAUUUAAUUGUUGGAACUUCAGGUUCUCAACACUGUUAAAUUUUGAACUUCAGGCCAAAGCCAUAUAUUCUCAUGGUAUGGACAUUUUUACAAUUUUCUGUACAUAUUUCGGGACUUCAAGCCCUUACAUAAUUGUCCAUAUUUUGAGGAACUUCUGGUAUCUCAUUUAAUUGCUCAUCCAUGAGUUUAAGGAACUGCAGGUUCCCUUUUUUAUAUAGUGACGGUUUACCCAAAAUGGUUCAUAUUUAUGCAUACGUCACUAUUCAUGUGAAUAGUACUAUUCAUCAAGUCAUGAAUACGUAUCUAUUCAUUUACCAGUACAGUUAUCAUCAAUGUUUACGGCACCAUGAAACUGCAGGUUCCCUUUUGUAUAUAGUGACGGUUUACCCAAAAUGGUUCAUAUUUAUGCAUACGUCACUAUUCAUGUGAAUAGUACUAUUCAUCAAGUCAUGAAUACGUAUCUAUUCAUCUGCCAGUACAGUUAUCAUCAAUGUGUACGGCACUAUGAACCAAUACGGUGCUGUUACAUCAUUAAGGAACCCUAGAUCCUUAUUUACAUGUCAGGGAUCAAGGACCCUUAAGUCCGAUCACAUGUUUACAAAUACAGUACCGGAGAGACUGCCAGCUCUCAUAUUAAUAUCAUCAUCAAGGAUCUUCAAGUCCUGAUGUAAUUGUAUGAUAAGGAUCAAGGAACUUCUGGUCCUGAUCUGCAUACUGUAAAAACUCAUCAUACAGCACAAUUAAUCCAUAAAAUAAAUUGCUGGUAAAUAAAUUACUGGUAUGGACGAUAAACCCGCACCAUACAUUUGAAUAAAAGUAAAGGCGUGGAUGAUAAACCCGCACCACCCUUUUAAAUAAAUGUAAAUGUGCAGUAAAUUAAUUUCAUAAAUUAAAUUGCUUGCUGUAUGGACGUUAAUCCCGCACCAUACCUUAAAUAAAAUUAAAUGUGCGGUAAAGUAAAGGUGCUUGUAUGGGCACUAAUUCUGCUCCAUACAUUUAAAUAAAAGUAAAGGCGUGGGCGAUAAACCCGCACCACCCUUUUAAAUAAAUACUGUUGUAUGGGUAAUAAACAUACACCAUACAGUAAAUAAAAUAAAUGUGCGGUAAAGUAAAUUUGCAGUAAAGUAAAUUUCAUAAAGUAAAGUGUUAGUAUUAGUAACGGUCUCCCACUGAUAAUAUGUUUAGUAUUACCAAGGGUCCAUUUUUGUUAAUGGUUGGUAAUAGAAAAGCAGAUAAAUAUAAUAUGAAAUAAUAGAGAAGAUAAGGGAGCAGAGAUCUUAUCGCUUAUUCUUUCGCUUAUGCCAUUGCUGAGUGAUCCCCUUUUAUUUUAUUUUAUUUAUUUGUUUAUUUAUUUAUUUUUUAUUUUUUAUUUUUUAUUUUUUAUUUUUUCUUUCUGUCGGUGGGUUUGCUGUUGGAUCUUUUCCUGAGUGCCCUUGCUUUUUCUGAGUGAUCCCUUUGUGAGUGCCCUUGCUUUUCUGAGUGAUCUUUUUCUUUCAAAAACUUCCAGUGGGUAUCUUUUUCUUUCACUGCUCGGAAAGACCCUGUCCAAAACUUGUAGCCACUGUACCCUCUUAGCCCCACGUCAACCGUGCGAGAGAAAAGAUGGGCAAGAGAGGCACCCCAGCCACCAUCACCGAAAGACUCCUUGGUGAUUGAGUCACCCAAAAGGUAAAUCUUUGGCCUCAUCUUUUGAUUUGAUGAGAGAGAGAGAGCCCUGAGCUUGGUGGGCUUAGCCUUGCGCUUGUUGACAAGCGGCUUCUUGACGUCAUCGGCAGGAUAGAACUUGGGCGGCUUCUGGGGUUGGGUCACAGCCGCUGGCUUCGCGUCAUGGCGUGGGAAAACGCCGCCGUUUUUGGCCUUGAUGGCCCAAAGACCACGCUUGCGGGACAUCUUGGACCUCGAGAACUUACCCACCCCACGAACCAGAUCUGGUCGAUAUGUUCCUCGAGCUGUGCUCAUGGAUCUGGAGCCUAGCACCAUGGACAGCAUCAGAUCUGGGCCAUAUGGCCAGAUCUUCUGACCUGAUAACUUCGUUUUCGGUCAAUCGGGUGCUGGAAACAACUGGGCCAAUUUAGCUAUCCUAAAGAUGUAUAAGUCCGUUCCAAAAGAAUGGCUUGUAUGUAUCCAUGAAUUAUUAAUGCAAAUUUUACAGAUUGCAAGUUGGAUACAUUGAUAAUACACUGCACAGAUUAAUGUACCAUAAGAACAGAAUAUGGGUAUAGCAGUGAUCAAUAUGAUGCACGCCUGUUGCGUAGCAAAUGAUAUGGAUUGAAGUCCUGAAAGGACAAUCCUUUGACAUGUCAAUAUUGAUAUUAUGCACGCCUAAUACGUAGCAAAUAUUAUAUACAUAAUAUAUAUUGCUAGAGGUUUCUGCAACUUUUAGCUUUAUUGCCACUUUUAGCUUUCCACCAACAUGAUAAGAACCCACCGGAACAAAUAUAUUCAUAUAUACAUAUACAUACAUAUGUAAUAUUAAUAUUGAAAUGUGGUAAUAUAAUAUGCUAUAUCUAUUCACUUUUCUAUUACUAACCACUAACAAAAAUGGACCCUUUGGUAAUACUAAANNNNNNNNNNNNNNNNNNNNNNNNNNNNNNNNNNNNNNNNNNNNNNNNNNNNNNNNNNNNNNNNNNNNNNNNNNNNNNNNNNNNNNNNNNNNNNNNNNNNCCGUUACUAAUACUAACAUUUUUCUUAUUUUAUUCGGUGGUGGUUUUAACCCCAUAUUUAUUUUAUUUACUGUAUGGUGUAGGUUUAUUACCCAUACAACAGUAUUUAUUUAAAAGGGUGGUGCGGGUUUAUCGUCCACGCCUUUGCUUUUAUUUAAAUAUAUGGAGCAGAAUUAGUGCCCAUACAAGCACGUUUACUUUAUCGCAAAUUUACUUUUACUUAAAGUAUUAUUUAUGGUAUGGUGUAGGUUUAUUACCCAUACGGCAAUAUUUAUUUAAAGGGUGGUGCGGGUUUAUCGUCCACGCCUUUGCUUUUAUUUAAAUGUAUGGAGCAGAAUUAGUGCCCACACAAGCACGUUUACUUUACCGCACAUUUAAUUUUAUUUAAGGUAUGGUGCGGGAUUAACGUCCAUACAGCAAGCUAUUUAAUUUAUUUAAGGUAUGGUGCGGGAUUAACGUCCAUACAGCAAGCAAUUUAAUUUAUGAAUUUAUUUUACCGCACAUUUACAUUUAUUUAAAGUAUGGUGCGGGUUUAUCGUCCAUACCAGUAAUUUAUUUAUCAGCAAUUUAUUUUAUGGAUUAAUUGUGCUGUAUGAUGAGUUUUUACAGUAUGCAGAUCAGGACCAGAAGUUCCUUGAUCCUCAUCAUACAAUUACAUCAGGACUUGAAGAUCCUUGAUGAUGAUAUUAAUAUGAGAGCUGGCAGUCUCUCCGGUACUGUAUUUGUAAACAUGUGAUCGGAAUUAAGGGUCCUUGAUCCCUGACAUGUAAAUAAGGACCUAGAGUUCCUUAAUGAUGUAACAGUACCGUAUUGGUUCAUAGUGCCGUACACAUUGAUGAUAACUGUACUGGCAGAUGAAUAGAUACGUAUUCAUGACUUGAUGAAUAGUACUAUUCACAUUAAUAGUGACGUAUGCAUAAAUAUGAACCAUUUUGGGUAAACCGUCACUAUAUACAAAAGGGAACCUGCAGUUUCAUAGUGCCGUACACAUUGAUGAUAACUGUACUGGCAGAUGAAUAGAUACGUAUUCAUGACUUGAUGAACAGUACUAUUCACAUGAAUAGUGACGUAUGCAUAAAUAUGAACCAUUUUGGGUAAACCGUCACUAUAUACAAAAGGGAACCUGCAGUUCCUUAAACUCAUGGAUGAGCAAUUACAUGAGAUGCCAGAAGUUCCUCAAAAUAUGGACAAUUAUGUAAGGGCUUGAAGUCCCGAAAUAUGUACAGAAAAUUAUAAAAAUGUCCAUACCAUGAGAAUAUGUGGCUUUGGCCUGAAGUUCAAAAUUUAACAGUGUUGAGAACCUGAAGUUCCAACAAUUAAAUGGACAACCCUUGAGGUAUUAUUGCAAAUUGUGGUAUGCCACAUAUUUCUUUGACAUAAGAAGAUGAUGAAUUUAAAGUUCGAUUUUGUUAUAAUCGACACCUCAAGGAAGAAAUAUAUUUUGUGAAUUCCGGUUGUUAAGAAUACACCGUGAAAUGGAUAAUAUCAACAUAAACCUCAAAUAAUGAAUUGAGGCUCCCCACAUAUUUUGUUAUAUCUGGGCCGGAAGCCCAUGGAUCCAAAUAUAUGAGAGAUCUUGAACUUGAAGUUGUGGGUAUAUAGUAGUUAAUGCUCUUCACUACUAUAUUGCGAUAUUAUCAUGGCUUUUACUCAAUUCACAUUUCAUGUCCAUUUGAAAAGGGCAAAUAAAUUCUGAGUUUGUGCCCAGGCCAAAAGUUCCGGGCUACCAUGCAAUUUGGGAGAGACAAUGUGGUUAUUUGAACCUAUAAGGCACAAGGUUCCAAACUGUCAUUUUGAAAAGACGUAAAAACCACAGGUGCAAGUUUAAGAAUGUGCGCAAUUAUUAUUACAGGAACAUACAACAGAUAGAUUUUUUCCACCUGCAAUGAAGGUGCAGGCCCUGUAAAAUCUAUAAAAAUUACAUUAUGUUCUGGAAGCCUCUGAAGGAAGUUGAGUUGAAACGCAGUUGCUCCAAUCAAGUUUUGCAAAGGCAAUAGCUAUAGACGAAAAUGUGGCAACAUUUCCAGGAUCCCAAUAUCUUCUCGAAUCCCCAUAUUAUCUUUUUCUUUCCCAGAGUCCAAAACUUCACGUGGCCUCUAAUAAUGCCUGUCGGCACUUUCGGCGUUUUCAAGUAUUAUUUUCGUCAAAGCUGAUCUUGCUUUACGGAUUUCACGGAGCUACUUUUUCAAAAGUAUCCCGAGAAUCUCGCAAUUUUCCUACGGUUAAUUUGAAAUUCACAGGUUCUACCUAUUCAUUGUAUUUGUAUAUAAAUGUGUUACUAACGAAAUUUUCUUUGCAGAAGAUAUCCAGUUUACUCCAUACCUAGUGAUGCGAUAUCUACUUGUUUUUCUUAUCAGUGAGCACUUAAUAUGCCCGAGAAGCAAGACUAUCUCUGAUCAUCCAUUCAGGAAGCGAGACUAUCCCUGAUCACGUUUUCGCCACAUUAGGGAACUGUGAAGGUGACCUUAUGCUCCAAUCUCCUGAGGUCCUUCUAGACUAGGAGAAAUGAGAGCUUGUUGUUUGCUCCCACCAGCUUCCUUCCUUGAUUGCUUACCUUAUCUUGCAAUCAAUAUCACAAUUUUUGUAUUUUUUCUUUCUUUUAUAACCCUCUGUUCAUAAGGGAUUUUAUUUCUUUAGAAUGAACAUAUGAAGAAUGAAUCCAUGAAGUAAUCCUAACUAUGAGGGUUAUUUGUUUUGACAGAGGCAAAAGAGUUGUGAUUUUUGCUCUUGCAGGAUAUAACAAGAUCAUCAAGCGAUACUUUAUAUUUACUGGGCCGAUACGAGCUUGAAUGAUACUUGAGAAAAGUUUCUCCCACCUAAGGAUGUAAGCAAUACUUGUGUUAUUUUAUGCUUAUAUACCUAUUUGAUAUUUUAUCUUGAAAGGUAACCAAAUUGGGAGAUAAGUCCGUUCCAAAAGAAUGGCUUGUAUGUAUCCAUGAAUUAUUAACGCAAAUUUUACAGAUUGCAAGUUGGAUACAUUGAUAAUACACUGCACAGAUUAAAGUCCCAUAAGAACAGAAUAUGGGUAUAGCAGUGAUCAAUAUGAUGCACGCCUGUUGCGUAGCAAAUGAUGUGGAUUGAAGUCCCGAAAGGACAAUCCAUUGACAUGUCAAUAUUGAUAUUAUGCACACCUAAUGCGUAGCAAAUUAUAUGGGUUAAAGUCCCAUAAUAUGGGUUAAAGUCCCAUAAAUUAAUUGACAUGUAUGUAUUAAUCUGUGGCAUGCCUGCAGCAUGAGAGAUAUAUGGGUUCUAAAUGUUCCAACUCCCUAAAUGGAGAUUAUCCACACCCUACUGCUAAAUAACGCUCCAUUGGAGGUUAUAAUCCACAUUCUCACAUAAUAAAAGCCCCAUGAAGUGGCUUGGGUACCCAAAAGCAAAGAAAUGCUUAUAAUUGAUGCAUGCGCAUGCACAUGAGAAUUGUGAGAUUAUGAAUUGAUGAAUGACAAUUUUUGGUUUUGGAGUAGCUACUCAAAUCAUCAAUGGGCUGUGUUGAUUGGAACCACGUUCAAUUAUUAAAUGUCGACAAUAUUAUUGGCCAAAAUGGAACGAGGUAAUUCCAUUAUAAAUGAGAAUGAACGUGAAAGAACAAACCCACAAUACGAACCCCAAAAAUUUGUUUAUACUGAAUUUAUACUUUGGGUGUUCGGAUAAAAGGGAAUAUACCUACUUUGUAUGACCCACUGUUUCUAGCAGAACAAGAUGUUGGGUUUUCUCAUAUCCACAGAUCCAUGUGCCCCCCCCCCCCCUNNNNNNNNNNNNNNNNNNNNNNNNNNNNNNNNNNNNNNNNNNNNNNNNNNNNNNNNNNNNNNNNNNNNNNNNNNNNNNNNNNNNNNNNNNNNNNNNNNNNNNNNNNNNNNNNNNNNNNNNNNNNNNNNNNNNNNNNNNNNNNNNNNNNNNNNNNNNNNNNNNNNNNNNNNNNNNNNNNNNNNNNNNNNNNNNNNNNNNNNNNNNNNNNNNNNNNNNNNNNNNNNNNNNNNNNNNNNNNNNNNNNNNNNNNNNNNNNNNNNNNNNNNNNNNNNNNNNNNNNNNNNNNNNNNNNNNNNNNNNNNNNNNNNNNNNNNNNNNNNNNNNNNNNNNNNNNNNNNNNNNNNNNNNNNNNNNNNNNNNNNNNNNNNNNNNNNNNNNNNNNNNNNNNNNNNNNNNNNNNNNNNNNNNNNNNNNNNNNNNNNNNNNNNNNNNNNNNNNNNNNNNNNNNNNNNNNNNNNNNNNNNNNNNNNNNNNNNNNNNNNNNNNNNNNNNNNNNNNNNNNNNNNNNNNNNNNNNNNNNNNNNNNNNNNNNNNNNNNNNNNNNNNNNNNNNNNNNNNNNNNNNNNNNNNNNNNNNNNNNNNNNNNNNNNNNNNNNNNNNNNNNNNNNNNNNNNNNNNNNNNNNNNNNNNNNNNNNNNNNNNNNNNNNNNNNNNNNNNNNNNNNNNNNNNNNNNNNNNNNNNNNNNNNNNNNNNNNNNNNNNNNNNNNNNNNNNNNNNNNNNNNNNNNNNNNNNNNNNNNNNNNNNNNNNNNNNNNNNNNNNNNNNNNNNNNNNNNNNNNNNNNNNNNNNNNNNNNNNNNNNNNNNNNNNNNNNNNNNNNNNNNNNNNNNNNNNNNNNNNNNNNNNNNNNNNNNNNNNNNNNNNNNNNNNNNNNNNNNNNNNNNNNNNNNNNNNNNNNNNNNNNNNNNNNNNNNNNNNNNNNNNNNNNNNNNNNNNNNNNNNNNNNNNNNNNNNNNNNNNNNNNNNNNNNNNNNNNNNNNNNNNNNNNNNNNNNNNNNNNNNNNNNNNNNNNNNNNNNNNNNNNNNNNNNNNNNNNNNNNNNNNNNNNNNNNNNNNNNNNNNNNNNNNNNNNNNNNNNNNNNNNNNNNNNNNNNNNNNNNNNNNNNNNNNNNNNNNNNNNNNNNNNNNNNNNNNNNNNNNNNNNNNNNNNNNNNNNNNNNNNNNNNNNNNNNNNNNNNNNNNNNNNNNNNNNNNNNNNNNNNNNNNNNNNNNNNNNNNNNNNNNNNNNNNNNNNNNNNNNNNNNNNNNNNNNNNNNNNNNNNNNNNNNNNNNNNNNNNNNNNNNNNNNNNNNNNNNNNNNNNNNNNNNNNNNNNNNNNNNNNNNNNNNNNNNNNNNNNNNNNNNNNNNNNNNNNNNNNNNNNNNNNNNNNNNNNNNNNNNNNNNNNNNNNNNNNNNNNNNNNNNNNNNNNNNNNNNNNNNNNNNNNNNNNNNNNNNNNNNNNNNNNNNNNNNNNNNNNNNNNNNNNNNNNNNNNNNNNNNNNNNNNNNNNNNNNNNNNNNNNNNNNNNNNNNNNNNNNNNNNNNNNNNNNNNNNNNNNNNNNNNNNNNNNNNNNNNNNNNNNNNNNNNNNNNNNNNNNNNNNNNNNNNNNNNNNNNNNNNNNNNNNNNNNNNNNNNNNNNNNNNNNNNNNNNNNNNNNNNNNNNNNNNNNNNNNNNNNNNNNNNNNNNNNNNNNNNNNNNNNNNNNNNNNNNNNNNNNNNNNNNNNNNNNNNNNNNNNNNNNNNNNNNNNNNNNNNNNNNNNNNNNNNNNNNNNNNNNNNNNNNNNNNNNNNNNNNNNNNNNNNNNNNNNNNNNNNNNNNNNNNNNNNNNNNNNNNNNNNNNNNNNNNNNNNNNNNNNNNNNNNNNNNNNNNNNNNNNNNNNNNNNNNNNNNNNNNNNNNNNNNNNNNNNNNNNNNNNNNNNNNNNNNNNNNNNNNNNNNNNNNNNNNNNNNNNNNNNNNNNNNNNNNNNNNNNNNNNNNNNNNNNNNNNNNNNNNNNNNNNNNNNNNNNNNNNNNNNNNNNNNNNNNNNNNNNNNNNNNNNNNNNNNNNNNNNNNNNNNNNNNNNNNNNNNNNNNNNNNNNNNNNNNNNNNNNNNNNNNNNNNNNNNNNNNNNNNNNNNNNNNNNNNNNNNNNNNNNNNNNNNNNNNNNNNNNNNNNNNNNNNNNNNNNNNNNNNNNNNNNNNNNNNNNNNNNNNNNNNNNNNNNNNNNNNNNNNNNNNNNNNNNNNNNNNNNNNNNNNNNNNNNNNNNNNNNNNNNNNNNNNNNNNNNNNNNNNNUUUUUACACAAUUUACGGAGACCCAACAUUUUAUCUUUAAGGGUCAUUAAAUGCACGGAGCAUAUCGCCAGAAAGCGAUUCCCCUAAAGAUGUAUAAAUAGCUGGGUUAAAGCUAUAUAAUGUGUCAUAAAGUUUAAUCCUUUUAGACAAAAUCCGUUGAGAGGAUUGACAUUGCAUAAAGCAAGUCCCUAAAAGACAUGUGCUUGAAGCACAAAAUUUGUACUCAAUAUUAAUAUGCAUAAAUUACCUCAGUGAGUACAUUGAUUAUAAUGUGAUUGCAACACAUUAAAGCUUCUGCAGAAUUCAUGAAAUAUUUGUCUCGAUCGAGCAUUAUACCAACGAGAUUGUUGCUUAUACUAAGAGAGUCUUAUCCGUUGGUCCAUAAAUGUUUUUCCAGAAGUAUAUUGGACCGGACAUCAUAUUUUCCAGAUGAGGCUCAACUCCAUCAGCAUCAUUUUGGGAUGGUGUGAGGUAUAUUUGAUGCUAUCUCCGCAUAACACCAUGUAUGGGCAUAUUCUUUCAUAUGAUCUUACAAAUAGCCCAGGUUUUGUUGGAAACGCGGACUCUGAAAAUUUCUAUGAUUUACAUAGAGAUAGCUCACUGGAAAUUUAUUUACUAUAUGAAUUGUUGGUGGCUACAUCAUUCACUCACUCCGAAAGAUUCUCACUCCAAAAGAUAGUUAUGAAGACAUCAGGGGGAGAUAUUAAUCAGGGGGAGCAUCCAGAAGUAUGCUAUACAGAUUGUUGUACUCUUCUUUCUUCCUUCCAUCAGUUCUCUACCUUACUAGGUUUUCUCCAAGCAAAGUCUGAUGAAGCAACUGACAUAUUAUUUGUGGUCUCCAAGGGGGAGUGUUGUAAAGUAUAAAGUAGUAGAGCCCACUUACUAUUUGUUUGUAGACUUUGGUGCAUGAUUGUAUUGUAGAUUCACAGGUGGAUUGUAGAUUCACGGGUGUUAUCCACCCUUUCCCUAUAAAAGGCUUCUCUCUUAUGCAAAGAGAGACAAUGAUCGAUGAGGAAGAGAAUAGAGGGAAACGGAAAGAAACAAAGAAGAGGAAAGAAAGAAGGGAAAAGAAAGAAGAGAAGAGAAAGGGAGAAACGGAAAAAGAAGAGGAAAGAAACAAAGAAGAGGAAAGAAAAAAAAGAAGAGGAAAGUGUAACACCCCGACCCCAAUUUAACCCUUAUUUAAUUAUUUAAUUAUUUAAGGGUAUUUUAGUCAUAUUUUAACCGGAGAGAGUUUGGGACCGCAACUUAUAUUUUUGGAUAGGUCGUACUGAGACGAGUUCAUAGACACGUAGUGGGCUCGAAUCGGAGUUGUAACUAGAGAGAUAUGGUCAAAAGAAGCCCAGUGGCAUAAUCGUAAAUAUUUCGAAAUGGGAUUUUUUAUAAAAUCAGAUUUUUCUCUCUCUCGCUCUCCCGCGACUUCUCUCUCUCUCCCGUCGGCCUCUCCUCUCUCUCUCUCUUCGUAACUCCGGCCACCGGCCGCGGCUGCGGACGGGGCCGGUGUCAAAAGAACCGGCUCGACCUCGGCGUCACGUCCCAGCCCAUCCCCGCCAUCGGCCGCCGCUCCAGCCGCCGGAAAAUGGCGAUUUUCGCUCAGAUGUCGCCGGAUCUUCACGGCCGCCGAUCUCCCUCCUCCGGCCUCCAUUUCUGGCGAUCAAGGUAUGGAAAUUCAUCCCUUCUGCAUGCUCUAGCUGAUGGUUGGGUAGGAUUAGAUCGAUUCUUAGCGUAGACAACUCGAUUUUCGAAUUGAAAAUCGGCCGAAACUUCGGCCGCCAUUAUCGGCCAUUUCCGGCCACUUUUUGGGAAAGGUCCAAGAACAAAAGUGGCUCCAAAUAGGGUGUUAUACCUAGGGUAGGAGUUUGGAGCCGAGAUGUUGAGAUUUUCCGGCGAAGCGUUAUCGCUUUGGGCACCCACGCGCUGCCGGCGCGUGCGGCGGCGCGUGGGCGCUGUAGAAAAAGUAGCGAUGUGUUCCGAUGAGAUCCUUAGGUUGUCACGAGUGCGUAGGAUUUCGCGGAUCUCAAUUCGGACGUCGUUUGACUAUCGAACGGAUAAUCGCAUAGUAUGCGUUAUCCUGGUUCGAUAGGUUGGGACCGUCGGAUGGUCCCAAAUUUAAUAUAUGUUAAUCUAGGUAUUUCUAGGAUCGUGUAGGAAUUCACGGAUCGUGAAUCGGAGCCCCGGAUGUUCCGAAUAAUAAUUUAAAGUUUAUAUUUUAUAUUAACCGUCAGAUCAUGCGAUCGUGAGAAAUCCGACCGUCUGAUCUGAACCAAACUCGCAGGACAAGUGUCAUAUACCUGGUAGAACCCAUAGAGACUCUCGGAUCGGAAAUUGGAGGUUGUGGGUUCUGCAAGUCUGUUUGACCAGGGUUAGAGUAGUUUGACCCUUGGUUGACCGUGAAUCUCCCGGAGUAAUCUCACCCUUCCGGGGGGGAUUAUCGGGAGCUAGACUAUUGUGGAGGGUUACACAAAUAUAAGAAUUAAUUUAUAUAAAUAUAAUUAUAUAUGGUUGUACAAGGGUACAACAGAGUCUAGAGUGUCAGUUUGGAGUGCUAUACGCACUACUUUAGGUACCUCCUCGGACUUUGGAUUCAUUACAAGCACCACCAAGUGAAAGUUAGGUCCCACGUGGCGUAGGUUAUCCGGCGUUGGGACCGGCCCCAUACGUGGCGUUGGUUGUACCGGCGUAUGGGGAGAUUUGUGAUAUUAUGUUCAGGUCUCACGUGGCGUAGGUUAUCCGGCGUUGAGACAGGCCCCGUACGUGGCGUUGGUUGUACCGGCGUACGGGGAGAUUAUGUGAUAUUGUGUUGAGGUCGCACGUGGCGUAGGUUAUCCGGCGUGUUGACAGGCCCCAUACGUGGCGUUGGUUGUACCUGCGUAUGCGGAGAUUUGUGAUAUUAUGUUCAGGUCUCACGUGGCGUAGGUUAUCCGGCGUUGAGAUAGGCCCCGUACGUGGCGUUGGUUGUACCGGCGUACGGGGAGAUUAUGUGAUAUUGUGUUGAGGUCGCACGUGGAGUAGGUUAUCCGGCGUGUCGACAGACCCCAUACGUGGCGUUGGUUGGACCGGCGUAUGGGGAGAUUGGUGAUAUGAUAUUGAGGUUCCCGCGUGGCGUAGGUUAUCCGGCGUUGGGACAGGCCCCAUACGUGGCGUUGGUUGUACCGGCGUAUGGGGAGAUAUUAUGAUAGUAUGGCAUGGUCGAAACGUGGCGUAGGUUAUCCGGCGUGUUGACAGGCCCCAUACGUGGCGUUGGUUGUACCGGCGUAUGGGGAGAAUAUGUGAAAUACAGAGAAAUGAUAUAAGGUAUCGCCCAAGUGUGGAAUUGGGUUUUAGGGAAGAACUACGUGUGGCUUGAUCCCUCAAAGAGGGUACGUAGGCAGCCUGAGGUUAUUAGGUGCAGCCGCAGACUAAAUGUUAGUCAUAUUUGGUAUUUGAAUGGUUUGGUAGUUGGAUAGGAAUUAUUGAAAGGCCGAAGGCCAUUUGUGUGAAUUGCAUGAAAUUAUAUUGUGCAUGCUGCCAGUUGGGAAUAUUAAAUGCGUUUUUAUGCAGGUAUAAAUUUUGGGAAAUGUCCAAAUUAUAGGGGAGACUCUGCCGAAAUUUCGGCAGGAAGUCUCGGUUUUUAGUAAGUGGGCCUGGCAUCGGGGUGAUGUCAGGAAUUCCAAAGGGUUCGUCUCGGAUUUUGAGAAAAUUCGGGGCGGGUCCUUAAAGAAAGAGAGAAGAGAGAAGAGGAAAGAGAAGAGGAAAAAGAAAAGAGGAAAGAGAAAAGAAAGAGAGUCAGGCAGAGAAGAGGAAGAGAAGGAAGAAAGAGGGUGAGUGAGCAGAGAAAAAAUUCAGUGAGCCACACAUAUUGUAAACACUAAAGUUGUAGCCCUAUUAUUUUACAUAGUGGAAAAGUUACUACUGCUGCUCUCCGGGGACGUAGGCAUAGCCGAACCUCGUUAAAUACUGUGUCUCAUCUACUUUACGUGCAGCUCAAUAUUCGCACANNNNNNNNNNNNNNNNNNNNNNNNNNNNNNNNNNNNNNNNNNNNNNNNNNNNNNNNNNNNNNNNNNNNNNNNNNNNNNNNNNNNNNNNNNNNNNNNNNNNCCUGCACGUAAAGUAGAUGAGACACAGCAUUUAACGAGGUUCGGCUAUGCCUACGUCCUCGGAGAGCAGCAGUAGUAACUUUUCCACUAUGUAAAAUAAUAGGGCUACAACUUUAGUGUUUACAAUAUGUGUGGCUCACUGAAUUUUCUCUCUGCUCUCUCUCUCUUCACUCAUUCACCCUCUUUCUUCCUUCUCUUCCUCUUGUCUCUUUCCCCUUCACUUUUUCCUCUUCUUUGUUUCUUUCCGUUUCCCUUUCUCUUCUUUUCUCUCUUCCCUUAUUUCUUUCCUCUUUUCUCUUCUCUCUUUCCUCCCUUCUUUCUUUCCUCUUCUUUGUUUCUUUCCUCUUCUUUUUCCGUUUCUCCCUUUCUCUUCUUUUCUUCUCAUUUCUUUCACUUUGCAGGUUGCCUAUUUAUAGGCAGAUUGGUGCAACUCUCGUGAGUGUGCAGUAAGAAAAAGUUGCCGACAAACUCUACCCAAAGUCUCCAAAUGAAUAGUUAGUGGGCUCCACACAAAAACUUUACAACACUCCCCCUUGGAGACCACAAAUAAUAUGUCAGUUGCUUCAUCAGACUUUGCUUGGAGAAAACCUAGUGAGGUAGAAAACUGAUGGAAGGAAGAGUACAACAAUCUGUAUAGCAUACUUCUGGAUGCUCCCCCUGAUUAAUAUCUCCCCCUGAUGUCUUCAUGACUAUCUUUUGGAGUGAGAAUCUUUCGGAGUGAGUGAAUGAUGUAGCCACCAACAAUUCAUAUAGUAAAUAUAUUUCCAGUGAGCUAUCUCUAUGUAAAUCAUAGAAAUUUUCAGAGUCCGCGUUUCUAACAAAACUUGGGCUAUUUAUAAGUUCACUUGAAAGAAUAUGCCCGUACAAGGUGUUAUGCGGAGAUAGCAUCAAAUAUACCUCACAUCAUUCCAAAAUGAUGGUGAUGGAGUUGAGCCCUAUCUGGAAAAUAUGAUGUCCGGUCGAAUAUACUUCCGGAAAAUCAUUAAAGUGUCCAACGGAUAAUCCUCAUAAAAAUUCUUCAAUACUUUCUUAGUAUAAUCAAGAAUCUCGUUGGUAUAAUGCUCGAUCGAGACAAAUAUUUCUUGAAUUCUGCAGAAGCUAUAAUGUGUUGCAAUCACAUUAUAAUCAAUGUACUCACUGAGGUAAUUUAUGCAUAUUAAUAUUGAGUACAAAUUUUGUGCUUCAAGCACAUGUCCUUUAGGGACUUGCUUUAUGCAAUGUCAAUCCUCUCAACGGAUUUUGUUUUAAAAGGGGAUUAAACUUUAUGACACAUUAUAUAGCUUUUACCCAGCUAUUUAUAUAUCUUUAGGAAAUCGCUUCUGGCGAUAUGCUCCUUGCAUUUAAUAACCAUUAAAGAUAAUAUGUUGGUCUCCGUAAUUGUGUAAUAAGGGGGGGCACAAUUGAAUCUGUAAAUAUGGAGAAAACCCAACAUUCCUUGUUUCUGCCAGAAACAUUGUGUCAUACAAAGUAGGUAUAUUCCCUUUUAUUCCGAACACCCAAGUAUAAAUUUCAGUAUUAACAAAUUUUGGGGUUCGUAUUGUGGGUUUGUUCUUUCACGUUCAUUCUCAUUUAUAAUGGAAUUACCUCGUUCCAUUUUCGCCAAUGAUAUUGUCGACAUUUAAUAAUUGAACGUGGUUCCAAUCAACACAGCCCAUUGAUGAUUUGAGUAGCUACUCCAAAACUAAAAAUCGUCUUUCAUCAAUUCAUAAUCUCACAAUUCUCAUGUGCAUGCGCAUGCAUCAAUUAUAAGCAUUUCUUUUGCUUUUGGGUACCUAAGCCACUUCAUUGGGCUUUUAUUAUGUGAGAAUGUGGAUUAUAACCUCCAUUGGAGCGUUAUUUAGCAGUAGGGCGUGGAUAAUCUCCAUUUAGGGAGUUGGAACAUUUAGAACCCAUAUAUCUGUCAUGCUGCAGGCAUGCCACAGAUUAAUACAUACAUGUCAAUUAAUUUAUGGGACUUUAACCCAUAUUAUGGGACUUUAACCUAUAUAAUUUGCUACGCAUUAGGCGUGCAUAAUAUGAAUAUUGACAUGUCAAAGGAUUGUCCUUUCGGGACUUCAAUCCACAUCAUUUGCUACGCAACAGGCGUGCACCCAUAUAUCUGUCAUUAUGGUACAUUAAUCUGUGCAGUGUAUUAUCAAUGUAUCCAACUUGCAAUCUGUAAAAUUUGCAUUAAUAAUUCAUGGAUACAUACAAGCCAUUCUUUUGGAACGGACUUAUCUUCCCAUUUGGUUACCUUUCAAGAUAAAAUAUCAAAUAGGUAUAUAAGCAUAAAAUAACAUAAGUAUUGCUUACAUCCUUAGGUGGGAGAAACUUUUCUCAAGUAUCAUUCAAGCUCAUAUCGGCCCAGUAAAUAUAAUGUAGCGCUUGAUGAUUUAGUUAUAUCCUGCAAGAGCAAAAAUCACAACUCUUUUGCCUCUGUCAAAACAAAUAACCCUCAUAGUUAGGAUUACUUCAUGGAUUCAUUCUUCAGAUGUUCAUUCUAAAGAAAUAAAAUCUCUUAUGAACAGAGAGUUAUAAAAAGAGAAAAAAUGCAAAAAGAUUGUGAUAUUGAUUGCAAGGUAAGGUAAGCAAUCAAGGAAGGAAGCUGGUGGGAGCAAACAACAAGCUCUCAGUUCUCCUAGUCUAGAAGGACCUCAGGAGAUUAGAGCAUAAGGUCGCCUUCACAGUUCCCGGAUGUGGCGGAAACGUGAUCAGGGAUAGUCUCGCUUCCUGAAUGGAUGAUCAGAGAUAGUCUUGCUUCUCGGGCAUAUUGAAUGCUCACUGAUAAGGAAAAUAAGUAGAUAUUGCAUCACUAGGUAUGGAGAAAACUGGAUGUCUUCUGCAAAGAAAAUUUCGUUAGUAACACAUUUAUACACAAAUACAAUGAAUAGGUAGAACCGGUGAAUUUCAAAUUAACCAUAGGAAAAUUGAGAGAUUCUCGGGAUACUUUUGAAAAAGUAGCUCCGUGAAAUCCGCAAAGCAAGAUCGGCUUUUGACAAAAAUAAUACUUGAAAACGCCGAAAGUGCCGACAUGCAUUAUCAGAGGCCACGUGAAGUUUUGGACUCUGGGAAAGAAAAAGAUAAUAUGGGGAUCUGAGAUAAUAUUGGGAUCCUGGAAACUGUAGCCAUAUUUCCUCCUAUAGAUAUGGCCUUUGCAAAACUUGAUUGGAGCAACUGCGUUUCAACUCAACUUCCUUCAGAGGCUUCCAGAACAUAAUGUAAUUUUUAUAGAUUUUACAGGGCCUGCACCUUCAUUGCAGGUGGAAAAAAUCUAUCUGUUGUAUGUUCCUGUAAUAAUAAUUGCGCACAUUCUUAAACUUGCACCUGUGGUUUUUACGUCUUUUCAAAAUGACGGUUUGGAACCUUGUGCCUUAUAGGUUCAAAUAACCACAUCGUAACGCGAUAUCUGGCCUUACAUAAAAGUACUNNNNNNNNNNNNNNNNNNNNNNNNNNNNNNNNNNNNNNNNNNNNNNNNNNNNNNNNNNNNNNNNNNNNNNNNNNNNNNNNNNNNNNNNNNNNNNNNNNNNNNNNNNNNNNNNNNNNNNNNNNNNNNNNNNNNNNNNNNNNNNNNNNNNNNNNNNNNNNNNNNNNNNNNNNNNNNNNNNNNNNNNNNNNNNNNNNNNNNGCCUCAAUUCAUUAUUUGAGGUUUAUAUGAUAUUAUCCAUUUCGCGGUGUAUUCUUAACAACCGGAAUUCACAAAAUAUAUUUCCUCCUUGAGGUGUCGAUUAUAACAAAAUCGAACUUUAAAUUCAUCAUCUUCUUAUGCCAAAGAAAUAUGUGGCAUACCACAAUUUGCAAUAAUACCUCAAGGGUUGUCCAUUUAAUUGUUGGAACUUUAGGUUCUCAACACUGUUAAAUUUUGAACUUCAGGCCAAAGCCACAUAUUCUCAUGGUAUGGACAUUUUUACAAUUUUCUGUACAUAUUUCGGGACUUCAAGCCCUUACAGAAUUGUCCAUAUUGUGAGGAACUUCUGGCAUCUCAUUUAAUUGCUCAUCCAUGAGUUUAAGGAACUGCAGGUUCCCUUUUGUAUAUAGUGACGGUUGACCCAAAAUGGUUCAUAUUUAUGCAUACGUCACUAUUCAUGUGAAUAGUACUAUUUAUCAAGUCAUGAAUACGUAUCUAUUCAUCUGCCAGUACAGUUAUCAUCAAUGUGUACGGCACCAUGAAACUGCAGGUUCCCUUUUGUAUAUAGUGACGGUUUACCCAAAAUGGUUCAUAUUUAUGCAUACGUCACUAUUCAUGUAAAUAGUACUAUUCAUCAAGUCAUGAAUACGUAUCUAUUCAUCUGCCAGUACAGUUAUCAUCAAUGUGUACGGCACUAUGAACCAAUACGGUACUGUUACAUCAUUAAGGAACUUUAGGUCCUUAUUUACAUUUCAGGGAUCAAGGACCCUUAAUUCCGAUCACAUAUUUACAAAUACAGUACCGGAGAGACUGCCAGCUCUCAUAUUAAUAUCAUCAUCAAGGAUCUUCAAGUCCUGAUGUAAUUGUAUGAUGAGGAUCAAGGAACUUCUGGUCCUGAUCUGCUUACUGUAAAAACUCAUCAUACAGCACAAUUAAUCCAUAAAAUAAAUUGCUGAUAAAUAAAUUACUGGUAUGGACGAUAAACCCGCACCAUACUUUAAAUAAAUGUAAAUGUGCGGUAAAAUAAAUUCAUAAAUUAAAUUGCUUGCUGUAUGGACGUUAAUCCCGCACCAUACCUUAAAUAAAUUAAAUAGCUUGCUGUAUGGACGUAAAUCCCGCACCAUACCUUAAAUAAAAUUAAAUGUGCGGUAAAGUAAACGUGCUUGUAUGGGCACUAAUUCUGCUCCAUACAUUUAAAUAAAAGCAAAGGCGUAGACGAUAAACCCGCACCACCCUUUAAAUAAAUAUUGCCGCAUGGGUAAUAAACCUACACCAUACCAUAAAUAAUACUUUAAGUAAAAGUAAAUUUGCGAUAAAGUAAACGUGCUUGUAUGGGCACUAAUUCUGCUCCAUACAUUUAAAUAAAAGCAAAGGCGUGGACGAUAAACCCGCACCACUCUUUUAAAUAAAUACUGUUGUAUGGGUAAUAAACCUACACCAUACAGUAAAUAAAAUAAAUAUGGGGUUAAAACCACCACCGAAUAAAAUAAGAAAAAUGUUAGUAUUAGUAACGGUCUCCCACUGAUAAUAUGUUUAGUAUUACCAAGGGUCCAUUUUUAUUAGUGGUUAGUAAUAGAAAAGUGAAUAGAUAUAGCAUAUUAUAUUACCACAUUUCAAUAUUAAUAUUACAUAUGUAUGUAUAUGUAUAUAUGAAUAUAUUUGUUUCGGUGGGUUCUUAUCAUGUUGGUGGAAAGCUAAAAGUGGCAAUAAAGCUAAAAGUUGCAGAAACCUCUAGCAAUAUAUAUUUUGUAUAUAAUAUAAUAUUAUUAUACUAAUAUAUUAGUGGAAAGCUCUAUAUAUCAGGUUGGCCUUUGCUUGUCCAUCUCAACCACAAAACACACGGCACAGAUCUAAUCACACCUACACCCACCUCGGCUGGUCAUAAUUGUUAGAUAUUAGAUUAAUAUUAAAUAAUUGAGAUAGAGAAAACAGAGUGCUUAUCUCAUGGUCAUCAAGGCAUAUCCCACAUAGAGAGCGUCUCGUGCUGAUAACGUGUUAUAAAAUGACCUGGAAUAUGUACGAAUAUUGAGCUGCACGUAAAGUAGAUGAGACACAGCAUUUAACGAGAUUCGGCUAUGCCUACGUCUCCGGAGAGCAGCAGUAGUAACUUUUCCACUAUGUAAAAUAAUAGGGCUACAACUUUAGUGUUUACAAUAUGUGUGGCUCACUGAAUUUUCUCUCUAGGAGAAUUUCUCUCUGCUCUCUCUUUCCUCUUUCUUCCUUCUCUUCCUCUUGUCUCUUUCCUUUUCUCUCUUUCCUCUUUUCUCUUUCCCCUUCUUUCUUUCCUCUUCUCUUUCCUCUUCUCUCUUCUCUCUUUCCUCUUCUUUGUUUCUUUCCGUUUCCCUCUAUUCUCUUCCUCAUAGAUCAUUGUCUCUCUUUGCAUAAGAGAGAAGCCUUUUAUAGGGAAAGGGUGGAUAACACCCGUGAAUCUACAAUCCACCUGUGAAUCUACAAUACAAUCAUGCACCAAAGUCUACAAACAAAUAGUAAGUGGGCUCCACUACUUUAUACUUUACAACACUCCCCCUUGGAGACCACAAAUAAUAUGUCAGUUGCUUCAUCAGACUUUGCUUGGAGAAAACCUAGUAAGGUAGAGAACUGAUGGAAGGAAGAAAGAAGAGUACAACAAUCUGUAUAGCAUACUUCUGGAUGCUCCCCCUGAUUAAUAUCUCCCCCUGAUGUCUUCAUAACUAUCUUUUGGAGUGAGAAUCUUUCGGAGUGAGUGAAUGAUGUAGCCACCAACAAUUCAUAUAGUAAAUAUAUUUCCAGUGAGCUAUCUCUAUGUAAAUCAUAGAAAUUUUCAGAGUCCGCGUUUCCAACAAAACCUGGGCUAUUUGUAAGAUCAUAUGAAAGAAUAUGCCCAUACAUGGUGUUAUGCGGAGAUAGCAUCAAAUAUACCUCACAUCAUCCCAAAAUGAUGGUGAUGGAGUUGAGCCUUAUCUGGAAAAUAUGAUGUCCGGUCCAAUAUAAUUCCGGAAAAUCCUUAAAGUGCCCAACGGAUAAUCCUCAUAAAAAUGCUUCAAUACUUUCUCAGUAUAAGCAAGAAUCUCGUUGGCAUAAUGCUCGAUUUUUAAGUCGAGAUAAAUAUUUCGUGAAUUCUGCAGAAGUUUUAAUGUAUUGCAAUCACAUUAUAAUCAAUGUACUCAUUGAGGUAAUUUAUGCAUAUUAAUAUUGAGUACAAAUUUUGUGCUUCAAGCACAUGUCCUUUAGGGACUUGCUUUAUGCAAUGUCAAUCCUCUCAACGGAUUUUGUUUAAAAGGGAUUAAACUUUAUGACACAUUAUAUAGCUUUUACCCAGCUAUUUAUACAUCUUUAGGAAAUCACUUCUGGCGAUAUGCUCCGUGCAUUUAAUAACCCUUAAAGAUAAUAUGUUGGUCUCCGUAAUUGUGUAAUAAGGGGGGCACAAUUGAAUCUGUAAAUAUGGAGAAAACCCAACAUUCCUUGUUUCUGCCAGAAACAUUGUGUCAUACAAAGUAGGUAUAUUCCCUUUUAUUCCGAACACCCAAGUAUAAAUUUCAGUAUUAACAUCUUUUGGGGUUCGUACUGUGGGUUUGUUCUUUCACGUUCAUUCUCAUCUAUAAUGGAAUUACAUCAUUCCAUUUUGGCCAAUAAUAUUGUCGACAUUUAAUAAUUGAACGUGGUUCCAAUCAACACAGCCCAUUGAUGAUUUAAGUAGCUACUCCAGCACCAAAAAUUGUCAUUCAUCAAUUCAUGAUCUCACCAUUCUCAUUUGCAUGCGCAUGCAUCAAUUCUAAGCAUUUCUUUGCUUUUGGGUACCCAAGCCACUUCAUUGGGCUUUUAUUAUGUGAGAAUGUGGAUUAUAACCUCCAAUGGAGCGUUAUUUUACAUAGGGCGUGGAAAAUCUCCAUUUAGGGAGUUGGAACAUUUAGAACCCAUAUAUCUGUCAUGCUGCAGGCAUGCCACAGAUUAAUACAUACAUGUCAAUUAAUUUAUGGGACCUUAACCCAUAUUAUGGGACUUUAACCCAUAUAAUUUGCUACGCAUUAGGCGUGCAUAAUAUCAAUAUUGACAUGUCAAAGUAUUGUCCUUUCGGGACUUCAAUCCACAUCAUUUGCUAGGCAACAGGCGUGCAUCAUAUUGAUCACUGCUAUACCCAUAUUCUGUUCUUAUGGGACUUUAAUCUGCGCAGUGUAUUAUCAAUGUAUCCAACUUGCAAUCUGUAAAAUUUGCGUUAAUAAUUCAUGGAUACAUACAAGCCAUUCUUUUGGAACGGACUUAUCUCCCCAUUUGGUUACCUUUCAAGAUAAAAUAUCAAAUAGGUAUAUAAGCAUAAAAUAACACAAGUAUUGCUUACAUCCUUAGGUGGGAGAAACUUUUCUCAAGUAUCAUUCAAGCUCAUAUCGGCCCAGUAAAUAUAAUGUAGCGCUUGAUGAUCUAGUUAUAUCCUGCAAGAGCAAAAAUCACAACUCUUUUGCCUCUGUCAAAACAAAUAACCUUCAUAGUUAGGAUUACUUCAUGGAUUCAUUCUUCAGAUGUUCAUUCUAAAGAAAUAAAAUCCCUUAUGAACAGAGAGUUAUAAAAAGAGAAAUAAUGCAAAAAUAAUGUGAUAUUGAUUGCAAGAGAAGGUUAGCAAUCAAGGAAGGAAGCUGGUGGGAGCAAACAACAAGCUCUCAGUUCUCCUAGUCUAGAAGGACCUCAGGAGAUUAGAGCAUAAGAUCGCCUUCACAGUUUCCUGAUGUAGCGGAAACGUGAUCAGGGAUAGUCUCGCUUCCUGAAUGGAUGAUCAGAGAUAGUCUUGCUUCUCGGGCAUUUUAAAUGCUCACUGAUAAGAAAAACAAGUAGAUAUCGCAUCACUAGGUAUGGAGAAAACUGGAUGUCUUCUGCAAAGAAAAUUUCGUUAGUAACACAUUUAUACACAAAUAAGAUAAAUAGGUAGAACUGGUGAAUUUCAAAUUAACCAUAGGAAAAUUGCGAGAUUCUCGGGAUGCUUUUGAAAAAGUAGCUCCGUGAAAUCCGUAAAGCAAGAUCAGCUUUGACGAAAAUAAUACUUGAAAACGCCGAAAGUGCCGACAGGCAUUAUUAGAGGCCACGUGAAGUUUUGGACUCUGGGAAAGAAAAAGAUAAUAUGGGGAUUCGAGAAGAUAUUGGGAUCCUGGAAAUGUUGCCACAUUUUCGUCUAUAGCUAUUGCCUUUGCAAAACUUGAUUGGAGCAACUGCGUUUCAACUCAACUUCCUUCAGAGGCUUCCAGAACAUAAUAUAAUUUUUAUAGAUUUUACAGGGCCUGCACCUUCAUUGCAGGUGGAAAAAAUCUAUCUGUUGUAUGUUCCUGUAAUAAUAAUUGCGCACAUUCUUAAACUUGCACCUGUGGUUUUUAUGUCUUUUCAAAAUGACGGUUUGGAACCUUGUGCCUUAUAGGUUCAAAUAACCACAUUGUCUCUCCCAAAUUGCAUGGUAGCCCGGAACUUUUGGCCUGGGCACAAACUCAGAAUUUAUUUGCCCUUUUCAAAUGGACAUGAAAUGUGAAUUGAGUAAAAGCCAUGAUAAUAUCGCAAUAUAGUAGUGAAGAGCAUUAACUACUAUAUACCCACAACUUCAAGUUCAGGAUCUCUCAUAUAUUUGGAUCCAUGGGCUUCCGGCCCAGAUAUAACAAAAUAUGUGGGGAGCCUCAAUUCAUUAUUUGAGGUUUAUAUUGAUAUUAUCCAUUUCGCGGUGUAUUCUUAACAACCGGAAUUCACAAAAUAUAUUUCUUCCUUGAGGUGUCGAUUAUAACAAAAUCGAACUUUAAAUUCAUCAUCUUCUUAUGCCAAAGAAAUAUGUGGCAUACCACAAUUUGCAAUAAUACCUCAAGGCCAAAAGUUCCGGGCUACCAUGAAAUUUGGGAGAGACAAUGUGGUUAUUUGAACCUAUAAGGCACAAGGUUCCAAACCGUCAUUUUGAAAAGACGUAAAAAACCACAGGUGCAAAUUUUAAGAAUGUGCGCAAUUAUUAUAACAGGAAAGGAGCAAGUUGAAACGCAGUUGCUCCAAUCAAGUUUUGCAAAGGCAAUAUCUAUAGGAGGAAAUAUGGCUACAGUUUCCAGGAUCCCAAUAUUAUCUCAGAUCCCCAUAUUAUCUUUUUCUUUUCCAGAGUCCAAAACUUCACGUGGCCUCUGAUAAUGCAUGUCGGCACUUUCAGCGUUUUCAAGUAUUAUUUUUUUCAAAAGCCGAUCUUGCUUUGCGGAUUUCACGGAGCUACUUUUUCAAAAGUAUCCCGAGAAUCUCGCAAUUUUCCUAUGGUUAAUUUGAAAUUCACCGGUUCUACCUAUUCAUUGUAUUUGUGUAUAAAUGUGUUACUAACGAAAUUUUCUUUGCAGAAGACAUCCAGUUCUCUCCAUACCUAGUGAUGCGAUAUCUACUUGUUUUUCUUAUCAGUGAGCACUUAAUAUGCCCGAGAAGCAAGACUAUCUCUGAUCAUCCAUUCAGGAAGCGAGACUAUCCUUGAUCACGUUUUCGCCACAUCAGGGAACUGUGAAGGCGACCUUAUGCUCUAAUCUCCGAAAGUUCUUCUAGACUAGGAGAAAUGAGAGCUGGUUGUUUGCUCCCACCAGCUUGCUUCCUUGAUUGCUGAGCUUGUUGUCUGCUCCCACCAGCUUCCUUCCUUGAUUGCUUACCUUCUCUUGCAAUCAAUAUCACAUUAUUUUUGCAUUAUUUCUCUUUUUAUAACUCUCUGUUCAUAAGGGAUUUUAUUUCUUUAGAAUGAACAUCUGAAGAAUGAAUCCAUGCAGUGAUCCUAACUCUGAGAGUUAUUUGUUUUUGACAGAGAAAAGAAUUGUGAUUUUUGCUCUUGCAGGAUAUAACAAGAUCAUCAAGCGAUACUUUAUAUUUACUGGGCCGAUACGAGCUUGAAUGAUACUUGAGAAAAGUUUCUCCCACCUAAGGAUGUAAGCAAUACUUGUGUUAUAUUAUGCUUAUAUACCUAUUUGAUAUUUUAUCUUGAAAGGUAACCAAAUGGGAAGAUAAGUCCGUUCCAAAAGAAUGGCUUGUAUGUAUCCAUGAAUUAUUAAUGCAAAUUUUACAGAUUGCAAGUUGGAUACAUUGAUAAUACACUGCACAGAUUAAUGUACCAUAAGAACAGAAUAUGGGUAUAGCAGUGAUCAAUAUGAUGCACGCCUGUUGCGUAGCAAAUGAUAUGGAUUGAAGUCCCGAAAGGACAAUCCUUUGACAUGUCAAUAUUGAUAUUAUGCACGCCUAAUGCGUAGCAAAUUAUAUGGGUUAAAGUCCCAUAAUAUGGGUUAAAGUCCCAGAAAUUAAUUGACAUGUAUGUAUUAAUCUGUGGCAUGCCUGCAGCAUGACAGAUAUAUGGGUGCACGCCUGUUGCGUAGCAAAUGAUAUGGAUUGAAGUCCCGAAAGGAAAAUCCUUUGACAUGUCAAUAUUGAUAUUAUGCACGCCUAAUGCGUAGCAAAUUAUAUGGGUUAAAGUCCCAUAAUAUGGGUUAAAGUCCAAUAAAUUAAUUGACAUGUAUGUAUUAAUCUGUGGCAUGCCUGCAGCAUGACAGAUAUAUGGGUUCUAAAUGUUCCAACUCCCUAAAUGGAGAUUAUCCACGCCCUACUAUAAAAUAACGCUCCAUUGGAGGUUAUAAUCCACAUUCUCACACAAUAAAAGCCCCCUGCAGUGGCUUGGGUACCCAAAAGCAAAGAAAUGCUUAUAAUUGAUGCACGCGCAUGCAAAUGAGAAUGAUGGGAUCAUGAAUUGAGGAAUGACAAUUUUUGGUUUUGGAGUAGCUACUCAAAUCAUCAAUGGGCUGUGUUGAUUGGAACCACGUUCAAUUAUUAAAUGUCGACAAUAUCAUUGGCCAAAAUGGAACGAGGUAAUUCCAUUAUAAAUGGGAAUGAACGUGAAAGAACAAACCCACAAUACGAACCCCAAAAUUUGUUAAUACUGAAUUUAUACUUGGGUGUUCGGAAUAAAAGGGAAUAUACCUACUUUGUAUGACACACUGUUUUCUAGCAGAAACAAGGAAUGUUGGGUUUUCUCCAUAUUUACAGAUUCAAUUGUGCCCCCCCUUAUUACACAAUUACGGAGACCAACAUAUUAUCUUUAAGGGUUAUUAAAUGAACGGAGCAUAUCGCCAGAAGCGAUUCCCUAAAGAUGUAUAAAUAGCUGGGUUAAAGCUAUAUAAUGUGUCAUAAAGUUUAAUCCCCUUUUUAAACAAAAUCCGUUGAGAGGAUUGACAUUGCAUAAAGCAAGUCCCUAAAGGACAUGUGCUUGAAGCACAAAAUUUGUACUCAAGAUUAAUAUGCAUAAAUUACCUCAGUGAGUACAUUGAUUAUAAUGUGAUUGCAACACAUUAAAGCUUCUGCAGAAUUCACGAAAUAUUUGUCUCGAUUGAGCAUUAUGCCAACGAGAUUCUUGCUUAUACUAAGAAAGUAUUGAAGCAUUUUUAUGAGUCUUAUCCGUUGGUCCUUAAAUGUUUUUCCGGAAGUAUACUAGACCAGAUAGAGCUCAGCUCCACACUGUACUCUUUUUCCUUCAUCCAGGUUUUUAUCCCAUUGGGUUUUUCCUGGUAAGGUUUUAACGAGGCAGUGUAGCUCAAAGGUUUAGGGUAUACUAUGAAAAUUUCUAUGGUCGCUUACUGGACAGAAGCUAGUCCUAAAUUUUUCAGGGGGAGAUAUUCAUCAGGGGGAGCAUGGUUUUAAUAAAGACCUUCAUACACUGUACUCUUUUUCCUUCAUCCAGGUUUUUAUCCCACUGGGUUUUUCCUGGUAAGGUUUUAACGAGGCAAUGUCACUCAAGAGUGACUCACAGAAGCAGUGUCAACUACGAUAUUCAGAAAGGUGAACAACAGUAUGACUUAAAGAUAUUUUGCCAAGCAUCAGGGGGAGCGCGCUAUCAAUAAAGAUCUUCAAACACUGUACUCUUUUUCCUUCGUCCAGGUUUUUAUCCCACUGGGUUUUUCCUGGCAAGGUUUUAACGAGGCAGUGUCGCACGCGCGUCAAUAUACAUAGAAUUUAAUAUUACACAUGAUUAUGUACUCUUUUUCCCUUUGACCAGUUUUUGUCACACUGGGUUUUUACUGGCAAGGUUUUUAACGAGACAUAUUCUGUAUCAUUUGUGGUCUCCAAGGGGGAGUGUUGUAAAUGUGGAGCCCAAAUGCCUAUAAAUAGGGCUUCUCCAUUUGUAACAAAACACACAAUAAGAAGAGAAAAACUUCUCUCUCUCUCUCCAUCUAAAUUCUCUGUCAAUUCCCUCUCCAAUUCCUCUUGAUUUAUAACAAGUUGUAUAUUUUUUUUGGCCUAUUGAGUAAACUAUUGCGUACAAAAGUACUAAAUUGAAAUGAGUGGUUUUUUCCCAUAAAUGUAGUAUAAUUUUACUAUUAUAUUCACAUUAAAAUACAAUUUUGACAAGUAUUGAUUUGUGGUGAGGGGUCCAUAGGCUUAAGUAUAGCAAUUUUUCUUUGCAUUUGUUACCACAUCCAAUAUAUACAUUCAAAAGGGUUAAAUAAAUUGGAGGGGCCAAGGCCAUCCCAGGCCUUAGUACAGCUCCGCCCCUGUGUCCAGAGAUUAAGGUACGGGCUCCAUUUGCUUCUGUGGCUAUUUCUCCGGAACAUGUUGCACAGGCGAUGAGUUUUUCUCAAAUACUUCUUUCUGACUUCGUUCUCUUCUCUGUAUAGUUUUGCUGGAUAUAAUUCAGUAGAAAUGCUAGCUUUAUAUUGGCCCCUUUUUUUUUCUUCUCAUUUCCUGGAAAUAUAAAUCUCGUGCAAGCUUUACUGGUCCUUUUCUCUCCUUUCCCUUCUUUUUGUUUAAUUAAGCAUAUACAGAAUCAAGAUAUUCAUGUGGUAAAAACUACAAGAGUUCUUUUGUUUACCUUGUAAAGAGAGUAAGUGGGUGUCCAAUUUGAACCAAAAAAAUUUCAUUUCCCUGUUUCACAUAAAAUUGAAAAACUGAAAUUAAUUACCAAACAACUUUUUUCAGUUAUUUUUUUUAAAAUUGAAAAUAAAAAACUGAUGGUUAUCAAACGAACCCUUAAUAUUUUCGUUUCGUCUUGUUUGAGUGGGAUCCCUUUACAUAUUUUAUUGGUUUGUUUUGUAAUUCUUUGUCAUAGGGUUCAGGGAUUAUGAUUAUGAUUUCAUCUUUUCCAGUUAAGGGAUUAUGAUUUCGAAACUUGAUGCUUACCUUUAUUUAUUUUUUAUGUUGAGUCUGAAAAAAGAAAAUGAUUUGGUUGUAAAUUUGUGAAUAAUAGGAUGGUAUGAAAAAAGCUCAAAAAAAAAUUAGAACCCGUUUGAUGACUAUUUCGGUAUUUUAUUUUUAGUUUCUAUUUUUCAAUUCAAAGAAAUUGAAAGCAUAAAACUUCUUUGGUUAUUAAUUUUAAGGCCUCGUUUGAUAACCAUUUUAUUUUAUUUUCUGUUUUUUUAUUAUUAUUAAAGAAAAACAGAAAACAUAUUUGAUAAAACUUUUCAUUGUCAGAUUUCAAAGUUACCCUUUCUAAUUCUCAUGAAUCAAACAUUUUCAAAUAAUCCAUUCUCUAAAACAAACAGUGCUUAAUAAGUAUUGACAUCUGAAUCAAUACUUGAUGAACUAUCUAAGACAACAUGCAAACUACGUUCAUUAGAUAUAUGCUUUUGACCUCAUUAUUCUUGUAGUGACCUACAAUUAGAAUAGUACACUACAAUUAGAAUAGUAUAUUAUCAUUUUGCAUGUCGAAACGGUUUUCGAUUUAUCUAAUUUUUUGUAAGGAUGAUUUAUGAAUGAAGACCUAAAAAAUAGAGAGUUUGGAUCAUUGAAAAAAAUAUUCGUAGAGUACCUUAAAGGGUGUCCCUUAAAUAAAAUUAUUUGAAGGAUCCUCAAUAUAUAUAUAUGUACAUGAUGAGUAGUAUAUAUAUUAUAACAUAAUCAAAGCCAAUUGUUAGAUUUCCUUCAUGAUUAUAACACAUUAUAUAAUAAUUCAUGUUUCUUCAAUAGAUUCUACAAAGGGCCACUUGUUAGAUUUGUAGGCUCACUCCGCAUUGUAUUUCAUUAAUCUAAAUUCUACAUUCUAGAUAAUCAUUCAAAAAUCAUAUCUACAAAAAAUCACUUGAAUCCGAUAUUGUUUGACCACUCAAUUGUGUUAUUGAAAUUUUAGUACUUUCUUGAAGCACUGUGUUCUUUGAUUUUGUAGGAUACAAUUGGAUGUCGAAACGGUUUCCGAUUUAUCUAAUUUUUUGUAAAGAUGACGAGUAGUGUAUAUUCUUUUAAAAACAACAUAAAAAUAGUGGUAUGUUGUAAAAUAAAGAAGGUGGAGUCCAAAAUGAUGCUUACCUAUAAAGCUUCCCCCCCACUUGUAUUGGUAGGGAGAAGGUGGAGUCCAAAAUGGUAAUGAUGAUGCUUGCCAACACAAGAAGAAUGAUUAGGCAACCACUUUGUUCUGCCUACAAAUAAGGCUUCCUCCUCACUUGUAAUAUAUAGAACAUAGAUACAGAUAUGUGAAGAACUCUCUAUUCAAUAAGAGAUCAGUUUCUCUCUAUCUCAAUUCUCUCCAUUUUCUCUCUUGAUUUAUAACACGUUAUCAGCACGAAGCUCUAACCAGCUGAGUUUUCUGAUAAAAACCAGAGACCAAAAUCAACCGGAAUUCUCAGCUUCUCAAUCCCAAUCCUUGGAGGGGAAAUAUGGCUGAGCGGCAGAGCCGAAGAAAUAUCAAACACAUAAACGAGCCUGAAAAACAAAGAGAGUCUGCAGCCAGCAAUCCAAAGCAGAGAAAGAUCUCUGCUGGCGUCCUUGCCCGACUUGCCGUCCGUCACGUCAAAGACGUUGUAUUGGAUCAGCUGCUGUGCUGUUAGCUCCAUGGUUGCGUCCACACAGAUGCUAAAGGAGCAAAUGACAAGAAGCUCACAACUUGCGGGUCCUGGGCUUAGGCCAGCAGGUCAUAGUCCUAGCCCACGGCUUCGGCACCGACCAGUCGGUCUGAAAGCACCUCGUCCCCCACCGACUACAGAGUCGUCAUGUACGACAACAUGGGCGCCGGAACGACAAAGCCCGAAUACGCCGACUCGGUCACCUUCCCCACAGGCCGAGCAGAGUCCUCUGCCUUCUAAGAUCCUACCACCAAGCCUGCUUACAGCUUCAACAACCUGUCCUCUCAGUUUUUUGUGACAACAAACAGCCACCUCUUGUGAAAUGUGGUCAAGAGGGACAAUAUCCUAUCUGAUGAUGAAAGCUCAUCUUUUGGUCUGCGAAGCUUUUUAUGCACAGAAACAGGUGGACCUUGCUGGGCUUCAUGUUCUCCGGGAUGACGAAGAGCGGCGCGGAGAAGAUCAGGCCCGUCCAAGUGUCGGGCUGGGACUGGAAGUACAUGAGCAUGGUGGCAGCGCCGCCCAUGGACUCGCCGAAGAGGAAGGCAGGGAGGCGGAGGUAUAAUUCGUUGCGGCGCACGUGGAGGAAGAAGGAGAGUGAAGCUUCCUCUGACCAAUGCUCCCGAAGAAAAGCUUUUAACUCAGGAGCUACAGCCUCAUCAUCAGACCGAGCAAUACUGUCUGCAACAGCAUAAGUAGCUGCUGGAUCACCCAAGAAGUCGGAAUGGAGAAGAAAUGCAACACCAUCAAGAGAAAGACCACCACCUGUCAGAUGCGGCACAUGCGCACAUGCAACCUAAUAGUCUCCUGACCACUUGGCACAUGCGCACAUGCACACACGGUUUUGUGGCUACUAAUCUUGGUUAAACUGAAAACAGAUGCCUCCAUAUAUUUCUUUACGAUCAGAUGUGGGCCAUAUCUAUGAAUUGUUUUGUAGAUUGAUAUCUUUGAUGAUGGAUAUCGGUGGAGGAAGUAUGGUCAAAAAGUAAGCCACUAAAAGUGGUUGAAAGGCCGGUGUUGAUAUGAUGCAAGGCACUGGAAAUCUAGUAAGCAUGCCCAAAAAGUGACCCUAUGCUGGAGUAUAUUUUGAAAAGUGGGAUACACAGCAAGUUGAUCAGCCUAGUGGAAAGCAAAGGAUUAUUGCCAGGGAUAUGAACACCCACCGAAAUAAAGGGAUAAGUAUUCUGCCUCACUCUAUUUCCUUCAAUUAAAUACAUUAUUAAAAUAUCUACAGAAUUUAAUACUCAUGACCAGUGUAGAUUGCAGGUGGAAAGAAGAAAAAGCCAACGUGAUAUAUCUAGCUUUCCACUAAUAUAUCAGUAUAAUAAUAUUACACUAUUUAAUUGUGGUGUUGAUAAGAACCCACCAAUAAUUGCCUUUAUUUUUAUUUAAAAGUAUGGAGCAGAAUUAGUGCCCAUACAAGCACGUUUAAUUUACCGCACAUUUAAUUUUAUUUAAAGUAUGGUGCGGGAUUAACGUCCAUACAACAAGCAAUUUAAUUUAUGAAAUUAAUUUACCGCACAUUUACAUUUAUUUAAAAGGGUGGUGCGGGUUUAUCGUCCACGCCUUUACUUUUAUUUAAAUGUAUGGUGCGGGUUUAUCGUCCAUACCAGUAAUUUAUUUACCAGCAAUCUAUUUUAUGGAUUAAAUGUGUUGUAUGAUGAGUUUUUACAGUAAGCAGAUCAGGACCAGAAGUUCCUUGAUCCUCAUCAUACAAUUACAUCAGGACUUGAAGAUCCUUGAUGAUGAUGUUAAUAUGAGAGCUGGCAGUCUCUCCGGUACUAUAUUUGUAAACAUGUUAUUGGACUUGAGGGUCCUUGAUCCUUGACAUGUAAAUAAGGAACUCGGGUUCCUUAAUGAUGUAACAGUACCGUAUUGGUUCAUAAUGCUGUACACUUGGAUGAUAACUGUACUAGCAAAUGUACUGUACACAUAAAUAGUGCACUAUAUAUGAAUAGUGAUGUAUGCAUAAAUAUUUACCAUUUCGGGUAAACUAUCACCAUUCAAAAGGGACCUACAGUUCCUUAAACUCAUGGAUGAGCAAUUAAAUGAGAUGCCAGAAGUUCCUCAAAAUAUGGACAAUUAUGUAAGGACUUGAAGUCUAGAAAUAUGUACAGAAAAUUGUAAAAAUGUCCAUACCAUGAGAAUAUGUGAUUUUGGCCCGAAUUUCAAAAUCUAAGGGGAUUGAAUGUCCAUACCAUAAGAAUAUGUGAUUUUUGGCCUAAAAUUCAAAAUCUAACAGUGUUGAGAACCUGAAGUUCCAACAAUUAAAUGGACAACCCUUGAGGUAUUAUUGCAAAUUGUGGUACGCCACAUAUCUCUUUGGCAUAAGAGAAUGAUGAAUUGAGGCUCCCCACAUAUUUUGUUAUAUCUGGGCCGGAAGCUCAUGAACCCAAAUAUAUGAGAUAUUAGCGUGGCUUUUACUCAAUUCAUAUUUCAUGUCCAUUUUGAAAAGGGCAAAUAAAUUCUGAGUUUUGUGUUUAGCCCAGGCCAAAAAGUUCUGGGCUCCCAUACGUUGAAAUAUGAAAUUUGGGAGAGUCGAUGUGGUUAUUUGAACCUAUAAGGCACAAGGUUCCAAACCGUCAUUUUGAAAAGACGUAAAAACCACAGGUGCAAAUUUUAAGAAUGUGCGCAAUUAUUAUAACAGGAAAGGAGCAAGUUGAAACGCAGUUGCUCCAAUCAAGUUUUGCAAAGGCAAUAUCUAUAGGAAGAAAUAUGGCUACAGUUUCCAGGAUCCCAAUAUUAUCUCAGAUGCCCAUAUUAUCUUUUUCUUUCCCAGAUUCCAAAACUUCACGUGGCCUCCAUUAAAUGUUUGUCGGCACUUUCGGCGUUUUCAAAGUUUUAUUUUCAUCAAAAACCGAUCUUGCUUUACGGAUUUCACGGAGCUACUUUUUCAAAAGUACCCCGAGAAUCUCGCAAUUUUCUUAUGGUUAAUUUGAAAUUCACCGGUUCUACCUAUUCAUUAUAUUUGUGUAUAAAUGUGUUACUAACGAAAUUUUCUUUGCAGAAGACAUCUAGUUUUUCUCCAUACCUAGUGAUGCGAUACCUACUUGUUUUUCUAAUCAGUGAGCACUUAAUAUGCCCGAGAAGCAAGACUAUCUCUGAUCAUCCAUUCAGGAAGCGAGACUAUCCCUGAUCACGUUUCCGCUACAUCAGGAAACUGUGAAGGCGAUCUUAUGCUCUAAUCUCUGGAAGUCCUUCUAGACUAGGAGAUAUGAGAGCUUAUUGUCUGCUCCCACCAGCUUCCUUCCCUGAUUGCUUACCUUCUUUUUUUGCAUUUUUUCUCUUUCUGUAACUCUCUGAGGAUUAUUUGUUUUUGACAGAGAAAAGAGUUGUGAUUUUACUAUUGCAGGAUAUAACUAGAUCAUCAAGCGCUACAUUUACUGGGCCGAUACAAGCUUGAAUGAUACUUGAGAAAAGUUUCUCCCACCUAAGGAUGUAAGCAAUACUUGUGUUAUUUUUUGCUUAUAUACUUAUUUGAUAUUUUAUCUUGAAAGGUAACUAAAUGGGAAGAUAAGUCCGUUCCAAAAGAAUGGCUUGUAUGUAUCCAUGAAUUAUUAAUGCAAAUUUCACAGAUUGCAAGUUGGAUACAUUGAUAAUACACUGCAUAGAUUAAUGUACCAUAAGAACAGAAUAUGGGUAUAGCAGUGAUCAAUAUGAUGCACGCCUGUUGCGUAGCAAAUGAUAUGGAUUGAAGUCCCGAAAGAACAAUCCUUUGACAUGUCAAUAUUGAUAUUAUGCACGCCUAAUGCGUAGCAAAUUAUAUGGGUUAAAGUCCCAUAAUAUGGGUUAAAGUCCCAGAAAUUAAUUGACAUGUAUGUAUUAAUCUGUGGCAUGCCUGCAGCAUGACAGAUAUAUGGGUUCUAAAUGUUCCAACUCUCUAAACAGAGAUUAUCCACGCCCUACUGUAAAAUAACGCUCCAUUGGAGGUUAUAAUCCACAUUCUCACAUAAUAAAAGCCCCAUGAAGUGGCUUGGGUACCCAAAAGCAAAGAAAUGCUUAUAAUUAAUGCAUGCGCAUGCACAUGAGAAUGGUGAGAUCAUGAAUUGAUGAAUGACAAUUUUUGGUUUUGGAGUAGCUACUCAAAUCAUCAAUGGGCUGUGUUGAUUGGAACCACGUUCAAUUAUUAAAUGUCGACAAUAUUAUUGGCCAAAAUGGAAUGAUGUAAUUCCAUUAUAGAUGAGAAUGAACGUGAAAGAACAAACCCACAGUACGAACCCCAAAAGAUGUUAAUACUGAAACUUAUACUUGGGUGUUCGGAAUAAAAGGGAAUAUACCUACUUUGUAUGACACAAUGUUUCUGGCAGAAACAAGGAAUGUUGGGUUUUCUCCAUAUUUACAGAUUCAAUUGUGCCCCCCCCUUAUUACACAAUUACGAAGACCAACAUAUUAUCUUUAGGGGUUAUUAAAUGCACGGAGCAUAUCGCUAGAAGCGAUUUCCUAAAGAUGUAUAAAUAGCUGGGUUAAAGCUAUAUAAUGUGUCAUAAAGUUUAAUCCCUUUUAAACAAAAUCCGUUGAGAGGAUUGACAUUGCAUAAAGCAAGUCCCUAAAGGACAUGUGCUUGAAGCACAAAAUUUGUACUCAAUAUUAAUAUGCAUAAAUUACCUCAGUGAGUACAUUGAUUAUAAUGUGAUUGCAACACAUUAAAACUUCUGCAGAAUUCACGAAAUAUUUGUCUCGAUCGAGCAUUAUGCCAACGAGAUUCUUGCUUAUACUAAGAAAGUAUUGAAGCAUUUUUAUGAGUCUUAUCCGUUGGUCCUUAAAUGUUUUUCCGGAAGUAUACUAGACCAGAUAGAGCUCAGCUCCACACUGUACUCUUUUUCCUUCAUCCAGGUUUUUAUCCCACUGGGUUUUUCCUGGUAAGGUUUUAACGAGGCAGUGUCGCUCAAGAUUGACUCACAGAAGCAGUCUCAACUACGAUAUUCAGAAAGGUGAUCAACAGUAUGACUUAAAGAUAUUUUGCCAAGCAUCAGGGGGAGCGUGCUAUCAUUAAAGAUCUUCAAACACUGUACUCUUUUUCCUUCGUACAGGUUUUUAUCCCACUGGAUUUUUCCUGGCAAGGUUUUAACGAGGCAGUGUCGCACGCGCGUCAAUAUACAUAGAAUUUUAUGUUACACAUAAUUAUGUACUCUUUUUCCUUUGACCAGUUUUUUUUUUUUGUCCCACUGGGUUUUUACUGGCAAGGUUUUUAACGAGGCAUAUUACAUAUCAUUUGUGGUCUCCAAGGGGGAGUGUUGUAAAAUAAAGAAGGUGGAGUCCAAAAUGAUGCUUACCUAUAAAGCUUCCCCCCCACUUGUAUUGGUAGGGAGAAGGUGGAGUCCAAAAUGGUAAUGAUGAUGCUUGCCAACACAAGAAGAAUGAUUAGGCAACCACUUUGUUCUGCCUACAAAUAAGGCUUCCUCCUCACUUGUAAUAUAUAGAACAUAGAUACAGAUAUGUGAAGAACUCUCUAUUCAAUAAGAGAUCAGUUUUUCUCUAUCUCAAUUCUCUCCAUUUUCUCUCUUGAUUUAUAACAUGGUAUUUCUUUUCAUUUUAUUAAAGGUAAGAAAUUCAAAACUUAUCUCAAAUUGACUUUAUUGAAAAUUUAAAAUUCUAACUAAACUCCACAGCACACAUGUUCCUUCACUGAUGACGUAGGAAACUUAACAUCCCUCCCUUUGAAGUGAAUUUAUCAAUCUACUUCUAUUUCCAUGGCCUAUAUCAAAUUGCAUUAAACAUAGUCAAUAAACGUCAUAAUUUUGUGAUCGUACUCGCCUGUGGUCCUCUUUUCCUUUCAAAGUACCUGAAGCCAACCUUCCCUAAGGACACCCAGACCCAAUCGAGAUAGAAAAAGGCCGCCCUAGCCCAUAUAACAACCAUACAGCGGAUUAGAGAGAGAAAAUAAAAUAUCGUUUCAGCCCCUCCUUACCCAGAGAAACCUUUACACCCUUCCAAGUCCAUCUUUAUCGCUUUCCCAUUGAGUCACAAACCCACGUAACUACGCGCAGUGAUUUAACUUUCAACAUUUGUGUAUAUUAAAUGUGAGACGAAAGGAUAUCUCGCCAAUGUGGGACUAAUAAUUGUCAUUUGGCAAGAGAAGCCCAAUUUAUUUUCUACUAAAGAUUGAGGUGAAACUCAGAUUGUUUCAACCAUAAUGAUUAAACUUGUCAAAACUCAACAUCAAAACCGACAUGAUUAUCUUCUCAUCUUUAAUUGACAAUCACUCAUCUUCACUUAUUUUAGAAUGCGUUGCUUCGCAAAAAUCAAAACCUGGAGAGUUUGCAACUCCAACUUUGGCAAUUUAUUUCUUGGGUUUUUGCUUACACAAUCUCUAAUUUUUUGCUGUGCGGUGGCGGCUCCAUUUUAGGCCAUAUCGCUGCUUGUCGGUCAAUCAUUAGUUAUGUAAGUUCAGCUCAGUUACGAACCAAUUCCACCCCUAUCUAAAGAGGUUAGUAUUUUUAUGUUACACUUGUAUUGGUACUUUUAGUCGUAUUGAAACUACAACACAAUAUCUAGUAUGCGUAGAAUUAAAAAUUAAAUUAUUGAGGAGUUAUGUUAUGCUUAGAUAAGUAAAAAGGAUGAACAUUUUACUCUGAGAUUUUCCAACUCCAACUUCUGGUAAUUUGCUUCUUGGGUUUUCGCUUACCGGAUUUCUAAUUUUAAUUGAGGAAGUGAACUAGCUAGGAAACCUUAACAAGAAGCAUAAAACCAUUACAUAAUUAUUUUUAAAUAAAAAGAGCCCUCAUCUCACAUCAAGAAAGUACACAUCAAGUUUUUAAAUUCUCUCACAAUUAAUCCUUAAAAGUUCAAACUUAAUUUUUGAAAUUUGGGUUUUUUUAAAAGUUCGUUUAUUAAACCUCUAAUUAGGAAACCCCUUCAAAACCAAACAAAAUUCAUUUAGAAAUUAAAGAGAAAAAAACACCAUAUUCAAAAAUUCCCAAGAAAGAAAAACCAUUAUAUCAAUAAAAAAUUACAUUUUAUUAAACCUCUAAUUAUUAACUUGUAUUAGGAAAACCACAUACACAAAAAGAUGGACGUCGGGGGUUGAAGAGCCCCCACGGUGGGUGGCUACAUGAGGGGUGCCGGUGAGCUACUCUGGAGGGAGUAAUGCAGUAAGAGUGUCUUCUCGCUGCUCUGGUAAGCCAACGAGCUUUACAGCAUGCUGCAAAUUACAUCUUCCAUCUUCGCAAGGCGGAAGAAUAUUCUUGACGGCCUGCACUUCAGGGUUGGCCUAGCCGUUAGGGUUGUCCUCAGGUUCCUAAUUCCCUUCCAAACCAUCCUUAUUGCCCCCACAAUGGGUCACAUGCUCGCGUGACUGAGCUCGGCGUUUCUAAAGCCAAUACUUGGGUAUAUUAGGUGCUUAACUGUUGGCUAUUCUAUCGAUGUGGGAUUGUGAGUAUAUGAAAUAUGAGUUCUCUUUCUUCAUGUAUUUUGAAUGAAAACCUUUGCAUCUCUUUGGUCAUAUCUAUUAAACAUGAAAUACAAAGAUGAUUUUUCUAACAGUUUUUGCGUAUUUCAACUAGAUUAUGAACACCAAACAGAUUGAACAAAAUGGAGAAAUCUAUUGCUUAUUUUGUUUGGUUUCAAACUAUACAAGAUGGUUGCCAAGAGCAGUUUCGAGUGCCAUUCUCAAUGAAGAUCCUGUGCACGUAGAACAAUCCAAAUCUUAUGUUUUUGCCUCAAGAAUUCUGGCGUUUGGAUUUUUAUACUUCGGUGUGUCUUAUGAAGGUCCUCGCCGAUCCUCUUUUAGUAGUGCUUAAACCCUAGAAUGCUAUGCUUCUAUUUUAUUUUAUUUUAUUGUUCGAAAAAUGCAAUGCUUCUAAGGACAAGCGAUAUUGAAAGCACAGCAGGAAAACAAGAAUGCAAAAGGUUUCACUUUCAAUAUGGAAUUUUUAUGAAAAUCUAGAUAGUGACAACAUAUUAACACUAACCUGAUUUGGACAUGGUGAUGAUGUUGAUAGCACAACAGGAAAACCAGAGAGUUCUUCGUUUAGAAGCCGAGCCUUAUAGCAGUGAUUCUAGAUGGGGUGAAUUUCUGUAAAGCUUAAGUAUUUCAAGUUUAUGAGGGAACCCUCUAUUUAUAUGCAUCUCUCUAGGAGUCUUGCCCAUCAAGAAACUCCUAGAGAUAACCUUUAUGUGAUAGGAUUAUCUUCUCAUCUUUAAUGACAAUCACUCAUCUUUACUUCUUUUAGAAUGCGUUGCUUCUCCAAAAUCUAAAACCAUGGAGAGUUUGUAACUCCAACUUUUGGCAAUUUACUUCUUGGGUUUUCGCUUACACAAUUUCUAAUUUCAGGUGGUGCGGUGGCGACUCAUUUUUAGGCCAUUUCGGCACUUGUCAGUCAGUCACUAAUCACGUAAGUUUGGUUUGUUUACCAAACCAAUUCCACACCUAUUUGAAGGGGAUAGUAUUUUUAUGUUACACUUUUAUUGGUACUUUUAGUUGUAUUGAAACUACAACACAAUGUCUAUUUGUGUAGAAUUAAAAAUUAAAUUAUUGAGUUAUGUUGUACUUAGAUAAGUAAAAAGGAUGAAAAUUGUACUAAAAAGGAUUUUCCAACUCCAACUUUUGGUGAUUUGCUUCUUGAGUUUUCGCUUAUCCGAUUUCUAAUUUUAGCCCUCUAAUCAUUUGUCUCUCUCAAAUUUAAUUGAGGUAGUUAACUAUCAAGGAAACCUUAACAAGAAGCAUAAAACCAUUACUUAAUUAUUUUUAAUAAAAAGAGCCCUCAUCUCACAUCAAGAAAGCACACAUCAAGUUUUUAAAUUCUUUCGCAAUUAAUCCUUAAAAGUUCAAACCAAACAAAAUUCAUUUGGAAAAUUAAAAAUUACAGCAAAUUCAAAAAAAAAAAAAUUCCCAAGAAAAGAAAAACCAUUAUAUAUAACUAAAACCCCUUUUAUAAGAUCAUCACACCAAUUUUAUUAUUUUUUCAAUUAGUUGUUAAUAUUUUAUUACACAUAAUGUGGACCCUACGAAUGACAUAUCAUCACUUAACUGAUUUCGCUACGAUCAAAGUAAUGACGGAACCAUAUAGCAAUAAAUUUCCAAUGUGGGGUACUAUAUUAUUAAAAUUGAAAGGGCAUGGAUAAAUAACAUACCUAACGGCUUAAGGAUACAAUUGCUUGGUAACUUAAUUUUAUGUUCGUUUAUUAAAACUAACCCACAGCUGUAAAGACGUCUCUCAUCUUCAUCAAGGAGGAAGUAACUCUAUAGCCCUGCCCUUCAGGGCUGGCCUAACCGAAACGGCCUGCACUUCAGGGCUACCUCUUUCUCUUACUACCCAAGUGCGUGAUGUAACCUGUAACUCCUUUGCAUCCAGAUUGGCACGCCGACAAGGGCCCACUGUGCCCCUCAUGUGCGCGCACAUGCCGUCCGCAGGCUCCUACCCCUUCCUAACCAUCCUUAAUGCCCCCACAUUGGGUCACAAACUCACAUGACUGAGCUCAGCACUUCUCAAACCAAGACUUGGGUAUAUUAGGUGCUUAACUUUUCUCUAUUUUAUCGAUGUGGGAUUGUGAAUACAUAAAAUCUGAGUUAUCUUUCUUCACGUAUUUGAAUGAAAAAGCUUUGCAUCUCUUUGGUCAUAUCUAUUUAACAUGAAAUAGAAAGAUGAUUUUUCUAACAGUUUUUGCGUAUUUCAACUAAGUUAUGAACACCAAACAGAUUGAACAAAAUGGAGAAAUCUAUUGCUUGUUUUGUUUGGUUUCAAACUAUACAAGAUGGUUGCCAAGAGCAUUUUCGAGUGCCAUUCUCAAUGAAGAUCCUGUGCACGUAGAACAAUCCAAAGAGUUGAUUGAUUUGCAGAGUCCAAAUCUUAUGUUUUUGCCUCAAGAAUUCUGGGGUUGGGGAUUUAUACUUUGGCCUUCAGCUUCGACUAGAUAAACAAGUUUAUUGUUGACGCACCAACUUCCCCAAAUAUCCAAUUUGAAGAAAGAAAUUUUCAAAGUCAAUACUCAGUCUCCUCUGAUAAACUUUAUGAAUGGAAUAUUGAUGGUCUGUCUGAACAAGAAAUUAUGAAUAAAUUACAACAUAUGUUUACGGUCGCCAAUAGUUACAUUACUAACCAUAACCUAAAACAGUCAGAAAUAGUACCUCUCCUAGAAAUAGGAUUCACAAGAACCUUACGUAUAAAAAUAAAUUUUUUAAAAAAGAAAAAGAUAAAAUAAAUUAUUUAACAAAUAAAAAUGGAUAGAAUAAAUAAGAUAGCAGAGUAAAUUCAACCAAAAACAAAAGCCAUAAAAUAUGUAAAAAGAAGAGCACAAAACAAAAACCAUAAAAUAUGUAAAAAGAAGAUGCACAAAAGGAUGGAGGUUGGGUUAUAGAGCGGGCCUGGAGCCUAACAGAGGGUGCCGGCACGUGGAACCCAAGCACAGACAAACGGAGCGCCAUCUGCUGCUCUAAUAAGCCAGCAUUCUUUGUUGCACAAAGACGUUUGAUCUUUUCCACUUCGUUGUCAGCCUCGGAAGAUCUCUACCUAAUUACAGGCAAAGCGGCAUUUUUGCAAAGCCACCUCUCCCACUCUCCAAUUCUGCGACGGGGGUUAAGAACCCACAAUCUCGCCCCAACCCCAAAGCAUCUCUGGCCAAAUUUGUGCCUCGCAUAUAGACGUCUGACACCGAUUUCAUGCGGACGACGUUACACACUCUUCCCUUCCAUGCCAUCCUUAUUGCCCCCACUUUGGGUCACAAGUCAGCGUGACUUGACUCGGCAAUGGACGUUCGUAGAACUUGUUAUAUAAAUAGCACCACCGAAGUAUAAUUUGUCGAUGUGGGACAAAAUUGCAUGGCCUGGCGAGUUUUUUUGAUUUUUUUUUCCCACUUGAAAAAGAGUAAGUGGGUUUGUUGUCCAGAGAUUAAGGUACGGGCUCCAUUUGCUCCUGUGGCUAUUUCUCCGGAACAUGUUGCACAGGCGAUGAGUUUUUCUCAAAUACUUCUUUCUGACUUCGUUCUCUUCUCUGUAUAGUUUUGCUUGAUAUAAUUCAGUAGAAAUGCUAGCUUUAUAUUGGCCCUUUUUUUUUCUUCUCAUUUGCUGGAAAUAUAAAUCUCGUACAAGCUUUACUGGUCUUUUUCUCUCCUUUCUCUUCUUUUUGUUUAUUUGUUUUUUAAAUAUAAAAAUAAUAAUUAAGCAUGUACGGAAUCAGGAUAUUCAUGUGGUGAAAACUAGAAGAGUACUUUUGUUUCCCCUGUAAAGAGAGUAAGUGGGUGUCCAAUUUGACCCCAAAAAAAUUUCAUUUCCCUCUUUUCACAUAAAACUGAAAUUAAUUAUCAAACAACUUUUCUCAGUUAUUAGUUUUAAAAAAUAAAAAUAAAAAACUGAUAGUUAUCAAAAGGAUUCUUAAUAUUUUUGUUUCGUCUUGUUCUGAAUGAGAUACCUUUACAUAUUUUAUUCGUUUGUUUUGUAAUUCUUUGUCAUAGAGUUUAGGGAUUAUGAUUUCGCCUUUUCCAGUUAAGGGAUUAUGAUUUCGAAACUUGAUGCUUACCUUUAUUUAUUAUUUAUGUUGAGUCUGAAAAAAGAAAAUGAUUUGGUUGUCAAUUUGUGAAUAAUAGGAUGGUACGAGAAAAACUAAAAGAAGAUUAGGACCCGUUUGAUAACUAUUUCGGUAUUUUGUUUUUAGUUUUUAGUUUUCAAUUCAAAGAAAUUGAAAGCAUAAAACUUCUUUGGUUAUCAAUUUUAGGACCCGUUUUGUAACCAUUUUAUUUUAUUUUUGAUUUUCUUCUUUUUUAUUAUAAAAAAAAACUGAAAACAUAUUUGAUAAAACUUUUCAUUGUCAGUUUUCAAAAUCACCCUUUCUAAUUCUCAUGAAUCAAACAUUUUCAAACAAUCCAUUCUCCAAAACAAACAAUGCUUAAUGAGUAUUGACAUCUGAAUCAAUGCGUGUUGAUGAACUAUCUAAGACAACAUGCAAACUACGUUCAUUAGAUAUAUGCUUUUGACCUCAUUAUUCUUGUAGUGAACUACAAUUAGAAUAGUAUAUUACAAUUUUGGAUGUCGAAACGGUUUUCGAUUUGUCUAAUUUUUUAUAAGGAUGAUUUAUGAAUGAAGACCUUAAAAAUAGAGGGUUUGAAUCAUUGAAAAAAUAUUUGUAGGAUACCUUAACGGGUGUCCCUUAAAUAAAUUAUUUGAAGGAUCCUCAAUAUAUAUAUAUAUAUAUAUAUCCUUUGCAGCCUCUUCCUCUACCCUAGAACGAGACCUAGAGUUAGAGAAAGCUUUAAUUGAUUUAAAAUUGGAAUCACUGAGAAAAACUUCCCAAGUUACCCAUCCUGUUUGUGAAAAAAUUCCAGUACAAGAAGAUACUAAGUCUGAGUCCCCUGAAUCACCCACUCAAUCCGAUUUCAUAGGUAAUCAACUGAGAACACUUAAUAAAAUAUUUGUAAUUAAUUGGAAAUGACUAGAUAGUCAUUUGCAUGCCCCUGAGAAUCAAGGUAGAAGAGAUUAUUACCAUUCAAUCAUCCCUGAUAGAAUUCAAAGACAACAAAUUUUUAAUGAUUGGAAAGAAUACAUGCGCACUGCUAAAGUUGAAAUAUAUUAACUUGAUUUUGUAGAAAACCGACAUUUACCCAAUGAGUUAAAAACUUUAACCCAAGAAAAAUGGGAAAAAGUAGAUCACACUGAGAUUCUUGCUAGUCAUCCACCCGUUGAAACAAUAAUCAUUAAGCAUCAGAAAUCUAAAAUAGUCGCAUGCCCCUUUAAGAUCCCUGAUCCAGAGAAUAAAAUGAUAGUUGAACAAAAUAAUUACACCAACCAAAGUCUAGUUGUCAUAGGUAAACAAUUAGAUAAGAUAGAGACAAAAGUCGACAAGUUACUUCCAACAGAGCUCACACCUAAACAUCAUGAGAAACCCCUAGUUACAUUCCAAGAUUUAAAAUCAAAUCCAACUUUUAAGACAAAAGAAACAAUGACAAAAAUUGAGAAAAUGUUAGAAGAAUUAACGCCAGUCAAAAGAAAAGACAAAGAAAAGGUUGAAUCAAGCGUUAAAGUCCUAGGAUCCUCUGAGUCACCAUUUGUUUUCCAUAACUCCUCUAAGUCUGAAUCAAUCGUUAGUAUGGAAACAUAAACUAGUAAUAUAUCUAAAAUUGAAAAUGCGUUUAGAAAUCUUGAGUUAGAAAAUAAUCCAAAAGUCCAAAGAUUAACAAAUAGAGUCAGUCCCAAUAGUCUAACAAAAAACUGGUAUCCUAAGCCAACACCUUCUGAUAUACAAUUUGAAGAACGAAACACCUAAAGUCAGUUUUCAGUCUCUUCAGAAAAGUUAUAUGAAUGGAAUAUUGAUGGUCUUUCUGAGCAAGAAAUUAUUAAUAAACUUCAACAUAUGUCCAUGGUUGCUAAUAGUUACAUCACCAAUCACAGUUUUAGACAGUCUGAAAUUGUUCCUUUGCUAGAAACUGGUUUCACUGGAACUCUUCAUUCUUAGUGGGAUAAGCAUUUAACCCAUGAGUCUAAGCAACAUAUAAUUCAUGCAGUCAAACUUAAUGAAGACGGUCUUCCCAUUUUUGUUGAACAAAUAGGUCAAGUCAUUGAAGAUGGAGUCAACACUCUGCUAUACACAAUAGUUGAACAUUUCAUUGGAACACCCAGUAAUACUACUGCUAGGAUACAUGAUCAGCUUAGUAACUUAAGGUGCCCAAAAUUAUCUGAUUUUAGAUGGUAUAAAGAUGUGUUUAUUUCAAGAGUCAUGCUUAGAGAUGACAGUAAUCAGUCAUUUUGGAAAGAAAAAUUUGUUAAUGGUCUUCCUAAUUUAUUUGACCAUAAGAUCCGAACAACCCUUAGCAACGAACAAGGUCAUAUUGAUUGGGAUAGUUUAACAUAUGAAAAUAUAAUUAGCACGAUUAAUCAAGUCGGUAUGAGAAUGUGUGUUGAUAUAAAGAUUGGUAAACAAAUUCAGUCUGAGAGAAAUUCUGCUAAAUAUGAGUUAGGUAAUUUCUGUGAACAAUAUGGUCUAAUAUCUAUUCCCCCGUCUAGAAAGAAUAAGUCUAGUCACCACAACCGACAAUUUAGUAAACGUUGCCAUUAUUCACGCAGAAGACAAUCAUUCCAACAUAAUAAUGAGGAUAAAGAAUUUUAUAGUAAAAAGAGAUUCCCCCUUAAGAAAAACUGGAAAAAGAGUCACAGCAAAGAUAAGAAUAAUCGCUUUAAGAAAAGUACCAACAAGAGAAAAGUAAAAUGUUAUAAAUGUCAAAAGUUUGGCCACUAUGCUAAUAAUUGCAAAGUUAAAGACACAAUCAAACAAUUAAAAAUCACGGAUGAAGAUAGAGACAAACUGAUUGAAGUCCUUGAGUUAAGAAAUUUUGAGUCAAGUGAAAAUGAAACCAUGGUUAGUAGCACUGAGUCUUUAGAAUCUAUCUCCUCAGAUUCCCAAUUAAGCUCACCCAGAAUUCAAUUUGGUUGCCAAGAUAAUUGCUUUAAGUCUAAGUCAAUUAAUGUCCUUACUAAGCAAGAAGAAAUGAAGAAUUAUUAAUUGAUUUAAUAAGUAGAGUUGAAAACCCAGAAUUAAAAUCUGAGUAUUUAAGGAAAUUAAGAAAAGUCAUCAGCCAAGAAGAAUCUAAACAGUCUAAUUCCCAAAAGAUAAGUCUGAAUACAACCUUAGAGAACUUUAAUAAAAAGAAAGAAGUCACUUUAUAGGAUUUACAAUUAGAGGUAAAAUUAGUAAAAAAAAAAAUAAUUGAGAUAAAACAAAUAAGUCAAAAGUUACAAAGUGAAAAUUAUGAGAUAAAACAAGAAUUAGUUAACUUAUUAGAAAAGAGAACUUCUGAGUUUACACCAGUUAAUCCCACAAAUUCUGACGAAGAACCCUCCAAUCAGGAUCAUGUCGUCAAUUUAAUCAGAUAAGUCAAUUUUAGAAAAUGAUAUGCUAAAGUCACCAUAUUUGUAAAAAAAAUUUGAGUUAAACACAAUCGCCCUCUUUGAUUCAGGUGCCGACCUUAACUGCAUCCAAGAAGGUCUAAUCCCCACUAAAUAUUAUAAGAAAUCAAAAGAGUCUUUAAGCAUAGCCUCAGGAAAGUCACUCUAGUUAAAUUAUGAAUUCCCUAAGGCCCAUGUCUGUCAAAACAGAAUCUGUUUUAAGACCUCUUUUGUCUUAGUUAAAAAUAUAACUGACGCAGUCAUCUUAGGUUUACCCUUUAUUACCCGCUUAUAUCUUUUCCAGGUCGAACACGAUGGAGUCAUUUCCACCUGUUUAGGUGAAAAGGUUAAGUUUGAAUUCCUGAGUAAACCAGAGUUACAUAAUUUAAAAGAAUUACAGAAGAAUGCAGUCACUAAAAUAAUCAGAGUCAUUCAAAAUAAAGAUAAGCAACUAGAGUUUCUCCAGGAAGAAGUUAGAACAAAACAAAUUGAGCAACAACUUAGUCAUAAGUCAUUACAGUCACAAAUUCGAUAGUUUGAAGAAAAAUUAAAACAAAAAGUCUGUUCUGAGUUACCCAAAGCUUUUUGGGAUAGGAAACAGCAUGUAGUCAGUCUUCCUUAUGUCAAGACCUUUAGUGAGAAAAAUAUACCCACUAAAGCCAGACCAAUACAAAUGAGCAAAGAAUUAACGAAAUUUUGUAAAACUGAGAUCACAUAAGUACUUGAGAAGGGGGUCUUGUCCUGCUUUCUAUGUCCAAAAAAAUGCUGAACUAGAACGCGGAGUCCCGAGAUUAGUCAUUAAUUACAAGCCGCUUAAUACUGUCUUAGAAUGGAUUAGAUAUCCGAUUCCUAAUAAAAGAGAUCUAAUUAAUAGAUUAGAAAAGUCAGUCAUUUUUUCUAAGUUUAACAUGAAGAGUGGAUUUUGGCAAAUUCAAAUUUGUGAGUCUGAUAGAUACAAAAUUGCUUUUGUUACCCCAUUUGAUCAUUAUGAGUGGAAUGUCAUGCCUUUUGGUCUUAAGAAUGCGCCCAGUGAAUUUCAAAAUAUAAUGAAUGAGAUUUUUAAUCCUUACAGUCAUUUUUCCAUAGUCUAUAUUGAUGAUGUGCUCGUCUUUUCUGAGUCGAUAGAGCAGCACUGGAAACAUCUGCAUAAAUUCUUAUAGAUAGUCAAACAAAAUGGAUUAGUUGUUUCUGUUAAGAAAAUUAAGUUAUUCCAAAUUAAUGUGAGAUUCCUUGGGUUUAAUAUCUGUCAGUCAUAGACAAAAGUCAUCCAGUUUGCUGAUAAGUUUCCUGAUCAAAUCACAGACAAAAGUCAACUCCAAAAAUUUUUAGGAUCUCUAAAUUAUGUUUCUGAUUUCUAUAAGAAUUUGAGAAAACAAUGUAAGCCUUUAUUUGAUCGUCUCCAAAAUAAUCCUCCUCCUUGGUCAUCUAUUCAUACUGAUAUAGUCAAACAGAUCAAAGCUCAUACUAAAACACUUCCCUGUCUUGGUAUCCCUUCUGCUCAUUCAUUCAAAAUAGUUGAAACUGAUGCCUCUAACAUUGGUUAUGGAGGUAUCCUCAAACAAAGAGUUAAUUCUAGUCAAUCUGAGCAAAUCAUUCGAUUCCAUUCUGGUACUUGGUCUUAGUCCCAAAAUAAUUAUAGUACUAUUAAAAAAGAGAUAUUAUCUAUUGUACUAUGCAUUAAUAAAUUUCAGUCUGAUUUAUUAAAUCAAAAUUUUUUAAUCCGAGUUGAUUGUAAGUCUGCUAAGCAUAUUUUAGAAAAAGAUGUUCAAAAUAUUGCAUCCAAACAAAUAUUUGCAAGAUGGCAAGCUAUUUUGAGUAUCUUUGAUUUUGAUAUUGAGUAUUUGAGAGGAAGUGAGAAUUCUGUCCCUGAUUUUCUUACCAAAGAAUUUCUACAGGGAAAACAAUGGCAGAAAGAAGAAAAGAAAAAGACAAGCAAAAGAGUCAAAUUGGUCAAUCUAGUCAACCCAGUCAUCCCCAGUCACUCCGAGUCCUCCCUCCAUCAAUGAGUCAAGCCAAACAUGAGUCACCUUCGCAGAUUGUCCCUUUCCCGGGAUGUUCUCCUAUCCAAAUUAGUAACAGAUUUGCCAACCUAGGAGCCCCAGUAGGCCGAGUUCGCCCUAGUUUCCAGUCUGCCCUAAUAUCCAGUCAUGAUCCCUUCCAGGAUAUUGCUCCCAGUUGCCUCUUAUCAUAAGACGUCUCCAUACACGAUCAAAAGUAAUAUCACCUAUUCGUAAUUGAGUCAAAAUACAAUUCCAUUGCCAAUCCAAUCACCAUUGCCAAAUCCUACUUUCCACCAAAUAGUCAUUUCAUUCCUCCAGCACCAUUCAAAAAUUUAAAAUUUUACAGAGACAUCCUCCAUGAGACCCAAUCCAUCACAAUUAAAACAAUCAAAGACAGAGACAACCCCCAUAUCAUCCUUUAUCAUUCUCUUUACAUCCAUCAAAUCAUCGGUGAGAAUGAAUGGAGCAGUCACCUAUAUAAUCUCAAAGUUCUUCAGUCAGAACUUCAAUACAGUUAUUAUGAUUAUAUCGAAGCAUGGUAUUCUAUCUUGCUUCACCAAACAGUUGAUUUUAGUCAUUCAUGGUUCCUCAAUUUUGACAGCAAAUUUAAGAGUCCUUUCCCCUACUAGUUCAAUCAUUGGUGGGAAAAACAUGGUCCAGUCAUUGAUCUAUUUCCUCCUCCAAUGCAAGAUUUAGUCAAUUAUUUCACUAAUAAAAAUAAGUUUAAAGAGUCUGAGUUGUUCUUCCCAAAUCUUCUCCAUUUUGUUGCUAAGUACAAAGUCCCUUGGAUCCUCAAAUGGUCAUACCAAGUUAAUUGGGAAACUAGAGUCCUAUCCCGUCAAUUUUCAAUCAAAUGGUGGGAUAAAUUUAAACUUGAGCAUAUUGCAGAUUAUGUUUAUGCUGAUUUUCCUCCAGUCAGGAAUCCACAGCCUGAGAAAAAGUCAUCCCCUGCUACAUCACAUUCUUCUCUUCCAAUCGAGGAAAAAUCUAAGUCUGAGUUGCAGGAAAUUGCUCGCCAGCUAAUGUUACAAGCCUCACAAAUGAAUGAAGAUGAUGAUAGUGAUGCCACUCCCAAGUCACAAUCAUCCACCAGUCAACCAAAGUCAUCCCCAAAAUGCGGUGGAGUGAUUACCCUCUUGAUGAUCAAAUCCAUGGUCAAGACCCUUAUGAUUUUAGUCCUCUUGACCUCAGAGAUGAUUAAAGUUGCCCAACAUCAUGAGUCCUGAGACAGACAAAGCAUUCGGAAUCUUGGACCCGUGCUUUAACAGUCUGGUAGCCCGUGCUCCUUUAGUCCGAUUCUCCGACAAAGUAAAAUUUACAGCACUCAGUAAAAGCAAAAGCUUUCGCGUGCUUCUACAGUCACUCUCCAAGCAUCCAAUGUUGCCAGCUCAUCAAUAGUUACUUUAUUUGCUUAUUUAAGAAGGCCUUGGCCUCAGUCAUCCACGUAAUGUAAUUAGUACACUAUAAUUUUCUCAGUUUCAAAGUUCUAUCAGCAUCAAUGCUCUGAAGAACUAAGUGGUGAAACUAGAAUCUUUGUAAGUGUUUUACAUUCAAGUUAUCAAUUAUAUUUUGAGUAUUUUGAAUAAUGCUAUUUUUGAUUGCAUCUAUUUUCAUAUAUUCAUUAAUUUGUUUCAUGCAUAAGUUGAGUCUGUUUUAUUAUCUCUGCCUCUGUUCUUAUAUUAUCCCUUCUAUCUCUUCUUGGUUCUAGACCCUUCUAGCAAAUAAAGUAACUAUUGAUGAGCUCGCAAGAUUGGAUGCUUGGAGAGUGACUGUAGAAGCACGCGAAAGCUUUUGCUUUUACUGAGUGCUGUAAAUUUUACUUUGUCAGGAAAUCGGACUAAAGAAGCACGGGCUACCAGACUGUUGAAGCACGGGUCCAAGAUUCCGAAUGCUUUGUCUGUCUCAGGACUGAUGAUGUUGGGCAACUUUAAUCAUCUCCGAGGUCAAGAGGACUAAAAUCAUAGGCGUCUUGACCAUGGAUUUGAUCAUCAGGAUAUAUAUUUGUGUGUAUGUGUGUGUAUGUACAUGACGAGUAGUAUAUAUAUUAUAACAUAAUCAAUGCCAAUUGUUAGAUUUCCUUUAUGAUUAUAACACAUUAUAUAAUAAUUCAUGUUUCUUCAAUAGAUUCUACAAAGGGCCAUACUUGAUUUGUGUGUGAAUAUAUUCAUGUACAUAAGUAAAUAAGAAUCCUUUUCUUUUUAAAACUACGACAUAAAUUUUUGUAGCUUUGUGUAUCGUCAAAGGGGCAAGGCAUUCCUUCAAUACUUUUAAAAAAGUACACGGCAUUGGAUACCUUUAAAGACAACUUAAAAUACGUUGACAUUUCUCUUCAUUUUAGUGCCAAUCAAAAAUUCUAAACAAUAUAUGAAAUUUAUUUUAUUGAAAAUUGUACUAAUAUUGUAAAAUCUGGUAUAAGGAAUUCUAUAUUCCAUGGUAUUUACAUACAAUAUGUGCAGGUACAUAUAUAGGGAUUGAUACAGCAAUAUAGAUCCCACAAUUAUGCAGUUAGCCAAACUAGGACCCCAAACACGAGGUCAUGCUAUCUCUAAACUAGGCAAGAAUCAAUUACAAUAUUCUCAAAUAUCAAUUGGAAUAAACCCAUAUCUCAACACUCCACCUCAAAUUGGCGAGUGGAUAUUGUACACUUCCAACUUGCCAAGUAGUGUUCCAAAGGAAGCCUUCCUUAAUGGUUUUGUGAAGAGGUCUGCCACUUCAAAUUUGUUGGCGUGUAUGUAGUGGAAACCAAUCCUGGUGUAAUAUUUUGUCGCACCAAAUGACAAUCCAGGUCAAUAUGUUUUGUCCUUUCAUGGAAGACAAGGUUUUUGGCAAUGUGUAAUGCUGAUUGGUUAUCGCAGUGUAGUGUCAUUGGUUCUGAAUGUUGAAUGCCCAAAUCAUUGAGAAUAUAUCUCAACCAUGUUAACUCGCAACAUGUAUCCACCAUGGCACGGUACUCCGCUACUGCAGACGAACGUGCAAUGGUGUUUUGUUUCUUUGAUUUCCAUGAGAUCAGAGAGUUGCCAAGGAAGGUAGUAAACUUUACAAACCAGUUACGUGAAGCUUGUUUCAGACCAUAUAGAGAUUUGUGUAGCUGACAUACCAAAUUCUCCCCAUGUCGGCUAAAAUCAGGCAGGAGAGUCAUGUAAACCUCCUCGUCCAAAUCGCCAUGGAGGAAGGCGUUUUGAAAGUCGAGUUGAUGUAAGGGCCAAUUACGGACGGCGGCAAGAACAAGAAGACAUUGGAAUGUAACUAGCUUGGCAGUGGGAGAAAAGGACUCGAUAUAGUUGAGGCCCUCUUGUUGAGUGUAGCCUUUGACUACAAGUCGCGCCUAGUACUGUUCGACAGAGCCGAUAGAGUGGUACUUCACCUUGUAGACCCAUUUGCAGCCAAUGGGAGGCUUUCAUGCAAGUAAAGAGGUAAGAGACCAUGUGUGAUUUUGCUCAAGCUCCUGCAGUUCCUUUGCCAUGGCAUCGUACCAAAGAGGGUCAGUGGAAGCCUGGGCAUAGGUAGUGGGCUCUAUGAUUUUGGAGAUGCUGCAACAAAAGUGUGAUGAGUAGAAGACAAGUGAUCAUAAGUUUGAAAAUGGGACAAUGGAUACCUGGAACCUUUACCCGGUGUGGAGGAAGAAGACGACUGAGCAGGGGUAGGCAGCAUGGUAGAUUGCAGUGAAAGCCACGUAGAAGGAUGGAAGGUUGAGGAAUACGGUGAGAGCGAAGAAGAGGAGGUGGAGAAGGAGGAGAGGGCAGCAAUAAGGUAAGAGGAGAUGGCAUGGUGGGACUAUUUUGAUCAUGAGUCAUGGUAGGGGAGGAUGGUGAAGGAAGUGUGGUGUCGUGAGGGGAUUGAGAAAAAGAAUGGUCGGUGAGGUCACCUAGGGUGGUGUGUGGGGUAUCUAGAGGAGGUGGAAUAGGUGGGUCAGAAAGUGGUAUGGGUAUGGGUUGGUCAUGGUUAGCAGAAAGUGGCGUGGGCUAGGAAACAGGCAUAUGAGGGACCAUGUGUGGGCUUAAAGUGGAGGAGACGUAGGGAGGAUGGGGAUGGUGGUUGUGUGGGGAGUAGCAAAAGGAAAAAUAUUUUCAUGAAAAAUAAUCGCGGCUUCUGAAGAAUUUGUGAAUGUCAAGAUCAUAAAGAUGAUACGCCUUUUGCCCAAAAAGAUAGCCAAUGAAGAUUCAUUUUCUAGCUCGUGGAUCAAAUUUAUUGGUUGGUUGAAGGUUAGUGGCGUAACAUAGACAACCAAAGAUGCGAAGGUGACGAUAUGGUGGUGGAUGGCCAAAGAGGAGUUCACAAGGGGUUUUAUCAGUCAAAAUGGCGGUAGGUAAGCAAUUAAUGAGGUAGGCUGCGGUGAGAACACACUCCCCCCAGAGUUUGGAAGGGAGGUGUGCAUGAAAGCAAAGGGCACGAGCCAUUUCUAAGAGAUGUCAGUGUUUUCGUUCGACAACACCAUUUUGCUGGGGUGUGUAAGUACAAGUGUGUUGAUAGAGAACACCAAGAUCUGCAAAGAAAGUUCAAAGCGAGGAAAACUCUCCUCCAUUGUCCACACGGAUAGCUUUUAUUUGUUUAUUAAAUUGUGUGGACACAAAGGAAAAAAAAGAUUUCAGCAGAUUUUGUGUUUCAAAUUUCAGUUUCAUCAAAUAAAUCCAUGUGGUACGAGAGAAAUCAUCAACAAUAGUUAAAAAAUAUCGGGCACCAGAAUGAGAGGCAAUCUUAUAUGGACCCCAGAUGUCACAGUGAAUUAAAUCGAAAGGUGUGUAGGGGUCUUUUUGUUCCAAUAGCUUGACGAAUGGGCUUGGGCUGCCGUAAGAAGAAAAUGAACAGAAAUUCCCCAAGUGCUUGAGUUCGAGAACCAAGCUCCCAAGAGGGUUUUUGAAAAGUCUGAUGAAACUUAAAAAAAAGACACUCUUAGGUUCUUUUCACUAAUAGCUAGAUAAUCAUAAUAAAUUGAUGAGUGACUUAGCUUGGGGAGCUUGUGGCAUGGGAGCUAAGCUUUCACAAGUUUAGCAAUUUGAGAGAGAGAGAAGCAUGGAUUUCUUACAGAGAACGAAAGUUUGAAGUAAGACAGAGGAAAAUCAGAACAAUUUCUAUCUUAAAGGAAGAAGAAAAACAAAUGAAGAAGAAGAUUGGGUGACUUGAUUAAAUUCUCAGUUUCUUGACAAAGCUUGGUCAGGCUGUGAAUGAUGAUUUUUCUGGGUAGAGAAAGCUCCCUUUUAUAGGCAUAAAGAACUCCUAAUUUUUUCUAAUGUCACAUCCCGGGAUCAGCUCCGCCGUAACACGAUAUUGUCCGCUUUGGGCCCUCCUCUCUGCCCGCACGGUUUUGUUUAUAGGAGCUUACUAGCAACUUCCCAGUGGGUCACCCAUCCUGGGAUUGCUCUAGCCCCUAACUCGCUUAACUUUGGAGUUCCCAUGAUUCUGAAGCUAGUGAGCUCCCAAAAGGCCUCGUGCUAUGGAGGCGGACAUGUACAUAUAAGGCACAUCACCCCCUCUCCGUUGGUCGAUGUGGGAUGUUACAAUCUACCCUCCUUAAGGGCCCGACGUCCUCGUCAGCACACUCGUACCACACGGCAGAGUGGCUCUGAUACCAAAUUGUCAUAUCCCGGGAUCGGCUCCGCCGUAGCACGAUAUUGUCCACUUUGGGCCCCCCUCUCUGCUCGCACGGUUUUGUUUCUGGGAGCUCACGAGCAACUUCCUAGUGGGUCACUCAUUCUAGGAUUGCUCUAGCCCCCAACUCGCUUAACUUCGGAGUUCCCAUGACUCCGAAGCCAGUGAGCUCCCAAAAGGCCUUGUGCUAGAUGUAAGCGGGCAUGUACAUAUAAGGCACAUCACCCCCUCUCUGUUGGUCAAUGUGGGAUGUUACAUCUAACCUCCUCGUUCCUUUUCCUUUGCUUCUUUCCAUUCAAUCCUUUUUUGUGCAAGUUUCCUAUCCAAGGCGCAUAGGUAAGAAGCCCUUUGGGGUUCCAAGGUUUGGAUGCAGUUGGACUUCUCCAUAAGGGUGAGGGCCACCCACUUUCUUCCCUGUUUUUCCUAUGGAGGCUAACAGAGGAAAAGAAGAAUGGACAACUCGUUUUGCCUAAUGAGUAUCCCUCCUUCCCUACGAAUUUCCUUUGGUUUCUAGAGUGGCCUCCAUUGACUCUGUCAUAGAACUUUGGGCAAAGGCUGAACACGCUUGCUAGAUAUUUUGGAGAGCACUUGGGCUGGGCUUUUCCCAAGAUUUUGGGUCAGUAGUAGUCUAUUCUACAACCACUAGUUAACUUGUUUUCGUCAAGCCACUAGAAGUAGUUGGCCUAUAGCAUUUUUAACAAAGUAUUUGGGUACUCUAAUUAACAUAGGGUUUCCAAAGCAAACUACUAUAUUCUUUCUAAGGCAUUGGGUUAUGUUCUCUCUCCCAUGCUAGCCCAUGUGUUUGGAUCCAAGAAAUGGGCUUGAGUUUUGGUGCUCCCAAGCAGCCCAAAACUUCCAUUCCUUGAUCCCUCAAUAGGCCUUGCGAACGCUUGUACCCAUCCACACCAUAACCUUCUUAGCAAGCCCCAGGUAAUUACGUGGCUUGGGCCCACUUAAGCUUGUUGCAUGGCUUAGCAUUAAAAUAGUGAUUCUUCUCAUGGCUUUGCGUAUUGAUUUCAUUGCAUGAUAAUUUGGCCAUGACUAGAUCAAAUAGCAUUGGAUUCGGUGAGCGUGAAUUUACAAAGCUAGUGAAUUUUGGUCCCUUUGUGCAUGCUUGCUUGGCGUGACUCAUGGCUCCCGGCCUAUGUAAGCGCGUUCUUCGAUUUCUCUUAUGCCCCGAUCCAGCCUUUCUCGUGACUUAUUCGAGUUGGGCUAAGAAUGACCCUGGGCCUAGCCCUUGGAUUUUUGGGCCUCAACAAGGUGCAAUACUUUUUAUUGAACUAUAUUGCAUUGGAAGGAAAAGGUAGCCUAGUUUGUUUGGCCAAAGGACAAAAAUCACAAACAUGCGUAGGAAGUGAAAUAUCAUAAAAAUGUUUAGACAAAGAGCGAAGUUUGGCAUUGGAAGGGUGUCCUAAUCGAAGAUGCCAGAGGUUGUGGGAAGCAGACACAUGAUAUCUGGAGGAAGAAUGGAGCUGCGGAGCAAGUCGUUGUGGAUCGAAAUAAUACAGGUUUCCAUGCCUCUUACCCAACCCAAUCAUCUUCUUCAUGCGCAAGUCUUGUACAUAACAAAAGGUGGGAAAAGAACAAACACAACAAUUUAGUGAUGCAGUAAGGCCAGGGACAGACAAUAAAUUAACAUUGAAAGAAGGGACACAUAAGACAUCGGUAAGACGAAAAAUAUCAUUAAAGUUAACAGUGCCUAUAGAUGUGAUGGGUGCCUUUUCCUCUGUGGCUCAUCCUGCUGGUGGAAGAUGUGUUGGUGAAUUUUCAGUUAAGAGUGCAUGAGAAUUGGUGAUAUGGUUUGUUGCGCCACUAUCUAUAACCCAGGCAUGCGAUAAAUAAGAAUUAGUUUGGGAACUAAGGCAAAAAGGAUAAUUUAGACCUGGAAAAUUCGCUUGGGAUUGGGAAAAUUCCUCCUUGCCAAUAGUACCAAUAAUUUGCUGACAUUGCUCAAGUGUGAGAUGAGGAGCUAUGUUUUGUAGGUGAUGAAUUUGUGCAUCUGGACUCUGAACAUUAUUCACAUUGGUAUAUUGCCGGUUGCUUCCAUGAGAUUGGCAGUUUUGUGAAGGGCGACCGCUAUCAUCAAGUUUGGGUACCACCUCCCUGCCGUGCCACUUGUGCCCUGGAGGAAAACCUUUAAGAAAAAAACAAGUAUCGAUUGUACGAGUUUUACCAUUGCAAUAAGUGCAUUGUUUCGACUCUCUAGGAUUUCCACGAGGUUGAAAGGAUGGUCAUAUGUUGGAUGACAAAGGCCGCUGUUGAAAGCCUUGCUUGCUAGUAUUGCCUUUCAUAGUGUGUAUACUGAGCAUUGCCAUGCUCUUGUUGUUGGCUGUGUUGUGGUGGGUGGAAGCAACUUGCUGCUGCUUCUCUUCUUGCAAAAGGAGGCUGUGUGCCUUAUGGGCAGUGAGAAAAGGUUGCAUAAGCAAUAUCUGUCCUCUAAUGGCUGCAUAGGAUUCAUGGAGCCCCAUUAGAAGUUGCAUUGAACCUUGCUCCUCCUCUCGCAUUGCAAUGGAUUUCAAAGGCCCACAAGUGCAGGGUUCCAUGUUGUUGUAGGAUGACAGUUCAUCCCAAUACCCCUUGAGUUUCGAAUAGUACGUGGAUAAGGGCAUUUGAUCUUGUGUAAGAGUAGCUAUUUCCUUGUGAAUCUGGAAAACCCUAGGCGCAUUAGUCUGCCAGAAUCUCUCUUCAAGGUCUGCCCAAAUUUCGUGGGUUGAGUCAGUGUAGAUAACACUAUUCGCAAGAUCUGGAUCCAGUGAGUUCAAGAUCCAUGAUAAGACCAUGUCGUUUCAAUGCCGCCAUCUAUCAAAUUCUGGCUUCGCUUUUAACGGCUUCUUGAUUGAACCAUCGAGGAAGCCUGUCUUAUUCUUCGCGCUCAAGGCUAGACGAAACUGGUGGCUCCAAGUGCUAUAGUUAUCUCUGGAUAAUGGCUUACCGACCAGGACCAUUCCAGGAUGGCCAGAUUGGAAUAAACCCAUAUCUUAACAAAUAUAUGUACCACACAUGCUCCUCCAUGAAUGCCAUACGAACCAACCUUCCUUCCUUUGCAGUUCAUAUAUAUAGCUUCUAUUCAGGGAUUCUUCAAAUUAGUUUAUUUGAGGGACACCUUUGUAGGGCUCACUCUCAUUGUAUUUCACUUAGGGUUAGCAAUGGGUUGUGUCAUGUCGGGUUCGUGUCGUGUCGCGAUAAUAAACGUGUCAAGAAUGCUCAAUCCGAAGCCAACCCAUUUAAUAAACAUGUCGUGUCGGGUUCGGGUCAUCUUUUAUUGUGCGGGUUUCAAGUUGUGUAACUGGUUCAUAAAUAAUAACAUGCAUGUUACGAAACUCACAACUGAAAAAAUUUAAAUUAAAAAAAAAACUGAGAGAGGAGAGAAAAUAUAAGAAAAAGAAAGAAAAAAAGAUAGAGAGAAGGAAAAGAAAGAAAAAAAAAUAGAGAGAGAUGAGAGAAGAGAGAAGGAAAGAAAGAAAGAAAAAAGAGAGAGGAGAGAAAACUAAAGAGAAGGAAAAGAAAGAAAAAAAAUAGAAGAGAGAAGAGAGAAGGAAAAGAAAGAAAAAAAAAAGAGAGAGGAGAAAGAAGAGAGAAGGAAAAGAAAGAGAAAAAAUAAAAUAAAAAAUGGGAAGAGAGACGGAAAAGAAAGGAAAACAAAUGAAGAAAAAGAAACAUUAUAAAUAUCAAAAGGCAUACCAUAUAAUCACAAAGUUCUUUGUAGCAUGGUGGAUAAGAUGUUGGAGAGAAAUGAGGAUGGUAGGGGUUUGAAAUCCCUUGUUAUGUGCUGAAGUCUCAAUUUCUCUUCAUUUUUUAGCGGGUUAGCCUGUAUGACACGAGUUGACACGACCCGUUUAAUAAACGGGUUAAAUAUGUGUUUUAACGGGUUGACCAGACAUCAGAGUGAAUUAACGUAAAUGGAGUAGUACACUUGUUCGUACUCAACGAGUAGGGCACACGGUGACUCUUGGCCAAAAUACAAGUAUCACAUCUGAAGUCAGAGUCCUUGAAACCUGAGAAUAAAUCUGGUAUAAGAUGCUUCAUAUAACUAAAAGACAGAUGUCCCACCAGAUUUGCUUUUGUUUGCUAUCAAAGGGAUGUGUCACGCUGUUAGCUAUGCCGGGACUGAAGUCAUCGACAUAAUAUAGCCCCCCUCUCUUAGUACCACAACCAAGAAUCUCCUUAGUGUGAAUAUCAUGAAGCAAACAAAAACUCGGGUAAAUGAGUACACAACAAUUCAAUUGUUCAGUAAGCUGACUAACUGACAACAAUUUAAUGGAUAAAGAUGGAACAAGUAAAGUAUUAGACAGUGUAAGAGAGGAUGAGAGUGCAACAGUGCCAGCCCCUGUCACAGGAUAAGUAACACCAUUGGCAUUUGUAAUACAGGUUCGUUGAGGUUGUGUAGUAUUCACAAAAUCAUCAGGAUCAAACUUCAUAUGAUCAGUUGCACCGGAAUCAAUUAUCCAGCUCCUGGAAUCAAUCUUAUCGGAAGUAUGGAAUCCAUAACCAGUACCAUUACUGGUCAUAUUGCAUUGUCCUCGAUCUAUAAGAGUAGCCCACCAAUUGGGGUAGCCAUGCGAUUUAAAACAAGUCUCACAAGUGUGUCUCGGAUCACCACAAUAUGCGCAAUCUAGUCCAUGUGUCGGGGUCGUUAGUCUAGUAGUCAUAAUCUGUGCAGCGGAAGAUGCAUAGGAUACAGGUUGAGUAGGAAUUGGGAUCGGAAUCUGAGCCUGAGUCGGGGCCUGAGUCGAAGUCGAAAUCGAGAUCAGGGUCUGAAUCAGAGACAAAUUUGGGGUUGGGGUCAUCAUCGGAGUGGGGGUCGGGGUCAUCGUCGUCAUAGUCGGGGUCGGGGUCGUUAAAAGAGGAUCCUGAUUCUGGAUCAGAUUCGGGGUCAAAGUCUGCAUCUGUAGGAGCGGAGCCAUCUGGGCACCCAACUCAACGAUGGUUGGUGGAGAAUGAGAGAAGGAGUCGGUGGUGCUACCUCCAUGAGGGUUGAAAAAAUCAUCAACCCCCAUAGCAGCGGCGGGGGUUUGAAACUAGAGUCAGCAAUUCCAAGAUCGCCGCUCUGAUAUCAUGCUAAAAUAUGAAAACUAUGAGAGAAUAUUUGUUUGUGGGAAUUUUCUUUGUAUUCUUCUCCUUGUAGGAGGUCAUAUUUAUAAUACAACGAAACCUGAAUGGGCAAGUAAAUAAUAAAUUCCUAAAUCUAUUUGCAGUAGGAAAUCAGGAAUUAAAGUAAAUCAAUUACAAUUAUAAUAGGAAUUCUUGGUGUGUAAGGAAAGUAAGUCAAUAUCCACAAGUCACGCCAACAUUGCUUCACAAAAAUCGAAACCAUGGAGAGUUUGCAACUCCAACUUUUGGCAAUUUAUUUCUUUGGUUUUUGCUUACACAAUUUCUAAUUUUAGGCUGUGCGGUGGCGGCUCCAUUUUAGGCCAUAUCGCCGCUUGUUGGUCAGUCAUUAGUUAUGUAAGUUCAGCUCGGUUACGAAUGGAUUCCACCCCUAUCUAAAGAGGUUAGUAUUUUUAUGUUACACUUGUUUUGGUACUUUUAGUUGUAUUGAAACUACAAUACAAUAUCUAGUAUGCGUAGAAUUAAAAAUUAAAUUAUUGAGGAGUUAUGUUGUGCUUAGAUAAGUAAAAAGGAUGAACAUUUUACUCAAGAGAUUUUCCAACUCCAACUUUUGGUGAUUUGCUUCUUGGGUUUUUGCUUACCUGAUUUCUAAUUUUAGCCCUUUGAUCAUUUGUCUUGCUCAAAUUUAAUUGAGGAAGUUAACUAGCUAGGAAACCUUAACAAGAAGCAUAAAACCAUUACAUAAUUAUCUUUAAAUGAAAAGAGCCCUCAUCUCACAUCAAGUUUUUAAAUUUUAUCACAAUUAAUCCUUAAAAGUUCAAACUUAAUUUUUGAAAUUUGGGUUUUUUUAAAAGUUCGUCUAUUAAACCUCUAAUUAGGAAAACCCCUUCACAACCAAACAAAAUUCAUUUAGAAAUUAAAGAGAAAAAAAAAACACCAUAUUCAAAAAUUCCCAAGAAUAACAAACCAUUAUAUCAAUAAAAAAUUACAUUUUAUUAAACCUCUAAUUAUUAACUUAUAUUAGGAAAACCACAUACACAAAAAAAGAUGGACGUAGGGGGUUGAAGAGUGGAGGCCCACGGUGGGUGGCGACAUGAGGGGUGCCGGCGAGUGAGGAUCCACUCUGGAGGGAGUAAUGCAGUAAGAGUGUCUUCUUGCUGCUCUGGUAAGCCAACGAGCUUUACAGCAUGCUGCAAAUUCCAUCUUCCAUCUUCGCAAGGCGGAAGGAUAUUCUUGACGGCCUGCACUUCAGGGCUGGCCUAGCCGAAACGGCUUGCACUUCAGGGCGACCUAUUCCUCUUCCUACCUCCUUUGCACCCAGAUUGGCACGCCGACAAGGGCGCACUUGCCCCUCAUGUGCUCUCACGUGCCGCAGGUUGUCCUCAGGCUCCUAACCCCCUUCCAAACCAUCUUUAUUGCCCCCACAAUGGGUCACAUCCUCGCGUGACUGAGCUUGGCUUUUCUAAAGCCAUUCUAUCGAUGUGGGAUUGUGAAGAUAUGAAAUCUGAGUUCUCUUUCUUCAUGUACUUUGAAUGAAAACCUUUGCAUCUCUUUGGUCAUAUCUAUUAAACAUGAAAUAGAAAGAUGAUUUUUCUAACAGUUAUUGCGUAUUUCAACUAGAUUAUGAACAUCAAACAGAUUGAACAAAAUGGAGAAAUCUAUUGCUUGUUUUGUUUGGUUUCAAACUAUUGCCAAGAGCAGUUUCGAGUGCCAUUCUCAAUGAAGAUCAUGUGCACGUAGAACAAUCCAAAUCUUAUGUUUUUGCCUCAAGAAUUCUGGCGUUUGGGAUUUAUACUUUGGUGUGUCUUAUGAAGGUCCUCCCUCUUUUAGUAGUGCUUAAACCCUAGAAUGCUAUGCUUCUAUUUUAUUUUAUUUUAUUGUUCGAAAAAUGCAAUGCUUCUAAGGACAAGCGAUAUUGAAAGCACAGCAGGAAAACCAGAAUUGCAAAAGGUUUCACUUUCAAUAUGGAAUUAUUAUGUAAAUCUAGAUAGUGACAACAUAUUAACACUAACCUGAUUCGGACAUGGUGAUGAUGUUGAUAGCACAACAGGGAAACCAGAGAGUUCUUCGUCUAGAUGGGGUGAAUUUCUGUAAAGCUUAGGUAUUUCAAGUUUAUGAGGGAACCCUCUAUUUAUAUGCAUCUCUCUAGGAGUCUUGCCCAUCAAGAAACUCCUAGAGAUAACCUUUAUGUGAUAGGAUUAUCUUCUCAUCUUUAAUUGACAAUCACUCAUCUUUACUUCUUUUAGAAUGCAUGCUUCUCCAAAAUCUAAAACCAUGGAGAGUUUGUAACUCCAACGUUUGGCAAUUUACUUCUUGGGUUUUCGCUUACACAAUUUCUAAUUUCAGGUGGUGCGGUGGCGACUCAUUUUUACGUCAUUUCGGCACUUGUCAGUCGGUCACUAAUUACGUAAGUUUGGUUCGUUUACCAAACCAAUUCCACCCCUAUUUGAAGGGGAUAGUAUUUUUAUGUUACACUUUUAUUGGUACUUUUAGUUGUAUUGAAACUACAACACAAUGUCUAUAUGUGUAGAAUUAAAAAUUAAAUUAUUGAGUUAUGUUGUACUUAGAUAAGUAAAAAGGAUGAAAAUUGUACUAAAAAGGAUUUUCCAACUCCAACUUUUGGUGAUUUGCUUCUUGGGUUUUCGCUUAUCCAAUUUCUAAUUUUAGGCCUCUAAUCAUUUGUCUCGCUCAAAUUUAAUUGAGGUAGUUAACUAGCAAAGAAACCUUAACAAGAAGCAAAAAACAUUACUUAAUUAUUUUUAAAUAAAAAGAGCCCUCAUCCACUACUACAUUUUACGAUUUGCGCGACGAAGAUAAUUUCGUCCCGCAGAGUUACAUUUAAUCGCACAAACUCAAGCGCGACAAAAAAUUCAUCGCUCAAAGAGCGUGAAGAAAGACUUUGCGCGACCAAUUGUUUCACUCAUCGCGCAAAAUUGUGCCACGGUUACCUUUCGUUACACAAAAAGUUCAGAGACGACACAACAGUUUUUCGCACGAACUUAUGCGCGACGAAAGAAGGUUCGUCGCCACAACAAUGCACGGCGGAUAAUAUUCGUCGUGCGAUACGUCUCAUAGACAUUUGAGGCACCAAGAGUUCUUCGUCGCGCAAUUCGUGUCUACAUAUUUUGCGCGACGAAAAAUUGUUGUCGCUCAUAUCCUUUUUGCGCGAUGAAAAGAUUCGUCGCGCAAGAAUAAAUUAUUUGUAUUUAAAAAAAAUGUAUCAUUUUUAUUUCGUAAUAUGUGAAUUUGCGCGACGAGAAAGGUUUCGUCGCGCAAAAUUAAUAUAUAUAAAUAUUAUUUAAUUAUUAUGUUUUUUUCAAUUUUAUAAAAAAAUAAAUUUGGUUUUUUUUUUUGGUAAUAAAAUGAAAUUCCAAUAAAAAAAAGAAUUGUAAAGAACAAAUUUAUUAUAUAAAAUAAAAUAAAUGUAUGCUGCAAGAGAAAUAUUUAAAAAAUAAUUAUGAAAAUAAAAAAACUAAUCAAAUAAUAUUCCAAAAUCUAUAUUGUCGUCUGGCACAUGCGGUUCAGAGGUCUGGGGGUCUACAGCGGCCAUCGUCUGGUGGGGAUGCUCGGGAUGGACGGGCUCGGAGGUUGGCGCAUCAAAAUGCGGGACUGGAAUGCCGGACUGUGCGAGGGACUGCAGAAUGACCGACAUCUGACUCUGAAGAGUGGCCACCUGUGCUGUCAAAGCAGUGACCUCACUGUUUGACUGCGCUGAUGAACGGGGUCUGGGUUUCCUUCGCCUGGCAUGUCCCAUCCCUCGACAAUAUAUCCUCGGUCUCCUCCCUAGAGUCUGAUCCAAUGUCUCCGUCAAGAUCUGAAACCUAGCAUCCUGUGGAGGAUCCACAGACUCGAUCGGAGUAUCGGGAGGAAGUUGGGAGGCGGAUUCCUGAAGAACCAACUGGCUCCUCUCCACCAUCGUCGUCUGUUUAACAUAACAUAAAAUAUAAAUUAAAACAUUCAUAUAAUAACCUUUAAACUUGAAUGCGUAACAUAAGAAUUAAAAUUAAAUAAUACGUACAUGAAGGGACUCGGCCAACUCAUUCCCAGGUCGAACAUAAACGUUGCCAAAGACGUCGAUCUAUGGGAAUUUGGACCCCCCCUAAAUUGAACAAGAGAAGAAAAAUAUUAGUACGAAAAAAUAAAUUUAGAAUAAUGAAAUAUUAAAAAUUACAUAAAAAUUAUUUUAUUAUUACCUGCCGCCGUGCAUCCAUCCCAUAGGAGAAGGGCCUGGAACCUGAAUGAUGGAGAAGAGUCUUCUUCUUCCUAUUGCCCUUAUUGACUUUGGCUUUAUUCUUUUAUACAAAAAAUAAAACGUAUUAGUUGAAAUUGAAAUUAAAUAUAAAAAAUUAAAAAAACAUUAGUAAGAAAAAUAUAAUAAAUUUGAAAUUCAUAUUAUAAAUUACCACAAAAGCGCACGCCUGAAAAUGAGCGCAGAGCCACGCCCAACUAUCCUCCCGCCCCUAAAGCUCCUUCGGGCAACCCUCCUGAAGAGCGACUUGCGAAUCAUCAAACGCCUCAAAAUAGUGGUGCAAGUCGCUCUUCCAUUGUUUGUACCUCUCAGAGAAGAGUCUGUUGACAUACGUCAACGACUUGUCGUCGAGGUCCUCCAAGUUGUAGUUCGUCUGCAAUAAAUUAAUUACAUACAUUUAAAUAAUAGAAAUAUAAAGUUUGAAAUGCCUACAUACCGACAACUGGCCGCGAACCUCCGUCUUUAUCUCAUCAGGCAUGACCUUCCAAGACUUCCAUUUCAUCGGGCAAUGGCUCCGAACGACAUGACCAAUGUUGUGGGCCAAGGAGCUAUGCAACUCCACCUUCGGUGCAGCCCGAUGUCGCUCAUUGUAUCCGAUGUUGAUACGACUGUUAGUCACCCGGGUGACCUUCACCGUCUUCAACUGCCGACACGGCCCUCGGGUGUUCUUCUUGGCUACAAAGAAAGAUGACAUUAAUGUUAAAUAAAUAACAAAUUUAACUAUAAAAUACACACACAAAAACCAAACCAAAAACAAAAAUAAAAACAAGAACAUAAACAUAAACAAAAAUAAAAACAAAAAUAAAAAUAACUGGAGUUUAAGGAAAUCUAUACCUGGCUGUGACCCCGACGCAUCAGUGGAUGUGGUGUCGGUGGUGCUGGCAGGCCAAUGACGCCGCCUGGAGCUAACAGGCUGCGCCACUGAUGAAGCAGGCGCCUGGGACCCCGUGGGACCAACUGCCAAGUGGUCCAUCAGUGCUGGCGCAGUGGCAGCAGAUGUCGGCUGAGCCGGGGGCUCCGAACUCUGCGUAGUCGUCACCGCCCUACGACGUCUAAUCAGGUCUGACAUCUGCACAAUUUCAUUAAUACACAUACAAAUUAAUACAAUAUACAAAUAUUUGAAAGCACAUACAAUUUUAUUAAGAUUCUUGACUUAGGGUUUGCGAGUUCGGAGUAUCCGGGACUCCGAUCCACGAUCCAUCAAAUCCUAGACGAUCCUAGAAAUACAAGGUACACCAUACAUGAGUUUGAGUUUCAUCCAAUGGUCCGAACAUAACAAACUCGGAAAUCGCACAAUAGAAAAAAUCCGUUCGAGACUCAAACGGUAACCAAAUUCUAAUCCGAAAAGACCUACGCGCUCGUGACAACUAGGAGAUUGCAUUGGGACCCAAUGCAUGAUUGCUACAGUAUCCCAAGCGCCACCACACGCGUCGGCAGCGCGUGAAUGUCCAAAGCGAUACCAAUCGCAGGAAAAUUCUAAAAACUAAGGGUCAAGGUUCCUACCCUAGGUUGAAAACAUCAAUUGGAGCCAAUUUUGUUCGGACCUACCCCGAAAAAUGGCCAGAAGUGGCCGGAAUUGAAAUUCAAAAACCGGCAGAAACUUAGGGUUUCAAAUCCAUUGCCCUAUUGCAACAAUUACAGAAAUCCUACCCAACCAUCAGCUAAAGCAUCAAAAAUAGUCCAGAAACCAUAUCUCAGGUGUCGAAUUUGGUCGCCGGAGGAGAGAGAACGACGGCAGUGCAGUUUCGGUGAAAACUGAGGAAAUUAUGGCGGCUGGCUUGACGGUGACGGCGGGGAAGCUCUGGGGUACCAAGGUUGUGGCGGCGCGGUCUAAAUUCCACCGAGGUAGGGGCUGAGUGACGGCGGAGAGAGAGAGAGAGAGAGAGAGAGAGAGAGAGUUAGGGCAAAAAUCAGAAUCUGGGGAAGAAGGAGGCCAUCGCAUCGUUUCUGAAAUUUUAUUCGAUUUUGCGUGACGAAUAAAUAAAAGCGUCGCGCAAAAUAUUUUAAAUGACUCUUGCGUGACGACAAAAGUUUAACUCCCGUCGCGCAAUAUUGUGAGUCCGCCAAAAUUUGGUAUCAGGGUAGGCUUGCGUGGUUUUGCGCGAUGCAUAGUAAUGUUUUUCGUCACGCAAGGUUGUCAAUCCACCAAAAUUUUGGGACUUAGGGUUUAGCGGGAGAGAUUGAAAACUUUGCGCGACGCUGUCCGUAUUCGUCGCGCAAUGUUGUAAUUCCGUCAAAAUUUGGGGUUUUAGGGUUUAUUGGGUAGAGAAAUUGCGCGAUGAAUAUGGACAGCGUUACGCAAGUCUGCUUUCUGUACACUUGAAAAAAAUUUGGACCAAGUGUUGAAGGGGGAAGAGGGUGAAACGGCUAACUGAGAUUGCGCGACGACGAAGUCUAUGUUCGUCGCGCAAUACUGUUUUAUGCAGGCUUUGUGCGAUCAAUCAACUUUAUUCGUCGCGCAACGUUGUAAUUCCGUCAAAAUUUGGGGUUAAGGGUUUAUUGGCAGAGAGAUUACGCGACGAAACUGUACAGCAUCGCGCAAGUCUGCUUUCUGUACACUCGAAAAAAAUUUGGACCAAGUGUUCAAGGGGCAAGAGGGUGAAAGUGAUGACUGAGAUUGCGCGAAGACGAAGUUUACAUUCAUCUCGCAAGACUGUUUUCUACAGGCUUUGUGCGACCAAUCAACUUUAUUCGUCGCGCAAACCCUAAACCCUAAACCUUAAACCCUAAACCACGGAAACCUUAAACCCGAAACUAGUUUUAAUGAUCCAACCGGCAAACUUGUUUUUUUAUACUUCGAGAUCGUAUACGCCGAAAAUCGAAAAAAACAAACAUGAAGAGAUCAAGUAACGGGACAAAACUUUUCGACGGUUCUAAAUGAAAAGUCAUGAUUUAACGGUUAUUUUAACUCCGAUUUUUAUGAUUUUUUACAGCUACAUUUCUUGACCCUAUAUGAAUACAAUUACUGUAUUUGAUCUUCAAUUUAAGAUGUUUACACUAGGGGGAUACCACAUAAUCUUAUGUUAUAUUUAACGAAAGUAUAAGUAAACUAUUCAUUGUUGGUGAAUAUAUGGUUUUGAUGGCAUACGCAUUCUACGAAACUAGUUUCAGUAAUCUAGCCGUCAAACUUGUUUGUUUAUACUUCAAGAUCUUAGACCCCAAAAAUCGGAAAAAAAAUAAAUUCAGAGAUCAAGUAACGAGACAAAACUUUUGAACGGUUAUAAAUGAAAAGUCAUGAUUUAGCGGUUAUUUUAACUCCGAUUUUGAUGAUUUUUUACAGCUACACUCCUUGACCCUAUAUGAAUACAAUGAACUAACUCGAUCGUCAAUUUCAAAUAUAUAUGUGUAUAUAUAUUAUAUUAUAAAAUAAUAUACAUUUGCGCGACAAGAGGAACCCUGUCGUCGCGCAAAUCGCAUGACGAAUCAUAGGUUGUCGCGCAAUGUUUUAACUUUACGCGACGAGUGUAUUGUGUGUCGCGCAAACUUUGCGCGAUGAGGAUUAUUUCGUCGCACAAGGAUUUUCAUUUUUGAAAAAUGUUUGGUGUCAAUAAUUUUCAAACUUUGUAUGUAAAGGGUUUGGAUAUAUUUAUUUAUCAAUGUUUUAUAACAAAUUUAUUUUAAUAAUGUUUCAUUUCUCCACAUAUAUAAGGUUUGGAUAUAACAACUACAUAUAUUCAAACAUUUGUAUUACACAAAAUCUGUACACUAGCAUAAUAAAAUUACAAAAAAAUUCAUUAUUCAUCAUCUGAACUAUAAUAACUUUCGUUAUCCUCGCUAUCAUCACUUUCGGUCUCCCAAUCCUCCUCCUCCUCCUCCUCCUCUAUAACUACAUCAUCGUCGUUGCUCGGGCCCACUGCAACAUCGAAUCUUGGAAGAUCACCGAGGUCAAUUGUAAUUGACUAAAUCGGUAUUUCGAUUGAAGACCUCCUUGUAUUUGAAACGGUUCUUGUAUAACAUGUGUAUCUCGAAGUGUUUCCGCAUCAUUUUCCAUUGAAGAUUCUAAACGUUGGUCAGCCACAUUAUCGACGUCGUUGUCAGUUGGGUCUAGUUCUGUUAUAGCAUACACGUUCCUAUGAUCCAUGUUUGCCAAAAUGUAAGGGUCGUCAUCAUACCAAGUUCUGUUAGUGUUCUCAGAUAGUAAGCCAUGGUCGAUUUUAACACUUUUCGGCCUAUUUGGGUUGCUAUCAAACCAUCGACACUUAAACAUGAUCACUUGGUAUCGAUCUUUGUAAAGCAAUUGAACGACCGUUGUGAGUUUGCCAUAGAAAUCAAUGUUCAUACUUUCGCCUCCACCUGGGAUAUGGACACCGCUGUUUUGCUACACAACUUGUCAUCUCGUGCAGCCCCCAAAAAUUUGACGCCGUUAAUAUAACAACCCGAAAACAAUUCAGCGCGAAUCGGGCCGAACGCCAAGUUAUAUAACUCAUCACUGUAAGUGGGGAAUUCGAUGAUUUCAACUUAUUCACCUAAUAUAAUACAAAACCAUUCACAUGUUAGUCUGACAAAAUCAAAUACUACAAUUUAUAUUUGUCAAAUACAAAAUACUUAUAACUUACAGAAUCCAAAAACCAUUGUGGAAACAAUUCACGGUGUUGCUGGGCAACUAAAUGUGAUGGAUGUUCUCGCUUCAUCAUCUCUUCAUGCUCAUCUAAGUAUGCCAUUAUCUCAUCACAAUUGUUCAGUACGAACCAAUGCGCUACCUCCAUGUCAUUUCUAGAAAACGACUCUCCUCGUCCAGGAUCUCCAAAGGGUCGUGCGCUUUGGGCAAAAACUGAAAGUUUUUCCUUUCUCAUACCUCCGUCAUUAUUGCGCUAAGGACGAUUGAAAGCCAUCUCCACAUCUUUUAAAUACAUUCCACAGAAAGUAAGUGACUCAUAUUGAACCCAAGCCUCUAUAAUUGAUCCUUCGGGCUUCGCCCUGUUGCCUACACUUUUUUUUCAGCUCUCCGAGAAGCCUGUCAAAAUAAAGCGAUAUGAUACAAAUUAGCAAGCCUGUGAUAAUGAUGCAUACACAAACGAUAAGGAUUAUAUACCUUUCUAUUGGAUACAUUCAGCGAUAAUUGACAGGACCAGCAAGCAAUGCCUCUUCUGGCAACUGAACCAUCACGUGCAUCAUACUUGUGAAGAAAGCUAGAGGAAAUAUCAUCUCAAACUUGCAUAGGACUUGGAAAAUGUCAUGGCGCAACUGAAACAUGUUUGUCUUUCGCAAUGUUUUUGCCGUCAGUUGGGAAAAAAAUAUGGACAACAACAUGAUUGGCUUCACAACAUCUUCCGGCAAUAGAUGUCGAAUACCCACAGGAAGUAGGCUUUGCAUAAACACAUGGCAGUCAUGAAUCUUCAGUCCAGUAAAUUUACCCCCGUCAACAUUCACGCAACGUGCGAUAUUUGAAGCAUACGCAUCAGGAAACUUUACAGACGAUACAAACUUUAGAAACUCUUUUUUGUCAUUCGGUUUCAUAGAAAAGAAUGCAAGAUCCCUUCUAGCUUUAUCACUGUCCCUGUUCAUCCAUAAACCCCUUCGUAUACCCAUUCUUUCCAAAUCAAGACGGGCUUUGAUUGUGUCCUUUGUCUUGCCCUCGAUAUCUAGAAUCGUGCCCACCAAUGUGUUAAAUACAUUUUUCUCAACAUGCAUCACAUCUAGAUUGUGCCUCAAUUUGAGUUUCGACUAAUAUGGGAGCUCAAAAAACAUAGGCUUGUGAGUCCAGUUCAUAUGUGUAGAAGGUCUGGUCCGACUAACUGUUUUUCCGAACGGAGCAAAAUCCAAAAGGUUAAGCUGUUCCAAGAUUUCAUCACCGGACCAUUCUCUAGGUCUGAGGCGACGCUUUGUGUUCCCGUCGAACUCUUUAUCUUUUUUUCGCCACUCAUGGUCCCAUGGCAACCAUCUUCGAUGACCAAGGUAAUAAAUGUUUCCCGCUUGCCAACCAGAAGUUACAUCUUCCUUGCAUACAGGACAUGCCAUAUAACCAUUUGUGCUCAACCCAGAAACCAUUGCAUAUGCUGGAAAAUCAUUCACAGUCCACAUAACUGCUGCCCGCAAAGUGAACAUCUUCCCAGUUGAUUUAUCGUACGUGCGAACACCGUUUGUCCAUAAAUCGUUCAGCUCAUCAACCAGUGGCCUUAAGUAAACAUCGAUUGACCUCCCAGGAUCCUCAGUUAUCAAAACAGUCAUCAUCAUGUAUUCUUUUUUCAUGCAUUUCCAAGGCGGCAAAUUAUAUGGGAAUACGAAAAUCGGCCAAGUGCUGUGGUGUUAGUUUAGAACCCCAUACAGAUUGAAUCCGUCAGUGGCAAGUCCCAAUCUCACAUUUCGGGGAUCAGCAGCAAACUUAGGGCCUCCCCAUCUGCAGGAUGCCGCAUCACAUCAUCGUCUACCCAUUUUUCCUUAUGUCAUCUCAUGUCUGUGGCAGUAUGCGUCGACAUAUACGAUCGCUGCAACCUAGGUUUCAGGGGCAGAUAACGCAUGACUUUUUGUGGGAUCUUAGUCGUUCUAUUCUGAGAUGUCAUUUUGAACCUCGACUCAUUGCAUAUAGGGCAUGUAUCCAACGUUUCAUGCUCCUUGUAGAAUAACAUGCAAUUAUUUUUGCAAGCAUGAAUUUCUUCAUAACCCAAUCUAAGACCAUUCAACACCUUCUGCGCGUGUUUAUGGUCUUUCGGCAAACAAUUGUCCGUCGGAAGCAUUCUCUUGAAAACCCCGAAAAAGUAAUCGAAACACAAGUUCGACAUACGAUACUUUAUUUUUCCGUGCAUUAGCUCUACAAUGGCCGUGAGAAUGGAAAAGCUCUCGCACCCCGGGUAUAACUCUUGGUUGGCAUUUUUUAACAGUUUUUCAUAUUGUUCAAACUCCGCGCUGUCUAUUGGUGCAGGCACGUCAUCUUUCAUUUCAUGAUUGAUGUUGGUCGAUGCAAAUGGAAAAGCAUCCUGUAUAAUAUCCGUGACUUGAUCAUUAGGAUCCACAAUAGGUUCAACAUUGUCCAUUCUUGUGGCAUUUGAAGACGAAGCAUGGUCUAAUUGUUCCCCAUGAAGGUUCCAAAUGCUAUAUGUCUCAAUCAUUCCAAUCCUUACUAAAUGAAAUCCAACAUUUUCAAUUGUCUCCCACAACGUGUUAUUACACCUCCUACAAGGACAACGGAUUCUAGUUGCACCCGGGUUGUGUCUACGUGCAAACUCAAUAAAAUCCUCGAUUCCAUCCAAGUAUUCGCCUGCGCAUCUAUUCGGGUUCUGUAUCCACCUUCUGCUCAUAAUUCCUGAAACCACAAUCACAACACAACAAUUACAACAACUUCAUACGAAGUUAUAAUGUCACCUUACGCCUCCAGUAAGGGCCCUAUCCCAUUCGGGAAUGCAUUAUCCUGUCACGUAACCUACGGCUACAUGAGAUUAGAUUUCGACAUGGAUGAAUUUCGGCAGCAUCUCGAUACAGUUCUUGAGGUGGGCAUAGGUAUAAAUACCUACGUACCACCCAAAGAACGUACCAAGAUGACACCGAAAUCUCCACAAUCGAAACCUAAUCUUGUAGCCGUAGAUUACGUGACAACACUAUGCAUUACCAAACUGUCCAAAUAGUGGGACAAUUCAAGAAUUAAUUGGACUGCAGUCAUGCUUUACGUAUCCAUGUACGAAAUCCAACUAAUCUCGAACGGAAAACUAAGUGUUACUAAACAUACAAAUAAAAGUACGAAGUUAAUUUCAAUUAACUUCGUACAUCACAACACAUUGUGCUACGUCACGCACAAUUUAACAUAAUAUAAUACUUCACAAAAAAAAUAUAAACAUAACAAACUAACUUUAACAUUUUUAAUAUAUAAAACGAAUAAAAUACCUUCUCAGUCGUUCUCCACCAAUCGCUAAUUACAAAUAUCCCUAACGAGAACAAAAUUAAUAGCGUUAGUACGAAUUUACAUUAAUACUUUUAAACUAACGACAAAAACUACUUACCCAAUGAACGUACUGAAUUUUCAGCAAAGGCAGCGGCAGAGAGGUUGAGAGAGAGGCAGAAUGCUAUAUUUUUUGCAUUCUGCCUUUGCAAUGGCAGAAUUCAGAUAUGAAGAAGAAGGACUUUGCGCGACGAACCACAAAUUCCGUCGCGAAAAAUUAUUUUUCCAUCGCACAAAACGACUUUUUUCGUUGGGCAAAAAAUUGUCGACAAAAAACUUUUGUGCCACGCAUGACAUUUUCGUCGCACAAACUUUCGUUGCGCAAAAAAAAAAAAUUCCGUCGCGCAAGAAUGUACCGACAUCAACUUUACGCGACGAAAACUAAUUCCGUCGCGCAAAAAAAAAAAUCCCUCCUAAAUUAUUUUGGCGCCAAAAAAAAAUAUCCCUCGUUUUCUUACGCGACGAUAAAUGGUUUCGUCGCGCUAAGUUGUCUUUUGCGACGAAACCUGUCGUCGCACAAGUUUUCGCAGCCAAUUGACGGGAUCGAUCCCUGUUUUGUGUUCACCUUUACGAAACGAAGUGUCCCAUCAUCGCGCUAGGUUUUCUUAUGCGACGAUUGCUCUCGCUGCGCAAGUGUUUGGCGCCAACAAAAAACCCUGGUUUUUUUUCGCUCACUUUGCGCGACGAAGGUAAAUGUCUGUCGUGCUAAGAGGUUCUGCGCUUCGAAAACUUUGGUCACACAAGUUUUCAAUUUUUUGCGCGACGAAACUUUUUUUCCGUCGCUGGAAUGCAUUUUGCAUGACGAACUUGUAUUUGUCGCGCAAAUAAUAAAACGUAGUAGUGAUCUCACAUCAAGAAAGUACACAUCAAGUUUUUAAAUUCUCUCGCAAUUAAUCCUUCAGAGUUCAAACCAAACAAAAUUCAUUUGGAAAAUUAAAAAUUACAGCACAUUCAAAAAAAAAAAAAUCCCAAGAAAAGAAAAACCAUUAUAUAUAACUAAAACCCUAUAAGAUCAUCACACCAAUUUUAUUAUUUUUUCAAUUAGUUGUUAAUAUUUUAUUACACAUAAUGUGGACCCUACGAAUGGCAUAUCAUCACUUAACUGAUUUUACGACGAUCAAGGUAAUGACGGAACCAUAUAGCAAUAAAUUUCCAAUGUGGGGUACUAUAUUAUUAAAAUUGAAAGAGCAUGGAUAAAUAACAUACCUAACGGCUUAAGGAUAGAAUUGCUUGGUAACUUAAUUUUUGAAAUAUGGGGGGUUUUUUUUUUAUGUUCGUUUAUUAAACCUCUAAUUAUUAACUUUCCUAUCAAGUGUAUUUUCUCACAAUUAACUUAUAUUAGGAAAACCCACAGCUGUAAAGACGUCUCCCAUCUUCAUCAAGGAGGAAGUAACUCUAGCUUGCCCUUCAGGGCUGGCCUAACCGAAACGGCCUACACUUCAGGGCGACCUCUUUCUCUUACUACCCAGGUGCAUGAUGUAGCCUGUAACUCCUUUGCAUCCAGAUUGGCACGCCGACAACGGCCCACUGUGCCCCUGAUGUGCGCGCACAUGCCGUUCGCAGGCUCCUACCCCUUCCUAACCAUCCUUAAUGCCCCCACAUUGGGUCACAAGAUCACAUGACUGAGCUCAGCACUUCUUAAACCAAGACUUGGGUAUGUUAGGUUCUUAACUUUUCUCUAUUUGAUCGAUGUGGGAUUGUGAAUACAUAAAAUCUGAGUUCUCUUUCUUCACGUAUUUGAAUGAAAAAGCUUUGCAUCUCUUUGGUCAUAUCUAUUUAACAUGAAAUAGAAAGAUGAUUUUUCUAACAGUUUUUGCGUAUUUCAACUAAAUCAUAAACACCAAACAGAUUGAACAAAAUGGAGAAAUCGAUUGCUUGUUUUGUUUGGUUUCAAACUAUACAAGAUGGUUGCCAAGAGCAUUUUCGAGUGCCAUUCUCAAUGAAGAUCCUGUGCACGUAGAACAAUCCAAAGAGUUGAUUGAUUUGCCGAGUCCAAAUCUUAUGUUUUUGCCUCAAGAAUUCUGGGAUUAGGGAUUUAUACGUUGGCCUUCAGCUUCGACUAGAUAAACAAGUUUAUUGUUGACGCACCAACUCCCCCAGAUAUCCAAUUUGAAGAAAGAAAUUUUCAAAGUCAAUUCUCAGUCUCUUCUGAUAAACUUUAUGAAUGGAAUAUUGAUGGCCUGUCUGAACAAGAAAUUAUGAAUAAAUUACAACAUAUGUCUAUGGUCGCCAAUAGUUACAUUACUAACCAUAACCUAAAACAGUUAGAAAUAGUACCUCUCCUAGAAACAGGAUUCAUAGGAACCUUACGUUCUUGGUGGGAUAAACACCUUAUAGAAGAGUCAAAACGACAAAUAAUACAUGCAGUAAAUUAAAUGAAGAUGGAUUCCCUAUAUUCGAUGAAAAUAUCAAUAUUGGAAUUGAGGAUGGAGUCAAUACAUUAUUAUACACAAUAAUUGAACAUUUCGUAGGAACACCGAGUUAACACUACAGCCAUAAUUCAUGAUCACCUUGGCAAUCUUAGAUGCCCUAAGUUAAGUGACUUCAGAUGGUACAAAGAUGUUUUUAUCUCCAGAGUCAUGCUAAGAGAUGUAGUAAUCAACCAUUUUGGAAAGAAAAAUUCAUUAAUGGUCUUCCCAAUUUUUUUGCAAACAAAAUACAAAUAGUUUUAAGUAAUGAUCGAGGCCAUAUCGAUUUUGAUAGUUUAACUUAUAGAAAUAUAAUUAAUAUUAUAUAUAUAUAAUAUUAUAUCUAUAUAUUAUAAACCAAUUGACGUUUUUGACUUGGUUGAGGGAGUGGCUUUUAAAAAGGUAGUUGUGAGGAUGGCCAAAUAGUUGGCUGAAACCAAGUCAAGAUCUUGGCUUCCCAUGUUGGUGAGUUGGCUGGAAAUGGAAGUUUUGGCUAAAGAGUUGGUUUUUUGGCAUGAGAGAACCCACAUGGGUUUACCUUGGUAUUCUCAAACUUGGGUCAAAUUGGCAUGGGUUUUUAAAAUGGCUGUGAGUUCGUAGGCCACUUAGUUCGCCUUUAAUUCUUGUCUCCAACUUCCCAGGCCAUAGGCCUUAUACAUACAUAAAUUUAAUAUGCAAUAUAUAUAGAGGGCUUCUAUAGUGAGUGGGAAGUUAUAAGGGGUGUUUUUGAGGGGUAUGUAAGAGCCGUUGGAUUUCAUCCAACGGUGAGUUUUUAAAAGAGGGUGCAUGUAGAAUCGGGUUGAAAUCUAACCCAUUAGAAACCCAACUUCAGUUGUUCCCCUCUUUCCCUCUCUGUGAAAAACUGAAGAACACAAUCCUCUCUUUUUGAAUGUAAAGCAAACCCACAAUUAGAAGGAUCCAAAUCUCCCAAACCUUAUAGUCACUCGAUUGUCAUUAGCUCGUUGGGAGGCCUGCGAUCUAUGGUAUCCUGGAUAUUACGAAGAAUGGCUCUUACCUAGCUGUUGCCCUGUUUUGAUUCUAUGGCUCAAGUGAAAACCCCUUCUCUUUUUCAUUCAGCUGACAAGAUUCCAGAUGAAAGCAAAGUAGCAUAUCUCUUUUUGUAGCUAUAAGCCGCAGCAGCAGUUGUUCCUCGAUUUUGGUAGAGAUGGAGUCUCAAAUACCAAAGAGUCUUCUCUAAUGUCCACCACAUUCUUUCAAGCUGACUGACUGCAGAGCUCCCGAUUGAUUUUGAGAGGUAAGUUCACUUGCUGGAUUGAUUUUGUUGGGUUAGGUUUAUUUUUUGUGAGGGUGGGAAAUUCGUCAUUUGUGGCAUCAAUAAUGCGUCAUUUUUGGAAUCAAUAAUGUGUCAUUUCCUUAUGAAUAUUCAAUAUACUUAGUUCAUUGUUGUUGGUCGGGGUGGAAAAUUAUGAAAUGUAGGUAAAAGAACCUAAACUUAGGCUUAAUGACAAUAGGAGUAAGCAGUUGGAGAGGAUAUUGGGUGAAGUUCUGUAAUUGGUGGUUUGAAUUACAUUUGUGUUCUUAGUUGAACAUGUUGGUUCUAAUGUUAUUUUUACCAGAUUAUUUCACAAGAGAUGACGUAACUUUUAUGAAAUUUUGCUUGCGUUUUGUGUAAUCGGAAGUUAGGGUAUGCGUAUUUUGUGUCAAUUUGGGCAAUGUUUUGUGUAAGUGGAAUGCAUUGAUAUGUUGUGAUGCAGUAAUGACUGAUUAAUGAAUGAAUAAUUGCUAUGCAGUAAUAUAGAAGUGGAUCAAUAAUAUACGUAGAUAAAAUGUCUGAGGGCUCAGAGAGUGAUGAAUGUGCAACAGCUAAUGGGAGGGUUUAUAUUCCUGAAGUAAGAAAUGAGGAAACACCAGCAGUUGGAUGAAGUUUGACUCGCUUGACCUCGUUUACAAUUUCUAUAAUAGAUAUGCAUUCUUUGCUGGCUUUGGUAUUCGACUUCAUUCUAGCUUUUGGGGGAAAAUAAGAAAGAGAUUUUGAGGAAAGAAUUUGUAUGUUGCAAACAAGGUGCAUACAGGAAGGAUGAAACUCGGGAGAGAAAAAGACAACGGGGAAUAAGUAGAUGCAAUUGCAAAGCUAAGAUUGUGGUUGUGAAGACAAAUGGGCGCAAGAAGUAUAUCAUAUCUCUUUUUGCAGAGGGACACAAUCAUUAGAUGACACCCUCAGAAAGAAUGCAUUUAUUGAGAUCACACCGUCAUAUUUCAGAUUCUACAAAAGUACUCACAAAACAGUUGGGUUCAGUUAAUAUUCCCAUUCAUCAGAAGGUAAGUAUUUUGGAGGUGCAAUCCGGAGGAAUGGAUAAAAUCGGUUUUAUCAAAAAAGAUAUCUACAAUCUUGAAUGUAGUGUGAAUGGGAAGCUGAGGAACCACGAUGUUGAACUAGUGACCGAGUAUUUUAUGGCUGAACAGAAAAAACAUGAGGCUUUUUAUUUCAAGAUUGAGGGAGAUGGGCAUGAUAGGUUUAGUCGAUGUUUUUGGGCAGAUGCAACUUCUAGACGGGCGUAUGGGUUUUAUGGAGAUGUUGUUGUAUUCGAUACCACAUUCAACACGAAUCGAUACGACUUGACAUUUGCACCAAUGCUGGGAGUUAAUAACCAUGGUCAGACAAUUGUCUUAGCAUGCGCAUUUUUGAGCAAGGAAACGACUGAGUCGUUUGUUUAGAUGUUUGAGGAGUUUAAGAAAGCCAUGCCAGGUGGGGAACCUAAAACGAUCAUUACAGAUCAAGAUGCGGCAAUGGCCAUAGCGAUUUCAAUAGCCUUCCCGACCACAUUUCAUCGACUUUGCAUAUGGCACAUCACAUCAAAGUUCUCUGUCAAGUUACCAUGUGACGCUUAUAAGGAGUAUUGGCGUGAAUUUCAGAAAGCCAUAUGGGAUACUGACAAUAAGGAUGAGUUUGAUGCAAAAUGGAAUAUUGUGGUUACAAAGGCUGGUUUGACUGACCAUCCAUGGCUAAGUUCAAUGUUUGAUUUAAGGGAAUCUUGGGUUCCAGCCUACGCACGAUAAUUUUUUGCCGCUAGAAUGUCAAGCAGCCAAAGAGCGGAAGGUUCUCAUGGUUUUUUCAAGCAAUACAUAUCAAGGAGAAAUUCGUUGAUAGAUUUCAUAAUACGAUUGAGAGGGCACUUUCUCAUCAACGUGAAAAAGAGUUAGUUGCUGAUCAAGUAGAUGCAUUUGAAGUGGCUCAAUGUAUUCUACCGAUGCCAAUGAACAAACAAAUGGCUACCUUGUACACAAGGACAAUGUUUCAAAAGUUUGAGCAAGAACUAAUACAAAGUACAGCAUGUUUCCUAGAGCUCAAAACAGAGGAUGCUUGUAAAGUUGUCUUUAACGUGAGCGAAAGGAAAAAUUGGGAAACAAGAGUGGCAGAAGUCGUAUAUGUCAAAGAUUCUGACCACGCAUCGUGUAGCUGCAAAAGAUUUGAAUUUGUUGGAAUUAUUUGCAAGCACAUCCUAGCAUUGUUCAGAAGGGACCAGAUUGAAUAUAUGCCCGAUAAAUAUAUUUUGAAGAGGUGGAAGAAAACUGCGAAAUCUGGAUUGGUGUCAGAUGCAAAUGGCAACAAAAUUAAAGACUGUGCAGAUCCUGGCCUUCUAAUAAAGCGGAGUACAAUGUCUCGACUUGCUUCAGAUGUGGUUGAGGAUGCAUUAAUGAGUGAAGAAGGAUGUGAGCUACUGUCAGAGACUCUAAAAAGUUUGCAGGUGAAGUUGAAGUUGCUGAAGGAUGGACCAAGUAAUAACGAAGUUGGAGGGUCCAGCUCUCAAACACAAUAUAUGAAAGACCCUAAGAGAGUGAGGUGCAAAGGAAGGUCGAAAGGAGUAACGGGUGCAAAGGAAAAGGCAAUGAAGUGAGGGAUUAGACACUGUCGGGAGUGUGGACGCAUUGGUCAUGAUAGAAGACAAUGCCCAGCCUUGAACACACUGUAAGAUGCUAACACUAUUUGUAAUAACAUCUAAAUUUUGAAUAGGUAAAAUUUUUAUGUGCUUGUGUUUGAUGUUUAUGCAGGACAUCACCGUCGAACAAUGACGAAUCAACUCCAAUACAUCGUAGUGACCCAUUAUUCGACGAUUUUGACAGGAUGCACGGACCAACUGAAUGAUUUAUAUUUGUAUUAGACGAAAUAUGGUUGUUAUGAAGAUUAAUGAUCAGGUGAAGUUUUAUAGAUUCAGUUUUUAAAUAUUAUUGUGUUUUUGUUCAUGUCCACCGAUGAGCUCUUACUAUGUCCACUGGUAAUUGAAAUGAAAAUUUGCUUGGUUUCAUUCUUCCAUGAAAUUUGGAGACAUGUUAAUUUUACGUCUUCUCCCUAUUUAUAAAUUUUUCAUAGACAUUUGAUCAAGUAUGAAAUUUGUAGUUAUGUGAAGAAGCAAUGACUUUUACCAUGUAAAAUGGGCAGUUUAGGGUGAAUUAUGUUUUAACAGAGAUUCAUUUUUCAAAUCCUCAGGCUAAUGCAGCAUUUCCAGCAGCCAGCUGUUGUUUCCAUUACCAGUAAUCAUUUCCAGCAGUAGCCACUUUUUCCGACUGGUUAUUAGGGGCACGAUUUUGUACACUUUUGUAACUGAAGGAUACUUGAAGCACUUUGUUGGAACAGAGCAAAUAGAAAGUAGCGUGUAAAAAAGAAACAUAACAUUGCAGCUAAUUACAUUUCGAUACUUAGGUGAAAAAUAUUAAAGGGUACACUAACUUACAUAAAUACUCAUAAUUCCACACACAAAAGAACAUUUGAUUGCAAAAAUAUUAUGUGCUCCCUCUUAGCAAUACCACAAUCUCCCCAACCAACUGAACAACGGUAGCCACAAUCACUCGGUCGUACUGGUCAGCUUCUUCUUAGCAGGUGUCACAUGCUUAUGGCCACUCAUAUCCCUAGUGAUAUAGACGAAAUAAAUCUUCAGCAAUAUUUGGAAUUUUAUUAUAUAUAAAUAAACCAAAAACCAUUCACUAAACAAUGUAUAGCACAUGUUAUGUUACUUACGACUCACGUGUCAGUUUUUUUUGAACACAUUAGUACGCCAGCUCUUUAAUGUAAAUGGACAUGAUAAGGAACAUUUACUGAUCCCGGCUUGCUGUGAUAUUGACUGCUUGUUGAAUAAUAUUUCCAUAUUUGCAAAAUAUAAUGUUAGACAUUAUAACACAUGAUGACUUGCAAUACAUAGUCCCAAUAAUUAUAUAUGAAGUAAAUGAAACUGAUAUUUGUGUUAUUUUAAAUUAGAUAAUGAUAUUAAGGGAGUAUAUGUGCAAUACCACGGUCACCCUCAACCAACUGAACAGCGGUAGCCGCAAUCACUUAGUCGUAUCGAUCGGCUUCUUCCGAGCAGCUUUGACGUGCUUAUGCUCAUUCAUGUCACCCCCAUCGUCUAGUAUCUCUCUCACAGCAUCAGGGGACACAUAGUUCCAAUCAUAACUUGUAUGAGUAGUUGCCGCAAAUGCUCGGAAUUUGUCGAAUCCUUCGUUGAAUGCCAACUCCAGUUCACUAUGGUGCUCUUUGCAUCGCAUAUGGUUCAUCAAACAACCUUUCAUUUCAUCAUUCAUUACUGUAUCCAACUCCUCAGCUUUCAGCUUCCUUUUAUGACUCAGCUUCAAGUACUUGUUCUUUUGGGAGAACGCUUUGUUCACUCUAAUGUUAAGAUCAGCCAAAAUUGCCUCGUCUUCAACACAUUUCUCUUGCCAUGAAUUGAUCAGUCUGGAAUUAUAAUCCAGCUUGCCACUGACUGCAUGUAUUGCCUCUAAUGGAUCAUCGGAGUCCCCCUCACUCCCAAAUGAUGUUGAAAAAGGAAGGGGUCGGCGAGUACAAUGUGGAAAUAGAACCUGCGACUCCAAUUUGUCAUCUUCGAUUGUGUUGUUGGCGCCUGAAGAGGUUGACAUGCUUCAAUAAUCCUCUUUGUUUUGGGAGGAUGAGGAUUGCAUAUGCAAUUUCGUUUGAGAAAGGGAACAUAGGUUUAUAGACCAACAUACCAAAGCUUGUGUGUAGUCAACAUAUGUACUUUUUGGAGGGAAUUUUUUAAAAAUAGGUGUCAGCUUUUGCUUUUCAAGCAUGUCAACCUCACACUCUCCUUACACCACUGAUAGUGGUUGAAAGAAACUCAAUGGAAGUGACAUCUACUUAGUUAACUCAACCAAACUAGUUAGGAUUAAACUUAGAUUGUAUCAGACCAAAAAUUAAUUUCUACAUUGUCAACCAAAUAUUUUUUGGCGGGAACCCUUUUCUUGGUAUUACUAUCACCCCUUUCAUAUAAAUUCCCCUUCCACACAAAACUCACUCCUCCACCGAAUCUGUCUCCAUCUACUGAUACUCUCUCAAGCAAACAAACUCAUUGCCCCCAAACAAUAGAUUUACUAACCAAGUUUGAUGUGAGCAUAAUAAACACCCCUCCAAACAAAGACCGCCUUCGACACGCAAGUGAGUCACCAGACAAGCAAUGUCACAUUCCUAGACAGAAUGACCAUUUUGUUGGAAGUUUUGAGUCUGAAAGAGUUGUUGCUUUUUGGAAGGAGAGGCAUCUUCAACUUGGUGAUGAAAUCCAAAGGGCAAGGGCACGUUUGGAAUUUGUUGAAGGCCAAAUUGAAGAUGACAAAAGGCAGGCCAAUCUGGAUAGGGCGAAGUUGCAGUGCAUGAAGCGUAGACACAAACGACUUCGGAGUGUAGCUGUUAAAAAAUACAAGAACUCAUCUAAUGCAGUGGAGUCAAAGAAGCGUGUGAUGCAAGCUGGAUUCGACUACUUCCGAUCCUAUGCAAAACUCGUCGUACCCGGGUUUGAUUGGUCAUCUAUUACCGUUUUCGACGUCACCAAAUAUACUCAGCAAGGGAAGUAACCAUUUUGGUUCUCGUGUUUGAGCAAAGGCAAAUCACUGGAAUUGGAAUUUUCGUUACACUCUGCUUCAAAGCUAUUUUGAUGCUAACUACUAUGGAAGAUUUAAACCUUAAUAUUUUGAUGUCUUUAAUUACGAAAACACAAGAUGCAAAGAGCCCAUCUACUUCAGUCAUAUGUUGCUGCCAUGUCCAUUUUUUGUUGAUCACGUAUCAGAUUUGGACAUGGUUGCAUCAUAUGCAAUGUUGCCUUUAUUUAUUAUAUGUUAGGACAAGGUUUAUGGAAAAGCUUUUGUGAGUGUGUUUGUGACAAGGUUAUGGAAUUAUUAUGUACCAUUUAUAUAUUGUUUUUUGUACUGGUUCAUCUCCUACUAUUUCUUGCUUUCUUUAUAUUUUAUGUUUGUGGAAUCCCUCUCAAAGUUAACAUAUACUGUGCAAAAAAAUGCAGACUGAUUAUAUAAUCACUCAUAUAGACUAGGACAAAUAUUAACUAAGGGUUUUAAAAUUGCUUCACUUGUGUGAGGUUAUUGACAAAAAGUAUGGCAUUAUUUUAUGUGAUUGGACAUGAUUGAAAAUAUAUUACUGAUUCCCAAUGCUGCGUCAUAUGGACAACUUAUUGAAUACUUCUGACGUGUUAAGUUUCCUCGAGGUGCAGUUGCAUGUGGACAACUUAUUGAAUACCUCUGACGUGUUGAAAACUCUAGGUGCAGUUGCAUGUGGACAACUUAUUGAAUACGAACUGACGUCUUGAAAGCCCUAGGCCUAGUUGCAAUGAUGGCUUCAAAGCAUGUGCAAUUAUUAUGGAUGUACAUUAUUAUAACAAAACAUAUUAUUGUAUAUAGUCAAACUAAAUAUUGUAUUAUUACAAAUUAUAUAUUGAAUAUUAUCCGAAAUAUACGUGUUAACGUGAAUUAGGGUUAAGAGGAAAGUGAGUUAUGUACAAAUAAUUUUGAUUUUCUCAUUUUCCGGGUAUUUUUUGGAUUUUCGUAGAAUUUUUUACCUAUUUCCACAGAUUGUUGCACUAAAAAAGCCAAAAUAAUAGCAAGAGGACACCUGGCGUGAUCUCAGCCCGUCACUUUUGACUACUUGCACAAGUGUACGUUAGUCAACAUGGCCACAGCCUCCCAUUUUAUCCUAAAUUAUUAUUUUAUUACUUUGUCUUAGAAAAUUCAGAACUAAAUACACAAAAAUUCAAAAUUAUUUCCAAAAAUUGCUACGAACUCAUUGACACUCCAUCUCCCUUGCUGAAUUCUCCGAUUCAUUGUUACGCAUUUUAGACAAUUAUUCCCAACAUUAACGGGAGAUGCUUGUUGAAGUAGGUUAUUGAAGUUUAAGUUAACAAACAUCAAUACUUAGGGUUAAGAGGAAAGUGAGUUAUGUAAAACAAUUUGGAUUAUUUCAUUGCGAGACGAAUGAUUUAUAGGUUCUCCUAGUUUUAUGACAUCACAAGGAGGCCGGAGUAAUUUUUGGGGCAUUUUUAGGAUUUUUCUACUAUUUAUUACCUAGUUUCAAAGACUUUUUAACAAGAGAAUCCAAAAUUGAAAAGAAGAUGACACCUGGCGCGAUCUCAGCCCGUCACUUUUGACUACUUGCACAAGUGUACGUCAGUCAACAUAGCCACAUCCUCCCAUUUUACCCUAAAUUAUUAUUUUAUUACCUUUUUUCUUUGAAAAUUCAGAACUAAAUACACAAAAAUUCAAAAUUAUUUCCGAAAAUUGCUACAAACUCAUUGACACUCCAUCUCCCUUGCUGAAUUCUCCGAUUCAUUGUUACGCAUUUUAGACAAUUAUUCCCAACAUUAACGGGAGAUGCUUGUUGAAGUAGGUUAUUGAAGUUUAAGUUAACAAACAUCAAUACUUAGGGUUAAGAGGAAAGUGAGUUAUGUAAAACAAUUUGGAUUAUUUCAUUGCGAGACGAAUGAUUUAUAGUUUCUCCUAGUUUUAUGACGUCACAAGGAGGCCGGAGUAAUUUUUGGGGCAUUUUUAGGAUUUUUCUACUAUUUAUUACCUAGUUUCAAAGACUUUUUAACAAAAGAAUCCAAAAUUGAAAAGAAGAUGACACCUGGCGCGAUCUCAGCCCGUCACUUUUGACUACUUGCACAAGUGUACGUCAGUCAACAUGGCCACAUCCUCCCAUUUUACCCUAAGUUAUUAUGUUAUUACCUUUUUUCUUGGAAAAUUCAGAACUAAAUACACAAAAAUUAGAAAAACGAUCCGAAAUUUCUACGAAGUUAUUGAGACUUCAUCUUCCUACUGAAUUCCCUGUUUCAUGGUUAUGCUACAUUAGUAUUUUAUUAUUAUUUAUCCACAAUUAUUAUAAUUAUUAUGAUAUUACUUUUUACACUGUCCAUUUGUUAAUUAUAUUUAGUCCAACUUGUUGAAAACAAUUUUAUUUUCCGUGCGAAUAGGCCAUUUGUAGUGCUCAUCGGUUUCUCUGUUCUUCUAUUUGUUAAUUUUUUUAUUUUUUAGGUUGAAGGGAUGUUUUGAAACAUAAUAUGAAAAUAUACAAGUCAUCCAUUGUACUCCUUCCACACAAAAAAAUUAUUCUACGUCAUUCACUGUUGUUGUUUUGCUUAAGAAACGUGUAACCAAAUCCCUUCGGAUAUGCUAAGUGGGAAAAUGUCAUUCCCAAGCACUGGUGAAAAGACACCUAUUUACUCCAUGCAUGACUUUUCGUUUACCAAAUAUGAAGAUUGGGGUCGGUGAGCAAAAUAUCUGUGUCAGUAAAAUGUCAUUCCUAGCCGUCUAUGAUGUAAGUAAUAAUUCCGCUAUAUAAUAAAUAUUAUACAUUUAUAUAUAAAACGGUUUAUGACAAAAUACCAACAUUUGAACAACAUUUAAACAACAUUUGUACAACGUAGCCAGCCAACCUAGAAGUGAAGAGAAGCAAGUCCACAAUGCAUCAAAACCGUAAAUUCGUACUAAAACUAAUGCAAAAAUACGUGAUUCCCUCGCACAACAUACUCACGCAUCAGUUUGAACCAAAAAAUACUCUCACGGUGCCAUUUGCAUCGAUUGCAACAAGUCCACAACGCAGGAUUUAUCUUGUCUUCACUAGGCCAGCCUGGAAUAACAAAAUACCAUUCAUUGUUGUUACAAGCGCUGCAGCGACUGAACUGAAUCUUCCCAUAGUCAAACAUAUCUACGAUAUGUCUUGCAACUCUUGAUGUGGUUAAUCUUCGUGUCAAAGCAUCCCUGGUUCCUUUCAUAUCAAUGUUGUUACGUUGAUUCAAAGAACACAAGAAUUGUAAUGCAUCCUCUUUUGACUGACCAAUUCCGGACAUACCAAGUAGUCCAACUACAUAUGCCGCUUCCAUAUGGCCUGCCGUGGCUGCAAUGCACAUCCCAUACAACGCUUCCACCUUACCGUGCCUGAAAAAACCUUCGAAUGCUUCUCUAAAUAUGGACUCAGGGUUAUCGCAAGCCCUGCAUUGUUGCAAGAAAUGCUGGACCGCAGGUCUGGCACGGUACCAGCUAGGAUGGUCUGGGUACUUUGCCAUUGAAAUGGUGUUCCACACUUGUGGACUGUUUGCCAAAGUUUGGAACAAUCGGCACACAGAUGCCAUAAGGAAGAGAUCUUCCGAUGAUUCGGUUGCCACGUAUAACAUCACUUGAAACCAAGCGGACUCCGGGAUGAAGGCUUCGGGCAUAUCGAAAUGGAGAUGCUUCCUUCUCUUUCCUCCGAAUGUAGUGAAGUGUUUCGAAUUCAUUGAAAAGUUUUUGGAAUGGAACAAUUUGAGGAGUGGCAGAGGGGAUAAAUGAUAAUAUUUGGGGUACACGUUUUGUUUUAGCCUCUGUUUAUAGUGUUUUGAAAAGGUGUUUCCAGUUGGGGUUUUUCCAAGUUGACCCUUUUGAAAGAAACUGAACCCAAGUGAAUUAAAACUUAAGACAAAAGAAGGGAAAACGUCAUAACGGUGCAUACAGAGUCAGACAGAAAGUUAAUUAAAUGGCUAUUUGCAUAGCCAUUUUUGGGUUUAUCCCACUAUCAAAUUCAUUGAUACAAAUGUGAUGGAUUACUGACUAGUGACAGAAGGUCCCAUCAUAUACUUUUUCAUUUUCCCACACCCAACUACCCCUAGUAAUGUUAUUAAAAUGGAACCAAUAAUGACGGAUUCUUAUCCAACUAGUUGCCUUAAUGAAAUAUAAAUAAAUUAAAAAAACUGAAGCAGUGUCCCCUCAUUUUUCAGAAAAUAUAUUUGGUAGUGAAGUAGUUUAUAUUGCUUUUCGGGCUAAAAGAUGUCACAAUGCUGACGGUACAGGUGUCGACAUCGUGACCAACCCACCAAAUGAUCCCAAAAAAAAUAAAUAUAACUCGAUUUGGGCAGAGAUGAGAGAGAGCUGAGUGACAAGUUUAGGGUUAUGAGUGAAGGGGUAUGAAUGACAACUAUGAGUGAGAAGGUAUGAGUCCGAAGAGGUUUCAGUGAGAAGAUUUGAGUGAGAAGAGGUACAACUGAGAAGAUUCAACAUGUCUUCGUCUUCAUCUCCCGCUCAAACAAAGAGGUGUCAGUAUUGUGGAGCUACAAUGGUGCUUCGGGUUUCAAAAUCUGACAAAAAUCGAGGGAAGCCAUUCUGGAAGUGUCUAACCUCCUAUGUAAGUUUUAAUUUAAAGAAUAUGUAUGUGGGUGAAAAAAAAACCUAUGUCUAACUCUGACAGAAUUAUAUUCCAUAUAUGAUGCCUGCAAUUAGGGAGCCACCAGUUGCAAUGGAUUCGAAUGGGUUGAUGUAACCUCCGCUGAAGCAAAACAUCAAGAUGACACGUAUGAUGCUAGAGUGCUGAACAUGCUGAAGUCCAUUAAGGACUUGGUAUUAGUUUUAUUAGUUGUAUCAAUUGUCAUUUUAUUUGUUCUUUUAAUGAUCAUUUAACUGCACGGUUUCAAAGAUUGUGAAAGUUCUCCCGCACAAGACAUGUUGCACGCACCACCAAUGAGACCCUAAACCCAUUUUGUAAUAUUUGUUAACUGCAUGCAUUUCGCAAGUUAUAAAACCGAUAUUGAAUGUUUAUUGAAGGUUUAUUGAUAGUUUGCUGCAUGUAUAUGGAAUAUCAUUACCCCAAUAUUGGAUGUUUAUUGGGGCCACAAGUAUCACUCAAGUAAGAAUGAAGGGGGGAAACGGACCUUAUUCUUUCUUUUAGUAGGAAGAGCAACUGUUAAGUUUAAUAUCCUAUUCAAUACGACUUCCUUAUGGUUGGUGUAUUUGGGGACUGAAGUAUAUUGCAUCAUUAUUGUGGGCAAGGGCAUGUCUAUUGUGUAUGUUAAGGGAGUAUUGCGUGUACAUUGCAUGUCUAUUGUGUGUAUAUUGCAUGUCUAUUAUGUGUAUAUUGCAUGUCUAUUGUCUGUAUAUGGCAGGCCAAUUUUGUGUAUAUUGUUUGUCUGUUGUGUGUAUAUUGCUUGUCGAAACGCAAGUGAAUUGUUGUUCAUUUUGUGUAUAUUGUCUUUGUUUCUACUUUUAUGCUACUAAGCUGCCGAAAACCGUGCUCAUCGGUUUAGACACCUAUUAUGAUGCAACACAUUGCGAUUAAUGGUGGCUUGCAUCAACAAUGACAUAUCACUUUGCAAUGAUGUAAUACACUUAAAAAGCCAUCUUCAAAUCCCAAUUCACAUAUGCAGUCUUAAAAUUCCAAUUCACAUAUGCAGUCUUAAAAUUCCAAUUCAAUGCAGUUUGGUUAACAAACAUGUAAAUGUCAUGAAGGACUUAGCGGUAGAAUUCGAUAAGGACCCGUACGUCUCUAUUGUGUAUUUACAUUAGUUUGAGAAUGGACAUUCCCAAAACCUUCUCAUGUACCAUUUGUCAUCUUCAACCAAUAUCAUGGGAAGUAAGCAUCUCCCCUUGUUAUCUCCGCAGCCAAUUUCAACCGAAAAAAAGGCAUGUUGUGCUAGGUGCAAGUAGCUAACGGAAGCUGAGCACUGAAAAGCUCAAUGUACUUUAACGCAAACAUGCCACAAUCGCCUCUGAAGCAAAACAAGAACUCGAUCAAUUCAACUAAUGACAUUCUAACGUAAUUGACAAUUCAAAGUAAUAAAGUUAAAUUGCAAGUUGUGCUUACUCAUUAGACUGUUGUGGAACAUCCACACGCUCUAUUGGCCACGGACACCACCAAUCUCGGCUGCAAUUGUUUGCAUAAACACCUUCUUCAUAAAAGUCGAUGGUGUUGAGAAGAUUUGGAAGCGUAAUUGAUAGCGGGGCGAGUUCUUCCUUUACGAUGUCAUCUGGAAUUAGUGAAACCUUUGAAUCGUAAACUUUGAUUUCACACAAUACCAGAUCAAUCAUUACAGCCACCCAAUGCUUGUACUUCGUCAACAUAAAUGGGGUAUACACCUUAUAGACGUUCUGCCAAUCCAUCCCACACGGAGGAACCUUCCCAUUUACAACGUUUAGUAAACUUUUUCUGAUUUUCCACCCAAGCUGCUGUUUUUUUCUUUUAUUAUCCGCAAAGCAAGUACGAAUGUGAUUCUGUGAAAUACAAAACAAUCAAUGGUUAAACACCUCCACUAGUGUGUGUAUGGAAAAUGUGGAAUUAUUAACGGCACUUGGUCAAGGCCGAUGACAUACCAUAAAAAAAACAUCGGUCGUUGUCUAGUCCGCUAUUUCUACUUCCUCCAACUGUUGUUGUCGCUUCCGGAUGAGAUACAACCCCAAAUCAAUGUGCUGCAACAUGUUUUUCUUGUCAAUCUCACAAUCUAUGUACAUUAAAACAAAUGCGUAAUCAAUUACACUUACAUCUCUUUUCAGCCAACCAUCAGCUUUCACGAGGGAAGCGAAGAAUUCAAUCUCAGCUUCCACGUUGCCAAAUUGCAUCACCAAACUAUGAAUAUAAAACAGUUUUAGAACACUGUAUAUUAAAAAUUAUAUACAGUCAUGCUUCUAUCUUAUAAUUGCAAGGGACUUACUUUGGGUCGUGGCGCCAUUCCCGACAAAGUUUCAGCAAAUUCACCAGAUCAUCAUGCAGAAUCGCCUUCAUUGGGUCUAACAUCUUCAGUCCGGUUGUCUGUGCCCCAGUUUUUGGAACCAAUUCACUGCCUUCAAUGAUCUUCCACAUAGGAAUGAUCCUCUUCAUUUUCCGUAAUUGGACCCUUUGUGCCACAGCUUUACCUUUAUCAUUCAACCACACGUUCAAUUGAGAUAGCACAGCUGUAGGUUCAUCCAAAUCAAUGUCCCGGACAGUAAACUCAAGCAGUGUCCCCUCCGUGCUCUCGCCAAUGUCACCCCCAAGCAACAUAACUUCAUUAUCUUCUUUCUCACAUUGGUUUUUUUGCACUUCCUUUUCCUCACUUCUUUGUGUUUUCACUUCCUUGCCCUCCCUUUUUUUUUCCUUUGUAGUUUCUCUCCCUUACUGCUUUUUCUUUUCACUUCCUCUCCCUCACUGCUCUGUCUUUGGGCUUCCUCUCCCUUGCUACUUUUUACUUGCACUUGCUCUCCUUCACUUCUUUUCCUUUGCCCUUCCUCUACCUCACUUGGUUUUCCUUGCACUUCACCCCCUUCAAUCCCCUCCUCUUCCUUUUCCUCUCCUUCAAUCCCCUCCUCUUCCUUUUCCUCUCCCUCAUUUCUAUUACUUGGCCCUUCACCCCCUUCAAUCCCUUCAUCUUCCUUUUCCUCUCCCUCAUUUCUGUUACUUGGCCCUUCAUCCCAUUGAAUGUCAUCCAUUUCCCCAUAUCCCUUAAAUAGAUGUGAGACGACACAACGAUUCGUCCUCUGUUUCAGUAAAGCUAGGUCCCUCCUUACUUCCUGCUCAAACUGAGGACCUAAACAUUGGUCCAACAGUUUUUCCAUCCGUAUGACCUUUAAGUGAAGGACGUCUUUUUCCCGCUUUACUUGAAACAACUUGGACCUCAACAAGCCUACCACCUUGUUCAACUCAUCAAGAUCACCACAUGAAGAAGGAAUUGACUUUGCCGAGACAACAGCAGGGCGAUCCUGUGGCCAACUCCAAUAUGGCUGUCUCAUUUCCUCUUCACUCGAACAUAGCGCCCGCAAUUGAACUGACUGUUUCAGAAUACAGACAAGAGUCAUAUUAAAUCAUUCUACUUCAUAAUUUCAUUCAAUCUUAUCAAUAGUUCCAAGGGCUGCAAACCAAACCUCUUUGCUCUGGAAAAAAUAAUUGUUCAACUUUCUCAUCUCUGGAACAGGCGUAGUAGUUCUCCAUCGCAAAAUACGCGGGACAGCGGUCGGAUCAACAACCUUGCAGUAAUUCAGGUCCACCAUUCUAGGAAUUAAUUCAUAUACCCAAAUCUACACAAUUCACAGGACAAAAGUCAUUAUUUAUGGUUUAAAGAAAAACAAAACAUAACUGACAUGAACAUUAUUACCAUGUACCUGGAAAGCAUACGUGAAACCUUUAAAACUCCAGCCACUCCUUUGCGCUUCACCAUGCUUAUCCUUCUUGCCCUUCUCAUUUCUCCGGGUUGUUCCCGUUACCUUACUUUUCCCCUUCCCUCUUCCCUCUUCAUUUUCCAAGCUUUUCACAUACUUUGUUGGUGCAUAAAAUAGACUGUCUUGGGUUUUGUCAAAGGACACCGAACCCCACGGAUACCUGUUGAACGCAUCCAAGUCCUCUACAAGGGUCAGGUAAUUUAGAUUCAUGUUCAAAUGUUUGUCCCUUCUCAAAACCACUAACUCAGCAAAGUACACAAGAGCUAGCUUGUAGAUGUCAUCUUCCUCUGUGCACCUCAGAAAUGCUUCUUCUAAAGCAUUGCAUGUAAUUCCUUCGUCUAUAAAAUAUCUUUUCUGAAGUCUGAUUUCAUCACUCUCUCCACUGGAAACUUCAGGCACUUCCCCAAAAUGAAGCCCUGUGAUCAAACAGAAAUCUUGACGAGUGAACUGAGCAACGUCACACCCUAAUAAGAAACUCAGUCCAUCCAAGUCUUUCACACCCUGCCCCGCUACUCUACGCAACACAACCCCAUGCACAAUCUGCCCGCUAAACUGAAUCUUAUCUAUAUUCAGAAGAUGGCCAAAGCAUGAUGUCUUGAAUUGUUCUAAUUGUUCCGCACUCAACUUCGCUCGAAUUGCAGCUAGAGAUGAAUUUGCAUGUGAGCAGUUGUUCACCCGUGACGAAUAUACCUCUGCCUCUGGCCAUACCAGCUCCACGUUGGAUCCCAUUUCCUCAAAUACAAUGUGAAAUAACGUGAACACAUAUACUACCACGUAUUUGCACAAUCACAACUAGUCAACCAGGCACAUUACAAAUUUUACAAAGUACAUGAGCAUAGGGAUUACUGAUCACAGGCUUUAACAUCAUCAAAGCAAUAUGGCAAAUUUUGUGCAAAUACCUGUUAAUGCAAUGAUUAUGUGAAUUACAAACAAUUUCACCGGUUUUAUUUAUGGAUCUAUACUCGUGUGAGUGCAAUGUAGGCAAGUUCUGCACUUCACACACAUGACAAUUAUUGUCAUCUCAUACACAACACAAAAUAAAUAAAUAAGAAAUAUAGUGGAAGGAAGCAAAGCAAAGCAUCUACUCUGCUAUCUGCUUGCUAAGCAAUUGCCACAUCCUUCUUUCUUUCUAGCUUUUUCUUCAGUCACCCACAAUCGUCAUAGAUCAACCUUCAUUUCAAAUGCUUUGCACUUUUAUUCAUGAGUUUAUUAUUAUCUGUUCUCAUUUCUCAUAGGCAAAUUUAGUAACAAAUGAAAUAAUAUUUAUUUCAUAAAAUAUAUAAAUUCUAGUGCCAGAGAGGUACUCUUCACUCUGCACUGCUUCAAAUGUGGAAGGUUUUGAGCGCCUCCUCCAAUUUAACACCAUUAUCUUAUUCAUAUCAUUACUAACAUGUUAUUGACAUGUUAUUCAGACGUUAUUGACAUGUGAUUGACUUUAUUUUCAUUCGUUUUUUAACAUAUACCCAAGCAAAAAUUAACAUGCAAUUGAAGCACAAAUAAGAGAUGUCAAAUCCAACAACAUUGAUGGUACAAAUUGGGGAAAACCAUUACUCUAACCCUAAACUCAAAUUCCUUACAUUACUCAUCAAAUGCUUUGCAGUUCUAUUCAUGAGUUUAUUAUUAUCUGUUCAAAUGUUUCUCAGGCAAAUUUAGUAACAAAGGAAAUCAUAUUUACUUCAUAAAAUAUAUAUAUAUUCUACCGCCUCUUCUUAAUCUGCACUAUGCAUUGCUUCAAAUGUGGAAGGUUUUGAGGGCCUCCUCCAAUUCAACACCAUUUAUCUUAUUCAUAUCAUUAUUGACAUGUUAUUCACUUGUGAUUGACUUGAUUUUCAUUCUUUUUUUAACAUAUACCUAAGAAAAAAUUAACAUGCAACUGAAGUACAACGAAGAGAUGCCAAAUCCAACAAAAUUUAUGGUACAAAUUGGGGAAAACCAUUACUCUAACCCUAAACUCAAAUUCCAUAAAUUACUCACCAAAUGGGUUAUUGCAAGGUGUUUGUGUGGGGUCUUUCUAUUUCUUUGCUCCACAAAUGGAACCUACCACUUCCAACGAAUACAGCUUCUCCCCUUCCCCUUCCACUGCUUUGCCCCUUCACUGAUUUGGAAUCCACACCUUUGCCCCUUCUACUCCAAAUAAAUACUUUUUCAGGGUCUGGAGAACGGAGUGGCGAAUCGUUGCCUUCAACUGUCGUUAGCCGUUGCCUUCAUUGGGUAUCUCAGACCUCUGGGUUUUAGAGAGAUGAGUUCUUUCUGUUCAAACUUCGAACUUGCCUCUUCUUCUUCUUUUUCGGACGUGUUUCCCUCUUCUUCUUCUUUUUGGACGUGCUGGAUAUUCAAUUCGGGUUUGGGUUCCUCACCUACCCAAUUGUGAAACUUUAUCUCAAUUCUCCCCAGCCCUUGGAUUGAUCUGAUGGCUAUAAAGUGAACCCCUUCUAACUUACCCCUUAUAACUUUCCACUCAUUAUAGUCUGCGCGAUAUAUAUAUACCUUGGCCAAGUUUCUUGAAUGGACUUAUUGAAAUUUCAAGUCACCCAACAUCGAUGGAUUAUGCUCAAUCAAAAUUAGAGACUCCGGAGGCCACAUUGUCUCACCAGAUGUUAGGCCCAAGUCCUCAGAGGCCCAAGCUCUACCUGCGAAAGUAGGCCCAAAAACCACCGGAUGUUUUCAUGGACAUGACGAGAUCCAUCCAAGGAAAGCAAUCAAAAGAGAGUGAUGUCAAUCUGGAACAUCCCUAAGAAGGAGAGAAUCAAGUGAUCAGAUUUGUAAUCUGAUCAUCUCAUUCGAAUCAAUUCCGUGAAUUUAGGAAGCCACACAAGGAAAGAUUUUGAACAAAGUUGACCUUCGGCCAUUUAGUGGCCAGCCCAUGGGCUGACGAAUGCCCCUCUAUGAAAUACAUCAGACAAAGAGCAAAGGACCCCGAUAUCAGGCACAAAACCUACUUUUUGUCUUUCAAUUUUCUAUCCCUAGACUAGUUUUUUUAUUUUCCAAGCAAGCAGACUAGAUUUGUUCUUCACUUUCAUUAGUGUAAGUUUAAUUUCUUGUAUUUUCCAUUAUGUUGUUUUAAGAUUCAAUUUUGCCGCUGUAUUUUUAAUUUUUAUCGAAUUUUCUUUAAGCUUAAUUUAAUUUCAAAUUGCUUUAUUUUAUUGCCUUUAUCAUUUAUAUCAUUCUUAUUUCGUUCUUCGUUUAAUUUAAGUUUAUCUAUCGCUUUGAUUUACUUUGUCGCACUUUAACUCUCAUCUUUAAGUUUAAUUGCAUCUUUUAAUUUAAUUUGCAUUAUUAUCAUUAAAAAUCUCAAAAAUACUAAAACACCCAUACGAAACCUAACCAUCCUCAACCCCGAGGAAGUGAAAGAACCUAGGUUAAGAGGAGGUUCCUUGCUUGGCCGAUCAAUCUGCUGGUUAGAAGUCAGAAGCAUGAACACAUUGAUCCAACUUUUUCCAUUCAAGCCAAUCAGUGGCUUAGUGGUGGCACUCCUACGCAAUCUAAAAUAAGGACCAAAACUCCUUCAAUCGGCCUACCCGGACGAAAAGAGGGAAAUAACAUCAUUGUGGCUCAGGAGAUGUUACACAAAUUUACAGUUUCAAAAGGGAAAAAAGGCUUCAUUGCUUUGAAAAUUGACUUAUCUAAGGCUUAUGGCAGACUGAACUGGAAUUUCAUUAAGGAAGUGCUUUGGGAGAUUGGUCUCAGAGGCAUGAUUCUUGAUGUUAUCAUGAAGUGCAUUAGUUGUGUUCAAUAUAAAGCUAUCCUCAGUGGUUAGUUAACUGAGGCUUUUACGCCUAGGCAAGGUGACCCGUUGUCCCCUUAUAUAUUUGUUUUGUGUAUGGAAAAGCUCUCUCACCUUAUUCAUAAAGGGUCCAUGAUAAUUUUUGGACAUCGGUGCAGAUUUGUCAAGGUGGUCCUUUUGUGUCUCGCUUAUUCUUUACUGAUGACUUAAUUCUUUUCAGUAAAGCUUCCAUGAACCAGGCUAUGGUGAUGAAACAAUGUUUGGAUGAGUUUUGCAACGUCUCUGGUCAGAAGGUAAGCUUUGAGAAAUCAGUUAUUUCUGUUUCUCCAAAUACAAGCCAUGCACUUGCUCAAUCCAUUGCUAAUGUUAGUGGAUCUCCCCUCACUGCCUGUCUUGGUAAAUACCUUGGAGUCCCUUUAAUUCAUAAAAAAGUCACUAAGACCACUUAUAUGGAGAUUGUCGAGAAGGUCCAGAAAAGGUUGUCUGCCUGGAAGAGUCAUUUCCUUUCCAUGGCUGGUAGGCUUACUCUCCUACAAUCUGUUAUUGCUGCCAUUCCCAUUUAUUCUAUGCAAACUGUUAAGUUACUUGUUUCCGUUAGUGACAAACUUGACCAGCUGAACAUGAAUUUUCUUUGCUUCCACACUAAUAAUUCGUGUAAGACCCAUCUUGUUAAUUCAGAAAGAUCAGGGCCUUUGGGCCAAGGUCUUGAAUUCUAAGUAUUUGAGACAACGUGAUCUUAUUGCUGCUAUGAAUCCCAACACUAGUUGUGUUUCCAGUGUGUGGAGGGGUGUUUUAUUUUGUGCUAAGCUUCUUCCUCCUGGUCUCAAUUGGAGAGUUGGAGCUGGUGAUAACCAUCUUGGUUUGGACGGACACGUGGGUGAGUUGUGGCCCUUUACAGAAUUUUGCCACCGUUUUAAGCUUCUUCUUACUGUGAGUGACUUCAUGGAGCAUGGAUAUUGGAAUGUCAACUGCUUACAGGAUUGCCUGCCUCCCAACAUUGUUCCUCCGAUUUGAAGUACUCAUGCCGGCUUCUAUGGAGGUAGGAUUGAUACUUGCGUAUGGAAGCUCUCCUCUAAUGGUGAGUUCUCUGUUAAAAUUGCCAAUUACUCUAUUGUCCUUGGGCAAGACCUUCCCCCCUAGAAAUGGGAAUUUAUCUGGAAGCUCCACAUCCCCCCAAAGAUUAAAACCUUUUUGUGGGUUAUGUGUCAUAACAAGCUCUUGACUAAUGCCAACGUGUCAAAAGAGGACUUGCCUCUUCUGCUAAUUGUCCUCGCUGCAGUUAUUUGGAGUAAGUUUGGGUCUAACUCUACCCUUCCUAUCUGCUUUGUGGCAGAUUUUGAUGCUUGGCUGUUUCACAACCUUAAGUCCCGAAAAUUUGUAUGAGAUGAUAUGCCUUGGUACAUGGUUUUUGCUGUCUGUCUUUGGUAUAUUUGGAAAUGGCGCUGUAAACUUAUUUUUGAGGAAGGAUUUGUGAUGCCAUUAAGCCUCAACAAGUUUUGCAGUAUCCUGUUGAGUGGUUCACUGCUCGUAAGGCUAUGACAACUUCUAUUGCAAUUUGUGUGAUGCAGCUAUGCUGGCAACAUCCUAUGCCUGGUAUUUUUAAGCUUAACACUGAUGGGAGUCGAAAGUCUGAGUCUGGCCUCAUAGGUGCUGGACGAAUUAUUAGAGACUCUAUUGGUGUUUGGAUUAAAGGCUUCUCUGUGAAUCUUGGUGUGGGAUUUACAAUUGAGGCUGAAUUACGGGGUGUCUUUUGGGGCCUCCGUUUGGCUUGGUAUUAUGGGUGCCGAAACAUUGCGGUGAAUGUGAUGCUAGUGAUGUGGUUUCCCUCCUCUCUUGCCCAACAUCUCUCACUCAUCCCCUCCUUAGUCUUAUUAAUUGCUGCAAGCUGAAGAUGCAAGAAAACUGGAUUUGUUCCCUGAGGCAUGUCUUUCGUGAACAAAACCAUGUUGCUGACGUUCUUGCUAAAAUGAGCCAUGAGUUGGACCCUGGUUAUCAUUGUUUUGAUGUUCCCCUUCCUAAUGUCUAUGACACCCUUUAUGUUGAUCCUAGCAAUUUGGCUAGGACUCGAAUUAUCUCUCUGUAGUUUGCUUUGUUGAUAGGCCUCUAGCCCAUCUGUACCAAAAAAUAAAAAUAAAAAUAAAGCCCACAACUAAAUGCCCAUUCUGCUUCUCUCUCGCCUUUUGAACUGAGUCCAAAUUACUCACCAAUUUAAGGGAGCUUCUAUAGUGAGUGGGAAGUUAUAAGGGGUGUUUUUGAGGGGUAUGUAAGAGCCGUUGGAUUUCAUCCAACGGUGAGUUUUUAAAAGAGGGUGCAUGUAGAAUCGGGUUGAAAUCUAACCCGUUAGAAACCCAACUUCAGUUGUUCCCCUCUUUCCCUCUCUGUGAAAAACUGAAGCCUUUCUUUUUGAAUGUAAAGCAAACCCACAAUUAGAAGGAUCCAAAUCUCCCAAACCUUAUAGUCACUCGACUGUCAUUAGCUCGUUGGGAGGCCUGCGAUCUAUAGUAUCCUGGGUAUUACGAAGAAUGGCUCUUACCUAGCUGUUGCCCUGUUUUGAUUCUAUGGCUCAAGUGAAAACCCCUUCUCUUUUCAUUCAGCUGACAAGAUUCCAGAUGAAAGCAAAGUAGCAUAUCUGUUUUUGUAGCUAGAAGCCGCAGCAGCAGUUGUUCCUCGAUUUUGGUAGAGAUGGAGUCUCAAAUACCAAAGAGUCUUCUCUAAUGUCCACCACAGUCUUUCAAGCUGACUGACUUCAGAGCUCCCGAUUGAUUUUGAGAGGUAAGUUCACUUGCUGGAUUGAUUUUAUUGGGUUAGGUUUAUUUUUUGUGAGGGUGGGAAAUUCGUCAUUUGUGGCAUCAAUAAUGUGUCAUUUUCUUAUGAAUAUUCAAUAUACUUAGUUCAUUGUUGUUGGUCGGGGUGGAAAAUUAUGAAAUGUAGGUAAAAGAACCUAAACUUAGGCUUAAUGACGUUAGGAGUAAGCAGUUGGAGAGGAUAUUGGGUGAAGUUCUGUAAUUGGUGGUUUGAAUUACAUUUGUGUUCUUAGUUGAACAUGUUGGUUCUAAUGUUAUUUUGACCAGAUUAUUUCCCAAGAGAUGACGUAACUUUUAUGAAAUUUUGCUUGUGUUUUGUGUAAUCGGAAGUUAGGCUAUGCGUAUUUUUUGUCAAUUUGGGCAAUGUUUUGUGUAAGUGGAAUGCAUUGAUAUGUUGUGAUGCAGUAAUGACUGAUUAAUGAAUGAAUAAUUGCUAUGCAGUAAUAUAGAAGUGGAUCAAUAAUAUACGUAGAUAAAAUGUCUGGGGGCUCAGAGAGUGAUGAAUGUGCAACAGCUAAUGGGAGGGUUUAUAUUCCUGAAGUAAGAAAUGAGGAAACACCAGCAGUUGGGAUGAAGUUUGACUCGCUUGACCUCGUUUACAAUUUCUAUAAUAGAUAUGCAUUCUUGGCUGGCUUUGGUAUUCGACUUCAUUCUAGCUUUUGGGGGAAAAAUAAGAAAGAUAUUUUGAGGAAAGAAUUUGUAUGUUGCAAACAAGGUGCAUACAGGAAGGAUGAAACUCGGGAGAGAAAAAGACAACGGGGAAUAAGUAGAUGCAAUUGCAAAGCAAAGAUUGUGGUUGUGAAGACAAAUGGGAGCAAGAAGUAUACCAUUUCUCUUUUUGCAGAGGGACACAAUCAUAAGAUGACACCCUCAGAAAGAAUGCAUUUAUUGAGAUCACACCGUCAUAUUUCAGAUUCUACAAAAGUACUCACAAAACAGUUGGGUUUAGUUAAUAUUCCCAUUCAUCAGAAGGUAAGUAUAUUCGAGGUGCAAUCCGGAGGAAUGGAUAAAAUCGGUUUUAUCAAAAAAGAUAUCUACAAUCUUGAAUGUAGUGUGAAUGGGAAGCUGAGGAACCACGAUGUUGAACUAGUGACCGAGUAUUUUAUGGCUGAACAGAAAAAAAAUGAGGCUUUUUAUUUCAAGAUUGAGGGAGAUGGGCAUGACAGGUUUAGUCGAUGUUUUUGGGCAGAUGCAACUUCUAGACGGGCGUAUGGGUUUUAUGGAGAUGUUGUUGUAUUCGAUACCACAUUCAACACGAAUCGAUACGACUUGACAUUUGCACCAAUGUUGGGAGUUAAUAACCAUGGUCAGACAAUUGUCUUAGCAUGCGCAUUUUUGAGCAAGGAAACGACUGAGUCGUUUGUUUGGAUGUUUGAGGAGUUUAAGAAAGCCAUGCCAGGUGGGGAACCUAAAACGAUCAUUACAGAUCAAGAUGCGGCAAUGGCCAUAGCGAUUUCAAUAGCCUUCCCGAGUACAUUUCAUCGACUUUGCAUAUGGCACAUCACAUCAAAGUUCUCUGUUAAGUUACCACGUGACGCUUAUAAGGAGUAUUGGCCUGAAUUUCAGAAAGCCAUAUGGGAUACUGACAAUAAGGAUGAGUUUGAUGCAAAAUGGAAUAUUGUGGUUACAAAGGCUGGUUUGACUGACCAUCCAUGGCUAAGUUCAAUGUUUGAUUUAAGGGAAUCUUGGGUUCCAGCCUACGCACGACAAUUUUUUGCCGCUGGAAUGUCAAGCAGCCAAAGAGCGGAAGGUUCUCAUGGUUUUUUCAAGCAAUACAUAUCAAGGAGAAAUUCGUUGAUGGAUUUCAUAAUACGAUUUGAGAAGGCACUUUCUCAUCAACGUGAAAAAGAGUUAGUUGCUGAUCACGUAGAUGCAUUUGAAGUGGCUCAAUGUCUUCUACCGAUGCCAAUGAACAAACAAAUGGCUACCUUGUACACAAGGACAAUGUUUCAAAAGUUUGAGCAAGAACUAAUACAAAGUACAGCAUGUUUCCUAGAGCUCAAAACAGAGGAUGCGUGUAAAGUUGUGUUCAACGUGAGCGAAAGGAAAAAUUGGGAAACAAGAGUGGCAGAAGUCGUAUAUGUCAAAGAUUCUGACCACGCAUCGUGUAGCUGCAAAAGAUUUGAAUUUGUUGGAAUUAUUUGCAAGCACAUCCUAGCAUUGUUCAGAAGGGACCAGAUUGAAUAUAUGCCCGAUAAAUAUAUUUUGAAGAGGUGGAAGAAAACUGCGAAAUGUGGAUUGGUGUCAGAUGCAAAUGGCAACGAAAUUAAAGACUGUGCAGAUCCUGGCCUUCUAAUAAAGCGGAGUACAAUGUCUCGACUUGCUUCAGAUGUGGUUGAGGAUGCAUUAAUGAGUGAAGAAGGAUGUGAGCUACUGUCAGAGACUCUAAAAAGUUUGCAGGUGAAGUUGAAGUUGCUGAAGGAUGGACCAAGUAAUAACGAAGUUGGAGGGUCCAGCUCUCAAACACAAUAUAUGAAAGACCCUAAGAGAGUGAGGUGCAAAGGAAGGUCGAAAGGAAUAACGGGAGCAAAGGAAAAGGCAAUGAAGCGAGGGAUUAGACACUGUCGGGAGUGUGGACACAUUGGUCAUGAUAGAAGACAAUGCCCAGCCUUGAACACACCGUAAGAUGCUACCACUAUUUGUAAUAAUAUCUAAAAUAUGAAAAGGUAAAAUUUUUAUGUGCUUGUGUUUGAUGUUUAUGCAGGACAUCACCGUCGAACAAUGACGAAUCAACUCCAAUACAUCGUAGUGACCCAUUAUUCGACGAUUUUGACAGGAUGCACAGACCAACUGAAUGAUUGAUAUUUGUAUUAGACGAAAUGUGGUUGUUAUGAAGAUUAAUGAUCAAGUGAAGUUUGAUAGAUUCAGUUUUUGAAUGUUAUUGUGUUUUUGUUCAUGUCCACCGAUGAGCUCUUACUAUGUCCACUGGUAAUUGAAAUGAAAAUUUGCUUGGUUUCAUUCUUCCAAGACAUUUGGAGACAUGUUAAUUUUACGUCUUCUCCCUAUUUAUAAAUUUUCAUAGACAUUUGAUCAAGUUUGAAAUUUGUAGUUAUGUGAAGAAGCAAUGACUCUUACCAUGUAAAAUGGGCAGUUUAGGGUGAAAUUUGUUUUAACAGAGAUUCAUUUUUCAAUUCCUCAGGGUAAUGCAGCAAUUACAGCAGCCAGCUGUUGUUUCCAUUACCAGUAAUCAUUUCCAGCAGCAGCCACUUUUUCCGACUGGUUAUUAGGGGUACGAUUUUGUACACUUUUGUAAGCGAAGGAUACUCGAAGCACUUUGUUGGAACAGAGCAAAUAGAAACCAGCGGGUAAAAAAAAAACAUAACAUUGCAGCUAAUUACAUUUCGAUACAUAGGUGAAAAAUAUUAAAGGGUACACUAACUUACAUAAAUACUCAUAAUUCCACACACAAAAGAACAUUUGAUUGCAAAACAUAUUAUGUGCUUCCUCAUAGCAAUACCACGAUCUCCCCAACCAACUGAACAACGGUAGCCACAAUCACUGGGUCGUACUCGUCAGCUUCUUCUUAGCAGGUCUCACACGCUUAUGGCCACUCAUAUCCCUAGUGAUAUACACGAAAUAAAUCUUCAGCAAUAUUUGGAAUUUUAUUAUAUAUAAAUAAACCAUAAACCAUUCAGUAAACAAUGUAUAGCACAUGUUAUGUAACUUAUGACUCACGUGUCAGUUUUUUUUUUAACACAUUAGUACUCCAGCUCUUUAAUGUAAAUGGACAUGAUAAGGAGCAUUUAUUGAUUCCCGGCUUUCUGUGAUAUUGACUGCUUCUUGAAUAAUAUUUCCAUAUUUGCAAAAUAUAAUGUUAGACAUUAUAACACAUGAUGACUUGCAAUACAUAGUCCCAAUAAUUAUAUAUGAAGCAAAUGAAACUGAUAUUUGUGUUAUUUUAAGUUAGAUAAUGACAUUAAGGGAGUAUAUGUGCAAUACCACGGUCACCCUCAACCAACUAAACAGCGGUAGCCGCAAUCACUUAGUCGUAUCGGUCGGCUUCUUCCGAGCAGCUUUGACGUGCUUAUGCUCAUUCAUGUCACCCCCAUCGUCUAGUAUCUCUCUCACAGCAUCAGGGGACACAUAGUUCCAAUCAUAACUUGUAUGAGUAGUUGCCGCAAAUGCUCGGAAUUUGUCGAAUCCUUCGUUGAAUGCCAACUCCAGUUCAGUAUGGUGCUCUUCGCAUCGCAUAUGGUUCAUCAAACAACCUUUGAUUUCAUCAUUCAUUACUGUAUCCAACUCCUCAGCUUUCAGCUUCCUGCUAUGACUCAGCUUCAAGUACUUGUUCUUUUGGGAUAACGCUUUGUUCACCCUAAUGUUAAGAUCAGCCAAAAUUGCCUCGUCUUCAACACAUUUCUCGUGCCAUGAAUUGAUCAGUCUGGAAUUAUAAUCCAGCUUGCCACUGACUGCAUGUAUUGCCUGUAAUGGAUCAUCGGAGUCCCCCUCACUCCCAAAUGAUGUUGAAAAAGGAAGGGGUCGGCGAGUACAAUGUGGAAAUAGAACCUGCCACUCCAAUUUGUCAUCUUCGAUUGUGUUGUUGGCGCCUGAAGAGGUUGACAUGCUUGAAUAAUCCUCUUUGUUUUGGGAGGAUGAGGAUUGCAUAUGCAAUUUCGUUUGAGAAAGGGAACAUAGGUUUAUAGACCAACAUACCAAAGCUUGUGUGUAGUCAACAUAUGUACUUUUUGGCGGGAAUUUUUUAAAAAUAGGUGUCAGGUUUUGCUUUUCAAGCAUGUCAACCUCACACUCUCCUGACACCACUGAUAGUGGUUGAAACAAACUCAAUGGAAGUGACAUCUACUUAGUUAACUCAACCAAACUAGUUAGGAUUCAACUUAGAUUGUAUCAGACCAAAAAUUAAUUUAUACAUUCUCAACCAAAUAUUUUUUGGCGGGAACCCUUUUCUUGGUAUUACUAUCACCCCUUUCAUAUAAAUUCUCGUUCCACACAAAACUCACUCCUCCACCGAAUCUGUCUCCAUCUACUGAUACUCUCUCAAGCAAACAAACUCAUUCCCCCCAAAGAAUGAGCAUAAGCACAACCAAGUUUGAUGUGAGCAUAAUAAACACCCCUCCAAACAAAGACCGGCUUCGACACGCAAGUGAGUCACCAGACAAGCAAUGUCACAUUCCUAGACAGAAUGACCAUUUUGUUGGAAGUUUUGAGUCUGAAAGAGUUGUUGCUUUUUGGAAGGAGAGGCAUCUUCAACUUGGUGAUGAAAUCCAAAGGGCAAGGGCACGGUUGGAAUUUGUGGAAGGCCAAAUUGAAGAUGACAAAAGGCAGGCCAAUCUGGAUAGGGCGAAGUUGCAGCGCAUGAAGCGUAGACACAAACGACUUCGGAGUGUAGCUCUUCAAAAAUACAAGAACUCAUCUAAUGCAGUGGAGUCAAAGAAGCGUGUGAUGCAAGCUGGAUUCGACUACUUCCGAUCCUAUGCAAAACUCGUCGUACCCGGGUUUGAUUGGUCAUCUAUUACCGUUUCCGACGUCACCAAAUAUACUCAGCAAGGGAAGUAACCAUUUUGGUUCUCGUGUUUGAGCAGAGGCAAAUCAGUGGAAUUGAAAUGUUCGUUACACUCUGCUUCAAAGCUAUUUUGAUGCUAACUACUAUGGAAGAUUUAAACCUUAAUAUUUUGAUGUCUUUAAUUACGAAAACAGAAGAUGCAAAGAGCCCAUCUACUUAAGUCAUAUGUUGCUGCCAUGUCCAUUUGUUUUUGAUCACGUUUCAGAUUUGGACAUGGUUGCAACAUAUGCAAUGUUGCCUUUAUUUAUUAUAUGUUAGGACAAGGUUUAUGGAAAAGCUUUUGUGAGUGCGUUUGUGACAAGGUUAUGGAAUUAUUAUGUACACUUUAUAUAUUAUUUUUUGUACUGGUUCAUUUCCUACUAUUUCUUGCUUUCUUUAUAUUUUAUGUUUGUGGAAUCCCUCUCAAAGUUAACAUAUACUGUGAAAAAAAUAUUAUGCAACUGAUUAUAUAAUCACUCAUAUAGACUAGGACAAAUAUUCACUAAGGGUUUUAAAAUUGCUUCACUUGUGUGAGGUUAUUGAGAAAAAGUAUGGCAUUAUUUAUAUGAUUGACAUGAUUGAAAAGAUAUUACUGAUUCCCAAUAAGGCGUCAUAUGGACAACUUAUUGAAUACCUGUAACGUGUUAAUAACUCUAGGUGCAGUUGCAUGUGGACAACUUAUUGAAUACCUCUGACGUGUUGAAAACUGUAGGUGCAGUUGCAUGUGGACAACUUAUUGAAUACGAACUGACGUCUUGAAAGCUAUAGGCGUAGUUGCAAUGAUGGCUUCAAAGCAUGUGCAAUUAUUAUUUAUGUACAUUAUUAUAACAAAACAUAUUAUUGUAUAUAGUGAAACUAAAUAUUGUAUUAUUACAAAUUAUAUAUCGAAUAUUAUCCGAAAUAUACGUGUUAACGUGAAUUUGGGUUAAGAGGAAAGUGAGUUAUGUACAAAUAAUUUUCAUUUUCUCAUUUUCCCAGCAUUUUUUGGAUUUUCGUAGAAUUUAUUACCUAUGUCCACAGAUUGUUGCACUAAAAAAGCCAAAAUAAUUGCAAGACGACACCUGGCGCGAUCUCAGCCCGUCACUGAUGACUACUUGCACAAGUGUACGUCAGUCAACAUGGCCACACCCUCCCAUUUUACCCUAAAUUAUUAAUUUAUUACUUUUCCUUACAAAAAUCAGAAAUAAUUACACAAAAAAAAAAUAAAUUAUCCGAAAAUUGCUACGAACUCAUUGACACUCCAUCUCCGUUGCUGAAUUCUCCGAUUCAUUGUUACGCAUUUUUAAAAUUAAUUCCGAACAUUAACGGGGGAUGCUUGUUGAAGUAGGUUAUUCAAGUUGAAGUUAACAAACAUCAAUACUUAUGGUUAAGAGGAAAGUGAGUUAUGUAACACAAUUUGGAUUUUUUCAUUGCGAGACGAAUGAUUUAUAGGUUCUCCUAGUUUUAUGACGUCACAAGUAGGCUGGAGUAAUUUUGGGGGCAUUUUUAGGAUUUUCCUACUAUUUAUUACCUAGUUUCAAAGAUUUUUGAACAAAACAAUCCAAAAUUUAUAAGAAGAUGACACCUGGCGCGAUCUCAGCCCGUCACUGAUGACUACUUGCACAAGUGUACGUCAGUCAACAUGGCCACACCCUCCCAUUUUACCCUAAAUUAUUAUUUUAUUACUUUUCCUUACAAAAAUCAUAACUAAUUACACACAAAAUAAAAAAAUUAUCCGAAAAUUGCUACGAACUCAUUGACACACCAUCUCCGUUGCUGAAUUCUCCGAUUCAUUGUUACGCAUUUUUAAAAUUAAUUCCGAACAUUAACGGGAGAUGCUUGUUGAAGUAGGUUAUUCAAGUUGAAGUUAACAAACAUCAAUACUUAGGGUUAAGAGGAAAGUGAGUUAUGUAACACAAUUUGGAUUAUUUCAUUGCGAGACGGAUGAUUUAUAGGUUCUCCUCGUUUUAUGACGUCACAAGGAGGCCCGGGUCAUUUUCCCAACCUAUAAUAGGAAUUUCCUACUAUUUUUUACCUAAUUUCAAGGAUUUUUCCACUAAAAUAGCCAACCCUAAUUGCAAGAAGACACCUGCCGCGAUCUCGGGCCGUCACCUUUCACCACUUCCACAAGUGUACGUCAGUCAACAUGGCCACAUCCUCCCAUUUUACCCUAAAUUAUUAUUUUAUUACUUUUUUUGUUGGAAAAUUCACAACUAAAUACACAAAAAUUAUAAAAAAGAUCCUAACAUUUCAACGAACUUAUUGAGAUUUCAUCUUCCUACUUAAAUCCCUGUUUCAUGGUUAUGCUACAUUAGUAUUUUAUUAUUAUUAAUCCACAAUUAUUAUAAUUAUUAUGAUAUUACUUUUUAGGCUGUCCAUUUGUUAAUUAUAUUUAGUCCAACUUGUUUAAAACAAUUUUAUUUUCCGUGCGAAUAGCCCAUUUGUAGUGCUCAUCGGUUUCUCUGUUCUUCAAUUUGUUAAAUUUUUUAUUUUUUAGGUUGAAGGGAUGUUUUCAAACAUAAUAUGGAAAUAUACAAGUCAUCCAUUGUACUCCUUCCACACAAACAAAUUAUUCAACGUCAUUCACUGUUCAAAUUUUGCUUAAGAAACGUGUAACCAAAUCCUGUCGGAUAUGCUAAGUGGGAAAAUGUCAUUCCCAAGCAUUGGCGAAAAGACACCUAUUUACUCCAUGCAUGACUUUUGGUUUACCACAUAUGAAUAUUGGGGUGGGUGAGCAAAAUAUCUGUGUCAGUAAAAUGUCAUUCGUAGCCGUCUAUGAUGUAAGUAAUAAUUCCGCUAUAUAAUAAAUAUUAUACAUUUAUAUAUAAAACGGUUUAUGACAAAAUACCAACAUUUAAACAACAUUCGUACAACGUAGCCAGCCAACCUAUAAGUAAAGAGAAGCAAGUCCACAAUGCAUCAAAACCGUCAAUUCGUACUACAACUAAUGCAAAAAUACGUGAUUCCCUCGCACAACAUACUCACGCAUCAGUUUGCACCAAAAAAUACUCUCACGGUGCCAUUUGCAUCGAUUGCAACAAGUCCACAACGCAGGAUUUAGCUUGUCUUCACUAGGCCAGCCUGGAAUAACAAAAUACCAUUCAUUGUUGUUACAAGCGCUGCAGCGAUUGAACUGAAUCUUCCCAUAGUCAAACAUAUCUACGAUAUGUCUUGCAACUCUUGAUGUGGUUAAUCUUCGUGUCAAAGCAUCCCUGGUUCCUUUCAUAUCAAUGUUGUUACGUUGAUUCAAAGAACACAAGAAUUGUAAUGCAUCCUCUUUUGACUGACCAAUUCCGGACAUACCAAGUAGUCCAACUACAUAUGCCGCUUCCAUAUGGCCUGCCGUGGCUGCAAUGCGCAUCCCAUACAACGCUUCCACCUUACCGGCCGUGAAAAAAAUACCGAAUGCUUCUCUAAAUAUCGACUCAGGGUUAUCGCAAGCCCUGCAUUGUUGCAAGAAAUGCUGGACCGCAGGUCUGGCACGGUACCAGCUAGGAUGGUCUGGGUACUUUGCCAUUGAAAUGGUGUUCCACACUUGUGGACUGUUUGCCAAAGUUUGGAACAAUCGGCACACAGAUGCCAUACGGAAGAGAUCUUCCGAUGAUUCGGUUGCCACGUAUAACAUCACUUGAAACCAAGCGGACUCCGGGAUGAAGGCUUGGGGCAUAUCGAAAUGGAGAUGCUUCCUUCUCUUUCCUCCGACUAUAGUGAAGUGUUUCGAAUUCAUUGAAAAGUUUUUGGAAUGGAACGAUUUGAGGAGUGGCAGAGGGGAUAAAUGAGAAUAUUUGGGGUACACGUUUUGUUUUAGCCUCUGUUUAUAGUGUUUUGAAAAGGUGUUUGCAGUUGGGGUUUUUCCAAGUUGACCCUUUUUCAAGAAACUGAACCGAAGUGAAUUAAAACUGAACACAAAAGAAGGGAAAACGUCAUAACGGUGCAUACAGAGUCAGACAGUCAAAAAGUUCAUUAAAUGGCUAUCUGCAUAGCCAUUUGUGGGAUUAUCCCAGUAUCAAAUUCAUUGAUACAAAUGUGAUGGAUUACUGAGUAGUGACAGAAGGUCCCAUCAUAUACUUUUUCAUUUUCCCACACCCAACUACCCCUACUAAUGUUAUUGAAAUGGAACCAAUAAUGACGGAUUCUUAUCCAACUAGUUGCCUUAAUGAAAUAUAUAUAAAAUAAUAAAUUUGAAGCAGUGUCCCCUCAUUUUUCCGAAAAUAUAUUUGGUAGUGAAGUAGUUUAUAUUGCUUUUCGGGCUAAAAGAUGCCGCAAUGCCGACGGUACAGGUGUCGACAUCGUGACCAACCCACCAAAUGAUCCCAAGAAAAAGAAAUAUAACUCGAUUUGGGCAGAGAUGAGAGAGAGCUGAGUGACAAGUUUAGGGUUAUGAGUGAAGGGGUAUGAAUGACAACUAUGAGUGAGAAGGUAUGAGUCCGAAGAGGUUUCAGUGAGAAGAUCUGAGUGAGAAGAGGUACAACUGAGAAGAUUCAACAUGUCUUCGUCUUCAUCUCCCGCUCAAACAAAGAGGUGUCAGUAUUGUGGAGCUACAAUGGUGCUUCGGGUUUCAAAAUCUGACAAAAAUCGAGGGAAGCCAUUCUGGAAGUGUCUAACCUCCUAUGUAAGUUUUAAUUUGAAUAAUAUGUAUGUGGGUCAAAAUAAACCCAUGUCUAACUCUGACAGAAUUAUAUUCCAUAUAUGAUGCCUGCAAUUAGGGAGCCACCAGUUGCAAUGGAUUCGAAUGGGUUGAUGUAAACUCCGCUGAAGCAGAACAUCAAGAUGACACGUAUGAUGCUAGAGUGCUGAACAUGCUGAAGUCCAUUAAGGACUUGGUAUUAGUUUUAUUAGUUGUAUCAAUUGUCAUUUUAUUUGUUCUUUUAAGGAUCAUUUAACUGCACGGUUUCAAAGAUUGUGAAAGUUCUCCCGCACAAGACAUGUUGCACGCACCACCAAUGAGACCCUAAACCCAUUUUGUAAUAUUUGUUAACUGCAUGUAUUUCGCCUGUUAUAGAACCGAUAUUGAAUGUUUAUUGAAGGUUAUUGAUAGUUUGCUGCAUGUAUAUGGAAUAUCCUUGGCCCAAUAUUGGAUGUUUAUUGGGGCCACAAGUAUCACUGAAGUAAGAAUGAAUGGGGGAAACGGACGUUAUUCUUUCUUUUAGUAGGAAGAACAACUGUUAAGUUUAAUAUCCUAUUCAAUACGACUUCCUUAUGGUUGGUGUACUUGGGGAGUGAAGUAUAUUGCAUCAUUAUUGUGGGGUCUAUUGUGUGUGUUAAGGGAGUAUUGUGUGUAUAUUGCAUGUGUAUUGUGUGUAUAUUGCAUAUCUACUGUCUGUAUAUUGCAUGUCUACUGUGUGUAUGUCUGUAUAUGGCAGGCCAAUUUUGUGUAUAUUGUUUGGCUGUUGUGUCUGUAUUGCUUGGCCAAACGCAAGUGAAUUGUUGUUCAUUUUUUGUAUAUUGUAAUUGUUUCUACUUUUAUGCUACUGAGCUGCCGAAAACCUUUCGCAUGUUUAGACACCUAUUAUGAUGCAACUCAUUGCGAAUAAUGGUGGCUUGCAUCAACAAUGACAUCACUUUGCAAUGGUGUAAUACACUUAAAAAGCCAUCUUCAAAUCCCAAUUAACAUAUGCAGUCUUAAAAUUCCAAUUCAAUGCAGUUUGGUUAACAAACAUGUAAAUGUCAUGAAGGAGUUAGCGGUAGAAUUCGAAAAGGACCCGUACGUCUCUAUUGUGUAUUUACAUUAGUUUGAGAAUGGACAUUCCCAAAACCUUCUCAUGUACCAUUUGUCAUCUUCAACCAAUAUCAUGGGAAGUAAGCAUCUCCCCUUGUUAUCUCCGCAGCCAAUUUCAACCGAAAAAAAAGGCAUGUUGUGCGAGGUGCAAGUAGCUAAUGAAAGCUGAGCGCUGAUAAGCUCAAUGUACUUUAACACAAACAUGCCACAAUCGCCUCUGAAGCAAAACAAGAACUCGAUCAACUCAACUAAUGACAUUCUAACGUAAUUCACAAUUCAAAGUAAUAAAAUUAAAUUGCAAGUUGUGCUUACUCAUUACACUGUUGUGGAACAUCCACACGCUCUAUUGGCCAUGGACACCACCAAUCUCGCCUGCAAUUGUUUGCAUAAACACCUGCUUCAUAAAAGUCGAUGGUGUUGAGAAGAUUUGGAAGCGUAAUUGAUAGCGGGGCGAGUUCUUCCUUUACGAUGUCAUCUGGAAUUAGUGAAACCUUUGAAUCGUACACUUUUAUUUCACACAAUACCAGAUCAAUCAUUACAGCCACCCAAUGCUUGUACUUCGUCAACAUAACUGGGGUAUACACCGUAUAGACGUUCUGCCAUUCCAUCCCACACGGAGGAACCUUCCCAUUUACAACGUUUAGUAAACUAUUUCUGAUUUUCCACCGAACCUGCUGUUUUUUUCGUUUAUUAUCCGUAAAGCAAGUUCGAAUGUGAUUCUGUGAAAUAUAAAACAAUCAAUGGUUAGACACCUCCACUAUUGUCUGUAUGGAAAAUGUGUAAUUAUUAACGGCACUUGGUCAAGGCCGAUGACAUACCAUAAAAAAAACAUCUGUCGUUGUCCAGUCCGCUAUUUCUACUUCCUCAAACUGUUGUUGUCGCUUCCGGAUGAGAUACAACCCCAAAUCAAUGUGCUGCAACAUGUUGUUCUUGUCAAUCUCAUAAUCUAUGUACAUUAAAACAAAUGCAUAAUCAAUUACACUUACAUCUCCUUUCAGCCAACCAUCAACUUUCACGAGGGAAGCGAAGAAUUCAAUCUCAGCUUCCACGUUGCCAAAUUGCAUCACCAAACUAUGAAUAUAAAACAGUUUUAGAACACUGUAUAUUACGAUAAAUAUACAGUCAUGCUUCUAUCUUAUAAUUGCAAGGGACUUACUUUGGGUCCUGGCGCCAUUCCCAACAAAGUUUCAGCAAAUUCACCAGAUCAUCAUGCGGAAUCGCCUUCAUUGGGUCUAACAUCUUCAGUCCGGUUGUCUGUGCCCCAGUUUGUGGAACCAAUUCAAUGCAUUCAAUGAUCUCCCACAUACGAAUGAUCCUCUUCCUUUUCCGUAAUUGGACCCCUUGUGCCACAGCUUUACCUUGAUCAUUCAACCACACGUUCAACUGAGAUAACACAGCUGUAGGUUGAUCCAGAUCAAUGUCCCCGACAGUAAACUCAAGCAGUGUCCCCUCCGUGCUCUCGCCAAUGUCAUCCCCAAGCAACAUAACAUCAUUAUCUUCUUUCUCACAUUGGUUUCUUUGCACUUCCUUUUCCUCACUUCUUUGUGUUUUCACUUCCUUGCCAUCCCUUUUUUUCCUUUGCAGUUUCUCUCCCUUACUGCUUUUUCUUUUCACUUCCUCUCCCUCACUGCUCUGUCUUUGGCCUUCCUCUCCUUUGCUACUUUUUACUUGCACUUGCUCUCCUUCACUUCUUUUCCUUUGCCCUUCCUCUACCUCACUUGGUAUUCGUUGCACUUCACCGCCUUCAAUCCCCUCCUCUUCCUUUUCCUCUCCCUCAUUUCUAUUGCUUGGCCCUUCACCCCCUUCAAUCCCCUCCUCUUCCUUUUCCUCUCCCUCAUUUCUAUUACUUGGCCCUUCACCCCCUUCACCCCCUUCAAUCCCCUCCUCUUCCUUUUCAUCUCCCUCAUUUCUAUUACUUGGCCCUUCACCCCCUUCAAUCCCUUCAUCUUCCUUUUCCUCUCCCUUAUUUCUGUUACUUGGCCCUUCAUCCCAUUGAAUGUCAUCCAAUUCCCGAUAUCCCCUAAAUAGAUGUGAGACGACACAACGCUUCGUCCUCUGUUUCAGUAAAGCUAGGUCCCUCCUUACUUCCUGCUCAAACUGAGGACCUAAACAUUGGUCCAACAGUUUUUCCAUCCGUAUGACCUUUAAGUGAAGCACGUCUUUUUCCCGCUUUACUUGAAACAACUCGGACCUCAACAAGCUUACCACCUUGUUCAACUGAUCAAGAUCACCACAUGAAGAAAGAAUUGACUCUGCCGAGACAACAGCCCUUCGUCCUCUGUUUCAGUAAAGCUAGGUCCCUCCUUACUUCCUGCUCAAACUGAGGACCUAAACAUUGGUCCAACAGUUUUUCCAUCCGUAUGACCUUUAAGUGAAGCACGUCUUUUUCCCGCUUUACUUGAAACAACUCAGACCUCAACAAGCUUACCACCUUGUUCAACUGAUCAAGAUCACCACAUGAAGAAGGAAUUGACUCUGCCGAGACAACAGCAGGGCGAUCCUGUGGCCAACUCCAAUAUGGCUGUCUCAUUUCCUCUUCACUCGGACAUUGCGCCCGCAACUGAACUGACUGUUUCAGAAUACAAACCACAGUCAUAUUAAAUCAUUCAACUUCAAAAUUUCAUUCAAUCUUAUCAAUAGUUCCAAGGGCUGCAAAACAAACCUGUUUGCUCUGGAAAAAAUAAUUGUUCAACUUUCUCAUCUCUGGAACAGACGUAGUAGUUCUCCAUCGCAAAAUACGCGGGACAGCGGUCGGAUCAACAACCUUGCAGUAAUUCAGGUCCACCAUUCUAGGAAUUAAUUCAUAUAUCCAAAUCUACACAAUUCACAGGACAAAAGUCAUUAUUUAUGUUUUAAAUAAAAACAAAACAUAACUCACAUGAACAUUAUUACCAUGUACCUGGAAAGCAUACGUGAAACCUUUAAAACUCCAGCCACUCCUUUGCGCUUCACCAUGCUUAUCCUUCCUGCCCUUCUCAUUUAUCCGGCUUGUUCCCGUUACCUUACUUUUCCCCUUCCCUCUUCCCUCUUCAUUUUGCAAGCUUUUCACAUACUUUGUUGGUGCAGAAAAUAGACUGUCUUGGGUUUUGUCAAAGGACACCGAACCCCACGGAUACCUGUUGAACGCAUCCAAGUCCUCUACAAGGGUCAGGUAAUUUAGAUUGAUGUUCAAAUGUUUGUCCCUUCCCAAAACCACUAACUCAGCAAAGUAAACAAGAGCUAGCUUGUAGAUGUCAACUUCCUCUGUGCACCUCAUAAAUGCUUCUUCUAAAGCAUUGCAUGUAAUUCCUUCGUCUAUAAAAUAUCUUUUCUGAAGUCUGCUUACAUCACUCCCUCCACUGGAAACUUCAGGCACUUCCCCAAAACGAAGCCCUGUGAUCAAACAGAAAUCCUGACGACUGAACUGAGCAACGUCACACCCUAAUAAGAAACUCAGUCCAUCCAAGUCUUUCACACCCUGCCCCGCUACUCUACGCAACACAGCCCCAUGCACAAUCUGCCCGCUAAACUGAAUCUUAUAUAUAUUCAGAAGAUGGCCAAAGCAUGAUGUCUUGAAUUGUUCUAAUUGUUCCGCACUCAACUUCACUCGAAUUGCAGCUAGAGAUGAAUUUGCAUGUGAGCAGUUGUUCACCCGUGACGAAUAUGCCUCUGCCUCUGGCCAUACCAGCUCCACGUUGGAUCCCAUUUCCUCAAAUACAAUGUGAAAUAACAUGAACACAUAUACUACCACGUAUUUGCACAAUCACAACUAGUCAACCAGGCACAUUACAAAUUUUACAAAGUACAUGAGCAUACGGAUUACUGAUCACAGGCUUUAACAUCAUCAAAGCAAUAUGAUAAAAUUUGUGCAAAUACCUGUUAAUGCAAUGAUUAUGUGAAUUACAAACAAUUUCACGUGUUUUAUUUAUGGAUCCAUACUCGUGUGAGUGCAAUGUAGGCAAGUUCUGCACUUCACACACAUGACAAUUAUUGUCAUCUCAUACACAACACAAAAUAAAUAAAUUAGAAAUAUAGUGGAAGGAAGCAAAGCAAAGCAUCUACUCUGCUAUCUGCUUGCUAAGCAAUUGCCACAUCCUUCUUUCUUUCUAGCUUUUUCUUCAGUCACCCACAAUCGUCAUAGAUCAACCUUCAUUUCAAAUGCUUUGCACUUUUAUUCAUGAGUUUAUUAUUAUCUGUUCUCAUUUCUCAUAGGCAAAUUUAGUAACAAAUGAAAUCAUAUUUAUUUCACAAAAUAUAUAAAUUCUAGUGCCAGAGAGGUACUCUUCACUCUGCACUGCUUCAAAUGUGGAAGGUUUUGAGCGCCUCCUCCAAUUUAACACCAUUAUCUUAUUCAUAUCAUUACUAACAUGUUAUUGACAUGUUAUUGAGAUGUUAUUGACAUGUGAUUGACUCUAUUUUCAUUCGUUUUUUAACAUAUACCCAAGCAAAAAUUAACAUGCAAUUGAAGCACAAAUAAGAGAUGCCAAAUCCAACAACAUUGAUGGUACAAAUUGGGGAAAACCAUUACUCUAACCCUAAACUCAAAUUCCUUAAAUUACUCAUCAAUUGCUUUGCACUUCUAUUCGUGAGUUUAUUAUUAUCUGUUCAAAUGUUUGUCAGGCAAAUUUAGUAACAAAGGAAAUCAUAUUUACUUCAUAAUAUAUAUAUAUAUAUAUAUUCUACCGCCUCUUCUUAAUCUGCACUAUGCACUGCUUCAAAUGUGGAAGGUUUUGAGGGCCUCCUCCAAUUCAACACCAUUAUCUUAUUCAUAUCAUUAUUGACAUGUUAUUCACUUCUUAUUGACUUGAUUUUCAUUCUUUUUUUAACAUAUACCUAAGCAAAAAUUAACAUGCAACUGAAGCACAACGAAGAGAUGCCAAAUCCAACAAAAUUUAUGGUACAAAUUGGGGAAAACCAUUAAUCUAACCCUAAACUCAAAUUCCAUAAAUUACUCACCAAAACCUGGUUAUUGCAAGGUGUCUGUGUGGGGUCUUUCUGUUUCUUUGCUCCACAAAUGGAACCUACCACUUCCAACGAAUACAGCUUCUCCCCUUCCCCUUCCACUGCUUCGCCCCUUCACUGAUUUGGAAUCCACACCUUUGCCCCUUCUACUCCAAAUAAAUACUUUUUCGGGGUCUGGAGAACGGAGUGGCGAAUCGUUGCCUUCAACUGUCGUUAGCCGUUGCCUUCAUUGGGUAUCUCAGACCUCUGUGUUUUAGAGAGAUGAGUUCUUUCUGUUCAAACUUCGAACUUGCCUCUUCUUCUUCUUUUUCGGACGUGUUUCCCUCUUCUUCUUCUUUUUGGACGUGCUGGAUAUUCAAUUCGGGUUUGGGUUCCUCACCUACCCAAUUGUGAAACUUUAUCUCAAUUCUCCCCAGCCCUUGGAUUAAUCUGAUGGCUAUAAAGUGAACCCCUUAUAACUUACCCCUUAUAACUUUCCACUCAUUAUAGUCUUGGCCCCAAUUUAAGCGCGAGACUAUAAUGCGGAGAUUCUAUGCGGAGGUUAUUUGUGGGGAUUACUUACUAGGCCAUUAGAUUGAUCAAAUGGCUAACAUUAGUAUCCUCUUUAUGCUACAACCGGGUUGGCAUUACCCGUUGAGCAAUGCUAUUCACAAUCGAAGUACUCAACUGUCACCUCCUCAGAACCCACAUCAGCAACGACGACCUCACUCUCUCUCUUUCGGCCGCUGUUCUCCACCUCCAUCUCUCACUCUCUGUCACUUAUUUCAACCGCCGUUCUUCCCCCUCCGGUUCAACAAAUUUCUCAAUUUCUUCAGCAUUCCUGAAAUCCAUAUACCUAGAGAUGACGUCCCAGGUACCCAGCUCAACUUUUCGCCUUUACUUUCAUACCCAUAUGUUAUUUGGGUUUUCUUCUGAUUGUUUCAAUUUCAUAUAGUGGUCUAGAAAGUUGCUCAAAAUCCAAAUUCUUGCUACAUCGUUUUAUUUAUCAUGCUUAUUUGCUUGUUCUGAAUAUAUGGUUCUAUUUGUUUGGUUAGGCUGAGUUGAUGAGUGCAUGAAAAAAUGGCCUGUAGGUGUUCGAUGAAUCACCUUAAUGAGGCGCACUAUGGUUUUCUUUGAGAUACAAACCAAUUGGGACAAUUCUCAUGGUAUAUACUUAAAGGUGAACUUCUAGGAGGACCCAAUGAACCCAUCUAAAUGGAAGGAAGCACAUGUGAGUUUUAUUAUAAUUUGUUUACGAAGAUGUCUUUACAGUGCAUAAUGGUUUUGUUAGAUCGCCAUUGACAUUAGUUUAAUUACCUUUUAACAAUGCUUGAGAAAUGUCCCUGUUUUUGCAUGAAGACUUACACAGGUGCCAUAUUAUGUCAGUUUAUAGUGAAUGGAUACUUGGUUGUGUCAUUUGAUAUUUGGAAUUCUAUUAGAUUUAUUUUCUUAUUUUUCAACUUUUGUGUCAUGCCUUGAGUUUCUUUCAUUUCGACAUCGCCAUUUAACUUGUGCUGUGAACAAGUUAAUACUACACUGUUUUGUGUCAUUGUGAAAUUGAGAAAUAAAGUUCAUGUUAUUAUUUUGCAGGAAUUCUAAGGGCCAUGAUAUGGUAAAAAAGUAUGUGAACAAACAAAAGAAACAUAGAAAGGGUCUGAUGCUGCUACUUCACAUGGCCAGGUUUUGCUGCUGCUUCGUCUUCCUCAUUUACCUAAAAGAAAGGGUCUAUAUCUCUAGCAUUUGCAUCCAAAUGUCCCUUGCCCUGCCCUGCCCUGCCUUGCCCUGCCCUACCCUGCCCUGCAGUACUAGCUAGCACAACAGCCCCUGUUGUACGUGGUCCCCUGAUUUGGUUUCUUUGAGCCAUGUGAUGCUUUCAGCUUCCUAGAUCCAACUCCAAUGACUAUUUAUUAAGUCAUAAUUUACUGCCUAUAAUUAGGACCUGCGGUUUGAAGUUUUUAAUUUGGAACAAUUCAUGUACUGUUAAAACAUAAAUGGUGCAAAGCCAAUGCCAAGAAUAGAAAAAAUAAGCAAUAUGAUCAUACAGGGGUUAACGCCCAUGUAGAUAUGCACUGAUCAAGCUUGAGCAGUAAGGCUUUUCGUCUUGUGCUUGGUAGGUUUGCUUUUCCUCGUCCAUUAGAUGUUUUCCAAUUUUGAGGUGAUAUGAUACUCUUCCUCUUGGCAUUAUUCUCAUGGCUAUGAAAUUUCAGUUUGCAAUGAAUGACUAUAUCAAUCUAAAAGAUUAUUUUUGUGUAGAAAUUGAAUGAAAGUAAAUUGUACUGCAUACCUCUGUGGUGUCUAUGUUCUGGAGUUAAUGUUGUUGAUCAAUGAUAGCCUCUUUCAUAAUUCUUUCAUUGAUUAAUAUUGUUGUUCUCUCAUUGUUCCAGAGUUAACUUGAUUGAGUUUUGAUGCACUGCGUGAAAUUUUGGAUACCAUGUGAGUUAUAAGUUACGAAUGAAGCACAGACAAAAAACAAUGAACUCUAUUUUUAUAAGAAACUUAGUCUGCUUUGAGUCUUUUCCUGAUACGUAAGUAGGAGAUUUUAAAUUGGGCUUGUUUGUGCUUUUGCGCAUCUGCAUAUAUAGCAAUAAAAGGAAAGUGAUGGUUCCAAUAGAGCAUAUCAAAGAUCUACCUCAUUAGUACCAAAUUGUCUUUUGUAUUACUCUGUAUAUACAUAUUUAUAUAUGUACAUAUUGAUAUUGCUUUAUUUUGUUUCUGUUGUAGAGGAAGAUGAUGGAUGAAUUUGGGAAGGUGAAGCAACAAUUGGUAGAGUACGUGAUCAUGUCACGGCCUAUAUCCCACAAGCUUGGUCUCUAGCGAUUUGAAACCCUAACUCUUAAGUCUUGAGAUAAUUGACAUUUUUUUUUCAUAACAGUUGGAGCAAGAUUAUUGUUGGCUUCUAGAAGAUUGUUGUCAUUGAGAACCUUCAUCAAUUUGGGGUGGGACAACAUUCCAUUCUGUUGCAAGAAGUGUACUAUAGUUAUAAGGAAAAAAAAACAUGUAAUUAAGGAACUAUUUGUGUGUCAGACAGACCAUGUAAUUAUUUAGUCCUCAUGGAAUGAAAUUGAGUUUAAUUUACUUGAGAAAUUUCAGUCUUGAAUAUGUUGUUUGUAUAUAUUUGCAAGUGUAUGCAAUGGAAAAAUACUUUUAUUUAUAUUAUUAAUUGAAGAGAGCACAUUAUAUACAUUAUGUGUAUAUAUAGCUCAUUCUUCUUGCCUUUGUAGGAUGGCAAUGGGUCAAAUCGGGGGUGGGUAUGCCAUUCCCAUCCCCAUCCCAGUGAAGCUUUUUUCCCACAUCCCCACAUUCAUACCCGCAAUACAGACUUGAAAAAAAAAAAAAAAGGAUAUAUGAGGUCAAUACAGUAGCAAUACACAAGCAAUAAAGGGCUAUACAAUGGCAAUACACAAACUCCAUACCCCCCUAUAAAUUUAUUCCAACAGACUUGAAAAAAAAUAUAUAUAUAUAUAUAUGGGGGCAAUACAAUAGCAGUACACAAGCAAUAAAAGGCUAUACAAUGGUAAUACAGUAGCAAUACACAAGCAAUAAAAUGCUAUACAAUGGCAAUACACAAACUUCAUACUCCCCCUAUAAAUUUAUUCCAAGACUUUAAAAAAAGAUAUACGGGGGCAAUACACAGGCAAUAAUAGGCUAUACGAUGGCAAUACAGUAGCAAUACACAAGCAAUAAAAGGCUAUACAAUGGCAAUACACAAACUUCAUACUCCCCCUAUAAAUUUAUUCCAACAUACUUUUAAAAAAAGAUAUACGGGGCCAAUACACAAGCAAUAAAUAGCUAUACAUGUGCAAUACAUAUGCAAUACAUAUCAGUCAUGGCAUUUGCCAAUUAAAUCAUUGAUUUGGUUACAUUUGUAUUUUUUUCUUCUUUGCAAGGGGAAUGAUAAAACCAUGGAAACUAGAGAUUGACAAAUUUCCUUCUAACUUGACUUUCAUAAAUUGAUGAACUAACAGUGUUAUCUCAUUACAUCUUAAGAUAUACAUAAGAAAGUGGCAAAAAACAAAAAAAUUUCAUCUCCUCUUGGUCUAGAAUUUUAACACAAUUCAUAUGUAUAAGAAACAUUCCAAGACAUGUCCUCUUAGACCCGAAUUUAAGCUCAAAGUUAGCAAUUUCCUCCCCAAAUCAUUGAUUUGGUUACAUUUGUAUUACUUGUUCAGAAACGGAGUGCAAAGUUAGGCGAGUGAGAGACUACUGGAGGCUCUUUCAACAUAUCAUGUGUCUCUUUUUCUUCUUUUCUCUCUACUAUGAAGAUCUUGCAAAUAAUUUUUGUGACACAAAGACAGAAUAAGAGAGCUCUUAGGUUAUAGUUGUUGUAAUAGGUAAUGAUGAACCAUUUUCUGCAACAUUAAUGACAGGGGUUUAACAAAACAGAAUAUUUUUUGAAUAAAAGGGUUUGCAAUAGGGCUGAAAAAUCACAUACCAGUGAAAGAAUUGAGUUGUGGGUUUCAACCCUUGUUCCUUCUUCUUCAGCAACGUCCUCCACAUCUGAGUGUCUUGGAGCAGCAAAUUUGGCUUUUGGAAGUUGGAAAGGGGCAGCUCUUGUUUGUCUCCAGAGGAAGUUUCAGACGUAGGACUUUGGACCUCUGUUUCAAAGAAAAUAGGAGAUAUGAGAGAGAAGUUCCGGGUUGCUCAUUUUGUGAUGGGUAAUUUUAACCCGAUUGUAAAAAAAACUUCCUACUUAAAUCUGAACCGUUCAUUUAAUAUUGAUGGUUGUUAUCAUUCCGCACAUAACCUCCUCAUAAUAGCCUCUGCAUUCUAGCAGCUCCCCCAAUUUAAUGCCCCCAAUUCAGACCCUAAUCUCCAUCGCAUUGGCAAUAGAGGAGGUGAAGACCAUAGGCCGAGAGCUUGCGAUGGGCUCUCAAGGCGGCUUCGCCAAUUCAAGGAGUUCCUGGAUGUCGUCAAGUCCAUCGGUGAAGCUUGAUCCAAGGCCGAAGAAGAGCGCAUCUUCCUCCUCGAGAUCGAAACCCUAAAACGAUGUCUCCCCUAGCCCGAAAUCCCCAAGUACAAGAUGAAGGAGUACAUCAUCCGCCUCAUCUACGUCGCAAUGCUCGGCCACGACGGCUCCUUCGCCUACAUUCACUCCAUCAAGAUGACCCCUGACGACAAUCUCUUGCUCAAACGCACCAGUUACCUCGCUGUUUCGCUCUUCCUCAGUGACGAUCACGAUUUGAUCAUCUUGAUCGUCAACAUCAUCCAGAAGGAUCUUAAGUCGGACAAUUAUCUUGUCGUUUGCGCUUCUCGCUCAUCAACGACGAGACUGUGCCUACCGUUUUUCCCAGAUCGUGGAUCUGCUUGCCCAUCCCAAGGAGGCUGUGAGGAAGAAGAUCACCAUGGCACUUCACCGCUUUUAUCAGAAUAGUAGUCUUCGGUUUCGCAUCUGGUCUCGAAUUCCCAGAAGCGGCUUUGUGAUAACGAUCGGGGAGUUAUGGGUGCUACGGUCUGCCCCUUGUUUGAUCCCAUUACCAUCGAUGAGAAUUCUUAUAAGGAUUUGGUGGUCAGCUUUGUCAGCAUUCUUAAACUGGUCGCCGAGGUUAGGUUGCCCAUGACCUACGAUUAGCAUCAGUUGUUGGGGCCAUCUAUUCAGGUUUUACUUACUUUCAAUGAAGUUGAGCUUAUUCAUGUGGGAAGUUUUGGGCAUGAUAGAUGAAUUGAAAUAAUGAGCCUUGUUUGUUGUUUGUUGUAAUGUAAUGUACUAAUGGAAUUAGUUUGAUAAAGCAGAUUAGAUUGUUGAAGAUCUUGGCAUUGUUGGGAAGUGGUGAUAAGCAAUCGAGUGAGAAGAUGUAUAUGGUAGUCAUCGAUAUUUUUAGAAAGUGCGAUUCUACUAGUAAUAUGGGAAAUAUUGUACUUUAUGGGUGUAUUUGUUGCGUUUCUGCCAUAUAUCCAAAUCCUAAGUUGUUAGAACAGGCUGCUCAAGUCAUCUCAAGAUUUUUGAAGCUUUGAAGUUUUUAUAUUUUUCAGUGUAAUUUCCUGCAAAUUAUAGUCUGCAUGUAGAUUAUUUGGAGAGUUAAACACCAAUUCCUUGUUGUAUAUUUGGUGGACAAAGUGACAGUCAUAAUUUGAAAUACAUGGGUGUUGAUGCUCUUUUUGGGAGGUCAACUUAGAGAGAAGUGGAUUGUCUUCAGCAGUGGAGAAGGUGGGGAUAUUCAGUAAGAGAAGAGCCUGGAGAAGACAAAGUAGGAUAAGCAAUCGUUAAGCUUCGGACAUCGGUGUGGUGUUGGCCAAAGGCUCUCCGAUGCUUAAGUUAGCUAAGAGUAGUAACUUUGACAGAGUAACAGUAAAAGUGAGAAAGUAGUUAUCUUUUUUACUUGGGUACUGCUCCCUAUUUAUAGGGGAGUGAAAAUAGGAGGUUUGCACAAAGUUUCGAUGUGGGACUUUGUGCAAGUUGCUGUGGUGGUGACACGUGUCCUAGGGAUUAGGUUCAGCAAUUGGGACCUUCGACAGUCAGGAGCUUUAGCAGGUGCUUGGCACCUCGGAAGAAUGUAUUCCUUCAACGGGGAAGAAGGCGUGUUUGCCUUUGGUGCUAGUCGCUUUGAGGCUGGAUAUGCUCGGUUGAUUAUGGUGUAAAUAGUAGUCCCCCAAGUUCGCGGUCAAGAAGUAACUUCUAGGUUGGGAACUUGUUAGAUUUUUGUGUAAUCAUGACCAAGCAUUCCAGAUUCAAUGGGAGUCGUAGGGCAUUCCAUAGUCCCCCAAGUUGGCAAGCUAGAAGUUGCGUCAAUACUUGGGAGGUAUAGUAGAAGCUGUGUGAGCCUCUAGAACUAUUGGUAGGUGGGUACCUGGGCACUCAGCAAGGAACGGGUUAAGGGCUGGGCCUUUUGGGUAUUCGGUGCUGGGCCUUUGAUUAGAGCCUAGCUCGUGGCACGGAGGGGUGCCGUGGUGGGCUCAUUGAAUUGAAGCUGGGUUUCAUCAGGAUCCGUUCGGCAAGGGUCAAUGUUGCUUUGUGAAGAAGGCUGUGCAAAGUCAUUGUUGUUCCGGUAAGGGGAGCCGGGCUUGUCCUUGUGGAGUCUAAGCUUCGGCAAGGGGAGCCAGGCUUGUCUGUGAGGCCCGUUGUACAUUCCACAUGGCCCUUGCCGUUCGGCACGGACCCUUUCCUUUUUUCUUUUUAUCUUUUUUUGUUUUUUAUUUUUUGGGAACCUUGUGGUUCUUCUUGAACAGCUUGGGUCCUGGCUUGUGUCGGCAUGGUCCUUACUGUUCGGCAAGGGACCAAUAUGGGCUUGGGCUAGCAAGGAGCAAGGGUUGGGCCCUAGAUGGACUUCGGCAAGGCUUUGUCCAUUUGGACUGGUGUUGGUUGGAAAAGGAGCGAGCACCCCAUAGCCGUUACAUAGCCCUUGCCGUUCGGCAAGGGUGUGUUUUGGGAGAAAAAUUUCGAAAGGCAAUCAGGUGGGCCAUUGGGGCUGGGCCCUUGGGGUGUUUUUAGGCUCUUGGCAAAAACCUAAGGUCAAAAAGGCCGGGCCUUGUGCUUGUGGGCUUCAGCAGGUAUGAGGCGCUAGGGUUAGGAUUUGUGAGGAAAGUAUAAACAACCCCUUGUAGCUCUUGCCGUUCGGCAACAGAGCCAACCUCUUUUUCGAUAGCUGCGGUAGGGCUGGCGUGCUGGGAGAUCUCUUUCUAUAGCUUAGUUGCCGAUUGGUACCAUUCAAAGAUUCUCUCUCUGAGUCCUCAUAUAUCCUUUCGAUACCGUGGUGGGAAGGAGACCCCUAGAUUGAGCACCAGUCUACCGUUCGGCAACCCAGUCUCUUCGGGGAGAAGGGAUCAAGGACUUGCGCAGCAAGAUCUACUAGCACUCCCGCAGCUAUGUCACAGUAGUCCCUGCCGAACGCCAGGGUUGGCUUAAGUUUUGUUGAAGGUGUCGUGAGCCAAAGGUGUGAACUAUUCGUGUGGCUACGAUUUAGUCUUUGUAGGUGGGCCUUCGGCAAGAAGACUUGUGGAGGCGCCUCUUAAACAUUUUGCAUAGCCCUUGCCGUUCAGCAAGGGCAACUGGGGGUUAUGCGCGUGUUUUUGUUUGAGAUUUUGGGCCGGGCAGCACAGCAGUGGUCUAGGCUCGAGGACUUGGCGAGUGAUUACCUUCGGCAGGUGCUUGGAAAGAGAAGACCAAAGGGGUUGGCUUCUAAGGAUUCGAAGUGAGCUGGGAUAAUGAAGUGAGCUUUUUUGCAAGGACCCAUUUUCUUCUUGCUCAACCCUUGCUAUUCGGCAAAGGUGUCUUGAUCAUAUUUUUGGGUCCUUGAAUUGUUCCUACAUGUAGUUUGGAUUAUUGGUGUAGCGGGUUGCUUCUUUAGCAUGAGCUUAUCCGUAGCUUUGGUAGGUGUCUUUUGCUUUGACUUGGUCAUGAUUUGAGCACGAGAUUGGACUCGGGCAUGGCCCUUGCCAUUCUGCAAGGGUGAAUGUAGCAGAAGCUCUUGACUUGGUCAUGAUUUGAGCACAAGAUUGGACCCGGGCAUGGCUCUUGCCAUUCAGGUCCAGCUCAUUUGGGCUUCAUAAGGAGGCCUUGAGGUUUCAGUAGUAAUUUAGGAGCUGGGUUUCUUCGGUUGGAGUUGGACUAGACGUGAUCUGCCUUUAAGGAGGCUGCAGUGCCAAGGACUCUUUGUGAGACCCGGUAGGCUAAUUGAAAAGGUACCUUUGGUUAGGGCAAGAUUUUGCAUAGGCCUUGCUGACGAUUUUCGCUUGACAGUUGGCAAGGAGGCUGGGCGAGUGAUGCAUUGGUGUAACUUGGAGCUGGGUUCUUGAACGUUCAGCAAGGUUCUAGUAGGUAGUCUCGUGAGCCCCUUAGGCAAAGUGUUGUGGGUCUUCGAUUUCCUCCACCUUCUGGUCUGUGUAUUGGGCUUAACCAAGUGGCCUAAAAAAUUUCCUCCAUAAGCCUUGCCGUUUGACAAGGCCAGCUUGUUCAUUCGUAUGAUGCUGACUUUGUUUUUGUGUGGUGGUUGUUUAAACUUCGGCAGGUCUUAGAGUCGGGUUCAACCUUGCACACGGGCUGGGACAUCAGACCUUUGGGAAGAGCUGGGCUUUGAAGGUGGAUUCAGAAGCCUUUGGUUGUGCCUUUUCAUGUGGGAAGUGUAGCUGGGUCUUUGUUGAGGUGAAAUUUUUUGGAGGCCUCCAUUUGUUUCUGCACGGGCUUUGCCGUUCGGCAAGGUCAUUUCAAGUUCCCCUCGUUUUUUUUUUUGAAUUUCAAAUUUGAAUUUCAAAUUGUGUGUAGGUACAAGGGAUUUGAGAGGGAAGAUAUUCCUGUUGUUUGUGAUUUUCCUGAUGUCUUUCCAGAUAAUCUCCCUGGUUUACCCCCUGAAAGGGAAAUCGAGUUCACUAUUGAACUUCUUCCGGGCACCAACCCUAUUUAUCUAACCCCCUAUAGGAUGGCACCAGCUGAACUUCGGGAGUUGAAGAUUCAAUUACAGGAGUUAGUAGAUCUUGGGUUCAUCAGACCCAGUGUUUCACCGUGGGGUGCACCUGUGUUGUUUGUGAGGAAGAAAGAUGGAACCAUGAGGUUAUGUAUUGAUUACCAGGCAGCUGAAUAAGGUGACGGUACGUAACCGUUAUCCUUUGCCUCGGAUUGAUGAUCUGUUUGAUCAGUUGAAGGGUGCUAAGUAUUUUUCUAAGAUCGAUUUGAGAUCAGGAUACCACCAGUUGAGGAUCAGGGAAGAGGAUAUUCCUAAGACCGCGUUCAGAACACGGUAUGGACAUUAUGAAUUUCUGGUGAUGCCGUUUGGACUGACGAAUGCUCCAGCAGCGUUUAUGGACCUCAUGAACAGAGUGUUCCGACCAUACUUGGAUCACUUUGUGAUUGUAUUCAUAGACGAUAUCUUGGUGUACUCCCAGACUUUGGAAGGGCAUAAGAAGCAUUUGAGGUUGGUAUUGAGAACCUUGAGAAGGAAGCAGCUUUAUGCUAAAUUUAGUAAAUGUCAGUUCUGGCUGGACAGAGUGGUAUUUCUGGGACAUGUAAUUUCAGCUGAAGGGAUUUAUGUGGAUCCACAGAAAGUUGAAGCUAUUGUGAACUGGGUACAACCCACCAGUGUGACAGAAAUACGGAGUUUUCUGGGAUUGGCAGGCUACUAUCGUCGAUUUGUGGAAGGGUUUUCUUCGAUAGCAGCGCCUCUCACACGGUUGACAAGGAAAGAUGUUGCAUAUGAGUGGACGGAAGAAUGUGAACAAAGUUUUAAAGAAUUAAAGAAGCGAUUAACUACUGCACCUGUUUUGGCUCUUCCGGAUAAUGCAGGAAAUUUUGUGAUCUACAGUGAUGCAUCUUUGCGAGGCUUGGGAUGUGUUCUGAUGCAACAUGAUCGGGUGAUUUCUUAUGCCUCGAGCCAACUCAAGAAGCAUGAGCAGAAUUAUCCAGUUCAUGAUCUGGAACUUGCCGCUGUAGUGUUCGCUCUUAAGAUCUGGCGGCAUUAUUUGUAUGGUGAGACGUGUCAGAUUUUCACUGAUCAUAAAAGUCUCAAGUACUUUUUCACUCAAAAGGAGCUUAAUAUGAGACAACGGCGUUGGUUGGAAUUGAUAAAGGAUUAUGACUGCACGAUUGAGUAUCAUCCGGGCCGAGCUAAUGUGGUAGCAGAUGCACUGAGUAGGAAGACUACGGGAAGUUUGGCUCAUCUCAGAACGGCAUAUCUUCCGUUGUUAGUGGAACUACGGAAAGAUGGUGUGGGACUGGAAAUGGCGCAACAGGGAGGAUUACUUGCUAGUUUGCAUGUGAGACCCAUUUUGGUGGAACGGAUAAUUGAAGCCCAGUUGGGAGACCCAACACUUUGUAGAAUAAGGGGAGAAGUAGAAAGUGGUUCACGGAAAGAUUAUGCAGUAAGGGGAGAUGGGGCGUUGGUAACAGGAACUCGCCUCUGUGUACCUAAGAAUGAUUACCUGAAAAGAGAAAUCCUAGAGGAAGCUCACUGUUCCACUUACACUAUGCAUCCAGGAAGCACCAAGAUGUAUCGAACCCUACGGGAGUAUUACUCAUGGCCGCAUAUGAAGGGAGACAUUGCCAAGUAUGUGAGUAGAUGCUUGAUUUGUCAACAAGUGAAAGCGGAGCGACAGAAACCUUCCGGACUUAUGCAACCGCUUCCAAUUCCUGAAUGGAAGUGGGAGCACAUUACCAUGGAUUUCGUUUUCAAGCUUCCACGUACUCCCAAGGGACAUGAUGGAAUUUGGGUGAUAGUGGAUAGACUCACCAAGUCCGCCCAUUUCCUACCUGUUAAGGAAACUUAUUCUUUGACAAAGUUGGCAAAACUUUUUGUGGACGAGAUUGUGAGGUUACAUAGAGCACCUGUGUCCAUUGUAUCGGACAGAGAUACCCGAUUUACUUCUCGAUUCUGGAAGUGUUUGCAGGAAGCUAUGGGUACUAGGUUGCGGUUCAGCACAGCUUUUCACCCCCAGACUGAUGGACAAUCAGAAAGAACUAUUCAGACUUUGGAGGAUAUGUUGAGGUCUUGUGUACUGCAGAUGAAAGAUUCAUGGGAUACUCACCUUGCCUUGGUGGAAUUUGCAUACAAUAACAGUUAUCAUGCGAGUAUAAAGAUGGCUCCUUAUGAGGCGUUGUAUGGGAGACAGUGUAGGACUCCUAUUUGUUGGAACGAAGUGGGAGAUAAGAAAUUAGAAAAAGUGGAAAGUAUCCGAGCAACAACCGAAAAAGUGAAGAUGAUUAAAGAAAAGCUGAAGAUCGCACAAGACCGACAGAAGAGUUAUGCAGAUAAUAGGUCCAAAGAUCUCGAAUUUGCAGUUGGGGAUUGGGUGUUCCUGAAGUUAUCUCCUUGGAAGGGUGUGAUGAGAUUCGGGAAACGUGGGAAAUUAAGCCCUCGUUAUAUUGGACCCUAUGAGAUUACUGAACGCAUCAGACCGGUUGCUUAUAGACUUGCAUUACCUGCAGAACUAUCUCGAGUGCAUGAUGUGUUCCAUGUAUCUAUGCUUCGGAAGUAUAUGCCAGACCCUUCUCACGUUUUAGAAUAUCCACCUUUGGAGUUGGAAGAAGAUUUAUCAUUUGAGGAGCAACCUGUGCAAAUUCUAGAUAGGAAAGAACAACAGUUGCGCUCUAGAUCCAUUCCAGUAGUGAAGGUUCUGUGGAGAAGCCAAACUGUGGAAGAAGCUACAUGGGAGCCUGAGGCACAAAUGAGGGUCAAGUACCCUCAUCUUUUCCAUUGACAGGUACGUAAAUUUCGGGGACGAAAUUUUCUUUAAGGAGGGUAGAUUGUAACACCCCGACUCCAAAUUAAAUGAUUAUUUUAAUCAAUUUUUAUAAAAUUAUGAAUUUACCCUUGGGAUAGGGGUAAAUUGGUCACUUUCUUCUUCGGAAGGAUUUUGGGACCACGAGUGGCAUUUCUGAGAAGAUGGUACUGAGACGAAUUCAUAGACACGCGGUAGGCUUGAAUCGGGGUUGUAACGAAAAAGUUACGGGCAAAAUAGUGUCAGUGGCAAACUUGUAAAUAUUUCAAAAAGUUUGGUAAAAAUCAGAUUUUCACCUCAGCUCUCUCUCUCUCUUCGCGCGCGACACUCUCUCUCUCCUCAGUCUCUCUCUCUCCCUGACGUUCACUCUCUCUCUCCUCGGCUUGCUCAGUUCCGGCCACGGCAGGACCUGAGAUCGGUCCCGUUCAACUCGUCUCGUCGCCCCGGUCAGGCUCUGCCCGUUUUUCCCGUCGGAAACCAGGGAUUCGUCCAGAUGUGACCCAUAUGCAUGUGGGCCCCGAAGGAAGCCCCGCACAGGGGCAUAUUAGCUCAGCGCAAAUCAUAAUUCUAAAAAUUCGUUUCUUAAGAAUUGGGAUUAAAAGAUAAUUUUAAGUACAAAUUUUGCUCGAUUGGAAUCAGUCGUGGUGUAGUUAUAGAAAUAUGAGAGGGUUGGGCACAAUAUUUUGUUUUUUCCAUUUGCUUAAGAAGCAAACUCUCUCUCUACACACUCUCUCGCACUCCUUCUCUCCCUCAACGGAAACUCGUAGAAAAUUGGAAACUCUGAGAAACUGAUGGUAAAACUUUCAAGCUUUGAAAGUCUUCUGCUAUGAAAUGCCGAAUCUACGCUGGUUUCUUUACAUGAGCGCACUGUUUGGAGACCCGAUCGCUUCUAAUUCUAGUGCACCGUCUACCUUCGCUUUCCGUUGAUGUGGUCAUUGUUGUUGUUGUUGUGGCCUUGCCUUUUGCCUGUGUUCUACCUUACCUAUUGCCAUGCUCACAGGAUUUUUGUGUUCUGCCUUAUUUACUGCUGUGCUCACAAGGUUUCUGUGUUCUGCCUUACCUAUUGCUGUGCUCACAGGGUUUCUGUGUUCUGCCUUAUCUACUCCCAAACCCUGUGUUCUGCGUUACCUAUUGCCGUGCUCACAGGGCUUCUGUGUUCUGCCUUAUCUACUGCCAUGCUCACAGGGUUUCUGUGUUCUGCUUUACCCAUUUAUCUAGUCCUUCAUGUCAAACAAAGUAGGGUAAAAUGUAACACCCCGACUCCAAAUUAAAUGAUUAUUUUAAUCAAUUUUUAUAAAAUUACGAAUUUACCCUUGGGAUAGGGGUAAAUUGGUCACUUUCUUCUUCGGAAGGAUUUUGGGACCACGAGUGGCAUUUCUGAGAAGAGGGUACUGAGACAAAUUCAUAGACACGCGGUAGGCUUGAAUCGAGGUUGUAACGAAAAAGUUACGGGCAAAAUAGUGUCAGUGGCAAACUUGUAAAUAUUUCAAAAAGUUUGGUAAAAAUCAGAUUUUCACCUCAGCUCUCUCUCUCUUCGCGCGCGACACUCUCUCUCUCCUCAGUCUCUCUCUCUCUCCCCGACGUUCACUCUCUCUCUCCUCAGCUUGCUCAGUUCCGGCCACGGCAGGACCCGAGAUCGGUCCCGUUCGACUUGUCUCGUCGCCCCGGUCAAGCUCUGCCCAUUUUCCCCGUCGGAAACCAGGGAUUCCGAUCGCGAGCUCGACGGUUUUAAACCGAAGCAUUCCAGCCGUCGCGCCGCCGCCUCCGCCGCCCAAACCCGGUGAUUGAGGUAUGGUUUCUCUCCCAUUUUCCGAGUUCUAGCUGAUGUUGGUAUAGGUUUUGAUUGAUUUCGAGUUUAGAAAAUCGAUUAGAAAUCUAGGUUUUGGGCCGAAUUUCAACAUGAAAUUCCGGCCAGUUGCCGGCCGAAUUGGAGCUUCUCGUAGUUGAAUGAAGUGAUCCUGACCUCGAGUAGAAGCUAGGGUAGGAAGGGUGAGCUCGGGUGUGGAGUUUUUCCGUCACCGGAGUUACUCUACACACCCACGCGCUGCCGGCCCAUGUGGUGGAGCGUGGGCGAGUCUGGUGAGGAUGUAAACUGACCCGAUGAGAUCCUUAGGUUGUCACGAGCGCAUUCCUAUUCGGAUGUCGUUUGGCUAUCGAACGGAUUUUCGCAUAUUAUGCGUUAUCCGGGUUCGAUAGGUUCCGACCGUUAGAUCUUUCCCAAUUUAAAAUAUGUUGUUCUAGGUAUUCCUAGGACCGUAUGGGACUUCACGAAUUCUGAAUCGGAGCCCCGGAUGUUCCGAUUCAAAAAUGCAAAGUUUGCGGGUUAGCGAUAACCGUAAAAUCGUGAACGCUUUCUAAACCUGUAAUCGGACCUUAUGGUACCAUCUUCGACGUGCACGUAUGGGAAUUUAGGGAGUUAAGCAUUUAAUUUGUAAUUUCCGCUUAGACGUGGUUUUUAUAUUAAUUAACGGUUCGUAUUUCGAAAUAGGUAUUUCGACUGCACGCACGCAGCAAGCAGGACCUUCACGUGGUCAGGCAGCGAGGGAAUACUUGUGAGUGGACUUUGUUUUAAUCAUAUGCCUGGUUUUAAUUAAUGAAAGAUUUUGCAUAAUGUUUUAAUGGCUUCUGGAUUUUUAUAUAUUUUAUGCAUGGAUAAAUUCUGAUGGGUGUAUAGCAAUUGGCAAUAUAUUGUGAGAUUGGCAUUUUUGGGUUUUGUGAGUGUAUUUUAUAUGUGGAUUGUGGGGAGGUAUAUUUUGAUACAUUCUUUUUAGAUGAGAUAUUUGGGUUGUUGGAGGGUGUUAUGGAAGAGUGUGUUUAGAGAGGAGUUGUGGGAUUACACUACGUAAGUACCUUCCCCAGUUACUAGUCUCACUCGCGGCGUUGGAUGUUCCGGCGGGUGAGACACUUUCCGUAUGCGGCGUUGGAUGUUCCGGCGUAUGGAAAGACUGUGUAUAGAGUUUAGGGUCAUCACCGCGGCGUUGGAUGUUCCGGUGUGUGAUGAUCCAGUCUGCGCGCGUAGGACAUAGUUUGAGAGCUACACAUGGCGUUGGAUGUUCCGGUGUGGGAGCUUUGGAGUUUCGUCCCCCGGUUGGACCGCUCAUCCCUAGACGCAGGAUAGCACCUGGAAAUCCUGCGGACUAGUCAAACGAUCCCCCAGUUGGAUUGUUUUCCCCGGUACCUAGGUGGUGUGACGAGUAUAUCGUAUAGUUAUUUAUAGUUAAUUAUAUAUAUAUAUAUUUUUAUGUAUAUUUAUUGAAUAGGUAUAGUUGAGGGUGAAAGGAAUUGGAGUGUGUUUAAUAGUUGACAGGAGUGGUGAGUUUGAGAGAAUGUGGUUCUUUUUAAAGGAGAUAACUGAUGUUUUUAGAUGAGUUUUACUGAAGCAUGUUUUGAGAAAUUUCUUAUUGAAUUGUGAACCUGCAUGACUCGAGCAUUAUUUUUACAUGGUGGGGUUAUUAUGUUGUUUUUAACUGCAAACCUGGUUUUUGUCCACUCACAUGUUUUCUGUUUUGCGCCCCCCCCCCCCAGCCAGUAGUUGCUCUUGGAAGUGCAAGUGGUGUACGAAGCGGAAUCGGUGCAUCUUUCUAAUUAGGAACUGUGUAAAUUCUUCUACUCAAUUGUACUUGUAAUCUAAAUUCAGUAGAUGCUCUGUAUUGCCAUGGUAGAUUUUACUUGUGAGGCCGGAGGGCACUCUAGUAUGAAUUAUGUAUGUAUGAAAGCAUGCUGCUGGUUGGGAUUAGUAUUACUGUGUGUUGCAGGUUGAAUAAAUUUUGUUGGGAUUGCUUAAAUUGCAGGGGAGACUCUGCCAAAUUUUUGGUAGAAAGUCUCAAUUAUUUAGUAGGUGGGCCCGGCAUCGGGAUGAUGUCGGGAUCAAGACGGGGUCGGCCUCGGUCUUGGGGAAAUUCCGGGGCGGGUCCUGUCAUAAAAAUAUUUAGUUAUGCUCAAUAGAUGCUCAUAUUGUUGUUCUUCUCCAAUAUGGAGGUAUUUAUACAAGUACAAAGAUGUGUUAACCCUAAAUAAAAUAGGAAAUAUAUCUAAAUUACAAUAUGAAGUAAAUCUCUAUUACAAUAGGACUAAAUAAUAAUUGGUAAGUAAACAAAAUUCUAAUGAAAUAACGAACCAAAAUCCUAACUAAGUAAGGACUCGCCAACACUCCCCCUCAAGUUGGGCAAAGAUAUUUUGCACGCCCAAUUUGACAAGCGAGUCACAGAACACUUUACUGAGAAGCACCAAUUGUAGAGAAGGUCUUUUCGUCAACCACGAGUGAAACAAGUGACAAACUAAAGUAAAGUUCGCAGCGGAAACACAAGAGCAAACCCUAAAAAAUAGGGCACUUAGCAGAAUACAAAAACCUUGUGAGCACGGCUGUAGAUAAGGCAGAACACAGAAACCCUGUGAGCACGGCUGUAGAUAAGGCAGAACACAGAAAUCCUGCUAGCACUGCAAUAGGUAAGGCAAAACACAGAAACCCUGUGAGCACGGCAGUAGAUAAGGCAGAACAUAGAAACCCUGUGAGCACGACAGUAGGUAAGGCAGAACACAGAAACCCAUGAGCACGACAGUAGAUAAGGCAGAACACAGAAGCCCUGUGAGCACGACAAUAGGUAAGGCAGAACACAGGCAAAGGGCAAGGCCACAACAACAACAACAAUGACCACAUCAACGGAAAGCGAAGCAAGCAAAGGCAACAUCGACCACAACAGAAACACACCAGCAAAGGCAUGAACAACAAUACUGGCACCAUAGUAGGCAGGAGCAACAAUACUGGUACCAAACAACAGCAAUACAAGGUACUGGCACCAGUAAGACAAGGUAGGGCAAACAACUGUGGUAGCAGCAACAACAGAGACAACUUCUAUGCACUCUCCCUCUCCCCCUGAAGAGACGGGGUCGAUAGAGCCAUACUUGAGAAACAGGCACGGACAAUCAGCCAUGAUAGAUAGAUAUGUGAAUUGCAAUGGAAUAGAUGAGCAGCAGUGUCACUCCCUCUCAAAUUCGACAAUGCAUGAGAGUCGAGAUUUGGAGAAAGUAACACCCAAAUAAACAGAGAGACAAAGGCCACCUAGGAGAAGGCUCGGCGAGCGGUGACGAGGCUUCCAGAGGUUUGAGAUGGCUCGAUGAGCGGUAACGAUGCUCACGGAUGAAAGAGAUCAGGCCAUCAAUGGCCAAGGGGCGUGUUGCCCAUAUGGUACACAUUUAAAAGAGAGGCUCGGCGGUGAGCGCAAGAGACUAAAACUAACAUGGGCUCAAUCUGAUUUUAACAUAUAGCAAGCACAUAGAGAGAUGAAAAGUAAGAGAAAAAAAGGCAGCUGCAGGCAUAGGUAGAGAAAAAGAAAGGUAAUGACUCAACAUAAACACGACAUGGACAGAGACAAGAGUAAAAUUGCAAAAAAAUGCGGUUAUGGCUAAGGCAGAAGAAAUAUAUGUUGAUUAUUAAGGAAAGGAGAAACGGGGAUUUACAGCAAGGUGAAGACCCAUGAUGGGUUAGGAAUAAGGAACGCCAACGACUCUCAAUUUGUUAGAGGAUAUCACAGGUUAGCAACCAGGCUCUGAUACCAUGUCAAACAAAGUAGGGUAAAAAUAUUUAGUUAUGCUCAGUAUAUGCUCAUAUUGUUAUUCUUCUCCAAUAUGGAGGUAUUUAUACAAAUACAAAGAUGUGUUAACCCUAAAUAAAAUAGGAAAUAUAUCUAAAUUACAAUAGGAAGUAAAUCUCUAUUACAAUAGGACUAAAUAAUAAUUGGAAAGUAACGAAAAUUCUAAUGAAAUAAGGAACCAAAAUCCUAACUAAGUAAGGACUCGCCAACAAAAAUGCCCUCCUUGAACUUUUGAAGAAGAGAGAAUUAUUUCAAGAUUUGUUUCCAUUGUUGUGAAAUUCUUUUGGUACUAUUGCUGCUCUGCUACAGGAGAUAGUUUCAAUUUACCCUGUUCUGUCACCACCAAAUUUAACUCCUGCUCAAUCAAAUCGAGUUUGCAAUGCUCUAGCUCUUCUUCAGUGUGUGGCUUCUCACCCAGACACAAGAAUGUUAUUCCUCAAUGCUCAUAUACCUUUAUAUUUGUACCCUUUCCUUAAUACAACAAGCCAGUCAAGGCCUUUCGAGUACUUGAGGCUCACUAGCUUAGGUGUCAUUGGUGCCUUAGUGAAGGUCGAUGAUACAGAAGUGAUUAGUUUUCUUCUGUCAACAGAAAUAAUUCCACUGUGCCUGCGCACUAUGGAAAUGGGUAGUGAACUCGCAAAAACAGUGGCCACAUUUAUUGUUCAAAAGAUUUUGUUAGAUGAUGUGGGCUUGGAUUAUAUUUGUACUACAGCUGAGCGGUUUUUUGCAGUAGGUCGAGUCUUGGGAAUUAUGGUAGCAUCACUUGCGGAUCGCGCUUAUUAAAACAUAUUAUCCGAUGUUAUCUUCGAUUGUCAGAUAACGCAAGGGCUUGUGAUGCUUUAAGAAGUUGUCUUCCAGAGGCAUUAAGAGAUGCUACCUUUAGUGGUUGCCUUCGUGAAGAUCCAACUACAAGGAGAUGGCUGCAGCAGUUGCUUCACAAUGUUUCGGUUAGUCGGGUUCCUGCACUUCAGGCCGGAGGAGGGUUUGAUCAUAUGAUGGUGAACUAAUAUAAAUAAUUCAAUGUUGUCCUUGGGCUGCCAUCUGCUGUUUAUGCAUCAGAGAGGGCUGCAUGCUUCUUAUUUAUCUACCUCAGUGCUAAUGGGAAAAUUUCAUCUUUGUAAUUACAAAAUGUUUCUUCUGUAAACUUGGCCUCAAAAGGCGAAGCUUUUAACUAUUCACUUCCAAGAGAAAUCAAUUGUUCCCAGAAGAAAUUGUCUUCUUAGCUGAUUUCUUGUGUAAUUUUUUGAAUUGUUCGGUUUAUUUAACAAAUUCCGUAUUUUAAGAGUAUUUCAUCGGUUUCAUGGCAAAAUUAUUCCUAAUAAAGUCAGCCUUUCUUUUGGAAAAAAAAAGAAGAAAAAAAAAGAAGAAGCAAACAACCAUAUAUUCCGUAUUUUAAGAGUAUUUCAUCGGUUUGAACUUUUCUUCUCUCAUUUUUUAUUUUCGGUUAUCUAUUCAUAAAAAAAGCACCAUUUGUAUUUGUGUGUAGAUUUGUAUCUUACUUGUUCAAAUUGAAGUGCGCCUGUUCUUCUUUUGAAAUUAUAUGCCUUUGAAAUUUCAGCUCAGAGAAGUGGAUAUCCUACCUAAGGUGCAUAUAAUGAACAUGGAAGUUUGCUGCACUAGUUGGCUAUCAAGGUGCCAUCUUCUAGAACUUUGCUACUAUAGGGGUUGGUAAAGUCAUGGAAGUUACUGUUUCACCCUCACUUUGGUCUAGGGUGAUAAAAAAUUGCUCCAUGUGUGUUCAGUAUGACCUAAUUUUUGCAUAAUUGAAUCUGUUGUUUUUCUACGGGUGGUUUUAUUUUCUUUUAGCUUCCUGCUGAAAAAUGAGGUAUAGGCUUGUAUUUGUUGCACAGUGUGGCUUAUGUAGGAAUAUAACCAAGUUAGUGAUGCUUGAACAUGUUGUUUUGAGCCAAUUCAAUGGGGAGCUUUUUAUUUGCGGCAAUGCGGGCAGUUUGGAGCGCUCUAUGGAUGCUGGGCAUGUUUGUCUGCAUUUACACUGCUGUGUACCGUUCCCUUGUUAUAAUAAUUCUGUCUGAAGUGAAUUUUUGUUUUUGUUGUAGGGACAUUUAUUCCUGUCAAAAGCUUUACUUGGUGUCAGUUCACGUUGUAAGUUCUAGUUAUCUUUUUUACUAUGAGAAGCCCGUUGUAAUUUUUUUGUGCAUAAAAUUGAACAUUAGACAUCUGUAGUAGCUAUUCGGUCAUGCAAUGACAAUAAUAAUGCACUUUCGUGAACAAAGAAUAAAGUUGUAAUUCCUGCCCUUUUUUUCCUAGUUUCUAAAGCCAAUUUCUUUUUGGGUAAAUGGAGCCAUUGGAGAUGUUAGCUCUACCAGGGCUGUUCAAACAGCAACUGGUAUUCAAAGAACCAAAAUCAAUUCGCAAUCUAGACAGGAGUUUGAAAACUACAAAAUAUGGAUGACACUAUCAUUGCCCGUCAAACUUUUCAUCUUGCAGUUUCAAUUGUUCCAAAUCCCAUUUCGUUAUCAAAAAUCCUGCAGCUGAGUUGCAACAACUUCACAUCAUUUAGACAUGCUGGGAUUCUUGUACCUUGCCAAUACCAGCAACAUCACUAGUAUAAUGAGACAUAAUCUUUCAACAGAAAGAUGUUGGACAUAUUUGGAUGCCUGUUUACAAUUAAUGUCUGAUUUUCAAUAAACCUUGAUUGGAAAUUAUGAAAUAGAUAAAUCUGUUACAUUUUGUCCCCAACACACAUCAAUUCCAGUUAAUGAGAUAGAAGAAUCAUAGACAAAAUAUAUGUGUGGAAUGAAAGUAUUAGAUAAAUCCGGCAUUGUUCAUCCACGGAUAAAUGCUGGAUGCAUCAAUUGAGAAGAAAGGUAUUGCCUUAUGCAACUUAAAAUGGAAUCUCAGAAAUU